Molecule: long non-coding RNA, 90367 nt
Filed under: Musa acuminata (dwarf banana)
Lineage: Eukaryota; Viridiplantae; Streptophyta; Magnoliopsida; Zingiberales; Musaceae
Description: long non-coding RNA (MACU_LNC005965)
Source: RNAcentral
UCAUCAAGAUUUAUUUCCUUUUAGAAAGGACUUCCUCCACUGAUCGAACACUUCUCAAGUGGUACCUCUAUACUCGAGAAGAGAGAGAGAGAGGGAGAGAUGUGUUUCAUCAUCUUAUUUGACUUGGUGACAAUAUGCAUCUUGUUAUAUACUUGUUUUAGUCCUGAUUCAGGCCUUAUCAAAGGAAAUGCAUUUUUCCAGACUUGUCUCAGCUUCCCCUGCCAACUUAUUUCUGAGGUCUUACUUCUUUACGUUUUUCCUAUCCAUUUCUUUCCUGUUCAGAACACCAUGAUCUCAAAGAGGUACCAUUUCUUGCUUUUCUGAAUUUAGAUUCUUUCUGUAUAUACUAUGAUAGAUUGUUGGUUUGCUGCUGCUGGAUAUCACUGCUCUUUCUUAUGAACAAUGAUUUUGUCAGUAAUUUGUCUUGGAACUGAUUUACCUUGGUUUAAUUAUUUCUGGAUUUUAGAUCGUGGUUCAGGAUGGCAGGAACCUAAAUCUAGAGAUCUACUAAUUCGAUAAACAUCUUGGGAGUAUCGCCAUGUACGAUGUAUGGAGAUGUGGUCAUUGUCUGUUGUACUCGGAGAACAGUUACAAAGAACAAUGUCAAGAAACAUGUAUACAUUUUUAUAAUAUCUUUGGUAGGAAUCUAGUAGCAACUCCAAGAGUUGCUAAAAUUGAUCGAUCAUAGGUUGCUGCAACAGGCUGAUUACUAAAUUCUUGAAAUUGUUUGUUGUCAUGUAGAAUGCAGUAUCUUGUUUAUUCCUCUAUCGUUACCAGCUUGAUUCUCUUUGGUGUUAAGAUGUAAUUGGUCAAGCAGAUGUUGAUACAUCUACGGAUCAUGACCGAGGAAAUGAACUCGCAGUGUUUAUAUGCUGUUUAAUAUUUUUGUUUCCCUAAUGUGAAGUUCAUUACAUACCAAAAUGAUGGAUGAGCAUGUUGCAAUGCUUGUGGCUGUGUUGUUUGGUGUCUAGCAUGGAUAACAUAUCUGACAUGGUGCAGAAAUGUGUGCCAGAGGCUUUCUAGAAUCCUUGCUUAAUUGACUUGUUGAUGAGUGGUCCAAGAGCCCUUGUCGUUUUGCAAUGGUUGACUUUAAAUGCGGACCACUUAGAACAAGAACAACCAUCAAGGGCCAUGAGAAGCCUGCCCGUUGACUUUGCUCAUCCCCAAUCUGCAACAAAAAAUUGUGUGGGAAUGGAAGCAUGCUUGUCAAGUUGUUUCUUCUAAUUCAGAUACAAGUUGUUAUCAGAUGCUUGGACAUAAAACAGUGUAUUCUUGGAUUUGUGUGAAUAAAUUAGUGUUCAUGGUUGAAACAGGAAUUUUGUAUGGCAUACCAAAAAGUUUAUUCUAUAUGAAAUGUGGAUUGGUUGUGGAAGGUUUGAUUGGAAUUUUUUUUUUUAAUGAAAAGAUCACAACCUCAUUCCAUUGUCAGGGAAGAACAAAGAACAGCAGGAUCAGUGUAAAAAUUGAGGGGAAUUCAUUUCCCCAACUCAUGCUAUCAGAUCUAUCUUUGGCACAAUUAAGUCAAGACAAGAGUUGUCUUAUUGAGGUUUGCAUGUAUGUAACAAAAUAUAGUGACAAUAGAUUGUUGUCAGUAAUGUUCAUUUUGCUAAAUUUUGUAAAUGAGAAGUUAAUAAUUCAAAUUAAUUCACAUAUUAUGCAUACUCACAUUGAUGUAGAGAAAUAAAUUAAUGGUCAUAUUAAUUAUUAUUUUUAUUAAAAUUAAUAUUUUUUCUGACUAUUCAAAUUUGAAAUAUUUUUUUAUAAAAAAAAUAUAUUACAGUUUUGAUAUAAUAAAAAAGUCUUCGGAUUGUCUCUUUUUUUUUAUUAUAAAAAAUCGUAUCUUUGUCUCUUGUUUAAUUAAAGUAUCGAAGGAACAUUAUCGAGUGUGCACUCGGAUCAAAUCAAUUUAGAUGAUCCUAAAUCUUUUAUCAUUAAAUAUAAAAUAAUUUAAAAAUCGAUCAUAGCACUCCCAAAAUUAAUUAUGUAUUUUAUAUAAACAAAUUGAACUAGAUCAACUUUAGUCAUGCGUCUCCGAUGAUUGAUCCAAGUCAUUUUUCAUUAGAUAUAAAAGAAAAUUUUAAAUAUUAUUUUUAAGUUUGAGAAAAUAACGGGCGUAUUUUAAAAUGAUCCUUAAUGCAAUUAUUUAGUCUCCUCUUGCCAACAACUACUUUUACGUGGCUCCAACUUUGGUACGUGGAGCCAACCAUGCAUGCGUCCCCUGCUAUGCCUUUCCCGUUCACCCAAUGCACAAUUGACUUGGUCCAACCGAGCUAUUUUGCAGGACCAAAAAUAGCAUCUCCCAUCCCUAUAUUGACAUAUGUACAAGUGGAAACAGCCCAAACCCCCUUAUUUCCUCACACAACCAUACCUCUCUCUCUCUCUCUCUCUCUCUCUCUCUCUCUCUCUCUCUGUGCUGGACACCCUCCCUUCCCCUUCUAUCCUCUCUUUUUCUCUCACUAUGCGUAACCCUUCUCCGUCGGCUUUGCCUUGUUACUAGUUUUGUGGAAAGAAGAACACAACAGGGGAAGGAGGACACCGAUGGAGUGCAACCAGCCUCAUGUUCCCAAGAAAUCCAGCAGCUUCUCCUCCAGCCGCGACGAGAAGCACCGCGAGAUCAACCGCAACCUCUCCUUAGGCUCCAUCAAGCUCGAACAGAGCUAUGAGAAGAAGGAGAGACACGACCAGGAGACAAUAGAGGAGGAUCGGGAGGAGGAGAAGGCCACAAAGGAGCAGGAGGAGGAGAAAGAAGCAAGCAAUGACGAGGAGCCUGAAGCUACUUUGCUCACCAUCUCCGAGGACAUAGAUAGAUUCCUCCGCUUGCUCCUCGCCGUCGAAGAUGGCCAAGAUGGGAGCCACGAGCCGCCGGAGAUCCCCGAAUCCACCGUCGAGAAGUUUGUCAUUUUGGUGGAGGAGGAGAUCGCCAAAUACGAGACCGGCGAGGAGAAAUGGCCCUCGUGCGACGACGAACUCUCGCUCCUCGAUGCCAUCGACAGGGUCUCGAAACUGACAUCGGCGGUGGCGAAAUUCUCGUCGGAGCUCAAGUACAACGAGGCGAUGAACCAUUCCGGCAGCGUCCUCCACCACGCCAUGUGCUUCCUCGAAGACGAAUUCCACUCGUUGCUUCAGGACUCCAGAACAAAGCAGGAAGCAGCCAGCAGCAGUUCGAGGACCAAGCAGCUGCCGUCACUAAUCUACCGCUUUCACGAGCCGGAACGCAGCGUGUCACCCUCGUCGGAAUCCAGUCCCUGCGAGUCUUCCCAGGCAUACAUACCGGAGAACACCGAGAGGCUGCACAGGAUCGCCGACGCCAUGAUCUCUGCCGGGUACGUUACAGAGUGCUGCCAGGUGUUCUCCAUUGCUCGACGCAAUGCAUUCGAGGCAGGACUGCCGAGCCUCGGGUUCGAGAAGGUUGGCAUCGAAGACGUGAUCAAGAUGGCGUGGGAGAACUUGGAAUCUGAGAUCGCUACGUGGGUUAAGGCCUUUCGCCACACCAUCACGGCCUCCUUUACCGCCGAGCGCGAGCUGUGCGAGGCUGUGUUCGCCAGCCACCGCGCCAUCUCCGACCGCCUCUUUCUCGGCUUCGCCAACGGUGCCAUCGUCCAGCUCCUCACCUUCGCGGAGGCUGUCACGAUGACAAAACGCUCCGCCGAGAAGCUGUUCAAGGUGCUCGACGUCUACGAGGCCAUGCGCGACGUGCUGCCGACGGUCGAAGCCCUGCUCCCCGACGAUGGCGAGCAGGACGAACCCUCCGUCUUUGCGGAUCCCAAGACGGAGAUAUCGUCAUUGCGGUAUCGCCUUGGAGAGGCAGCCGUCGCAAUCUUCUGCGAUCUGGAGAGCUCGAUCAAGGCCGACAACAGCAAGACCCCUGUACCGGGCGGCGCAGUCCACCCUCUCACCCGCUACGUCAUGAACUACCUCAAGUACGCCUGCGAGUACAAGAGCACAUUGGAGCAGGUCUUCAAGGAGCACAAGCAUGCCGAGAAGCCAUCAUCCUUCGACGAGGACCGCGAAAAUUCUCAGACAAGCGGUGGAGGAGACGGCGACCGCAACAGCAACAGUAGCGGCAAUGACAAUUACAAUCCGUUCGCAGCUCAACUAAUCGAGGUAAUGGACUUGCUGCACUCCAAUCUGGAGUCGAAAUCGAAGCUCUACAAGGAUCUGGCCUUGAGCAACAUUUUCUUGAUGAACAACGGGAGGUACAUCGCGAAGAAGGUGAAGGGGUCGCCNNNNNNNNNNNNNNNNNNNNACAGUACCUCGACCCCGGGAGGCAGACGGAGAAGUACAUCAAGUUCGGGCCGGAAGACCUCGAGAAUCUGAUCGAUGAGCUCUUCGAUGGCACUCCUUCGUCGUCCAUCGCGAGCCGGAGGAGGACAUGAACAGUAGGGUAGCGGGAACGGCCGGUGGUGGUGAGCUUCUUCUACUCUGUUUAUAUACUGUUAACCAUUGAGAUUCACUGUAAGAUUCUACGUAGGAGGCGAUCAAAAAGCUGCGCUCACGUCCCAGAAGUUGAGAUCACGCCUCGUUUCGUGUCGUCCUCGACAAAGGCAGCCGGCACACAAGAGUUAACACAGAGGGUGACGACCAUUCCGCCAUUGUUGUUGCUUGUGUGUUUCCUUCCGUCAUUAUGCGUUGUUUGUUGCCAAUGACAACAAGAGCUUCAAGUUAUAAUUGUUAGAUCUUUUGCAAAUUGAAAGUAUAUCUUUGUGUGAAUGUUAUCUGUGAAAUUGAUGGGUUUUGAUCCACAUAAAUCAUUUGUGCAACCAAUGCUCUUGCUAAAAACAGAGCAUAAGAUCUUCAAAAGGGAUGGAUGCCUUUGAACAUGGCGUGGAAUCUUAAUCGACACAUAAAAAAGAAGAAUUCAUUGCCAAGAACAUCAUUCUCUGCAGGAUUUCCAUCCGCUAGCAGUGAGCCAAGGAGAGUUUAAAGCCCAUGGAAGGCCACCUCGUUUCAUCAUCCCCAAGAGUCGAACAACGUCGAUCCAAAGCUCUACCUCCUCUUCCAGAUGAGUUGAAGACCCCGAUACCCUUCCAACGAGAUUCCAUGCGGCAGGAGCUGCAUGCUAUCUUGCACGACAUCCACGAAAACCUCGACCAUCCUUGCACCCACGUCAUGGAUCACGUUCGACCUGAACCAUCUCUUGUAGAUGUCCUCUUCCACGAUCAAUCUGUUGGAGCACCUCGGUCUGCAAUUGUAGACGCACAGCAUCAUGGUUAUGUUCGUCCCAAGUGACUCCUCUCCGCCAUAGACUGGUUUGAUGCCCGCUCCUGAUGUGCCACUGGAAACGAUAAGUUCUAUUACAGGUCGAGGAGAUGGAAGAGAUGAGAAGAAGGCUGGGAUGGAGAAGAUGACUGAGCGAGAUCAGUGUUCGCUUCAUUGACACCACCUGUUGAUUGCGUUUGGAUGACAACAAUCUCAAUAUGCCUUGUAAAUGUAUCAGAUGAGGACGAUGUAAAACCAUGAAACAGACGUUCUACAUGUCUACCUUGAGUGAAGCAAUGAAAAGCAAGCAGAUUCUCCAACUUAUGUGAUCCAAUAAUGAGCUUCUCUUUCAUAUAUCUAAAUGAUCUUUUCAAAAAAGCCAGAAUAUAUAUACUUGUUUGUGUGUGUGUUUGUGCAGUGUUUAAUGGAGAAAGAAACUAGUCAAGACAGCAGGAUCAUGUCAUUGUUCCAAAUAAUGUCCAAACAACAGAAUAAGUUUACAGAAAAGACCCAUAAAAUCACAUAUAAAGUACAACACAUACUUUAAAAAAGUACAACAGAGGUUACAACCAUCAGAUACAGAAGCUGGUGAUAAUUUCACAACGAAUUACCCGUCGCUGGUCAGCGUAAAGGCGAGGAGCACCAUAAUGAGGGAGACAGUAAUGGUUGUGCCAGCAAAUAACCAUAUAGCCCAUUGAGAGGAGCCCCGCCUCUCUUGACCAGCCCUCUCCACCUCCUUCAAGAGAUCCCUAAUCUCAUCGAUGUCUGAAUCCUUAGCCGCAUGAAUCAGUCUGCUCUGGACCUCAUCAAGUUUGGCGAGUCUUUUGGUUUUGGUUGCAUCUUUAGCAGACCAAAUGAAGCCAGUCAUUCUCCACAGAAGGAUGCCGACAUAGAUUGCCACUAUACAGUCUACGGUGUAAUGGUGGCGUUCUCGAAUCUCUCUCUGGGCACUGUGCAGCACUAGAAUCCAUGUCAGAGCUGACGUCCAGCCACCAUAUGCUUCCUGAGGCCAGAAACAAUUAAAGUAUAUUUUAGCAGUUCUACCAAGAAUUCCAAUAUGCAGCUCAGAAAUAAAAUAAAAAAUUGAGAACUGCAGGUAUGCCACCUUACCACUCUAAAUUCAUUCUGUUAAAUCAAGAAUAUGAAACUUAAAACUAUAGAUUGUUUAGAUAUGACUUUCAACAUUAAACUGAGGUGCUCGUGCAACAUUUGUUCUGCUAGAACCUAUGAUUAUGAAGUCACUGCUCUGAAUUUAUGAAAAUUUCCUGAUCACAAUAAUAGAGUGGAUGGGUUUUUCUGCUUCUCAUUCCAUUGUUUUACUUCCAUUUAUGAGCUCCCUUUGCAUCAAACACAUGACAGAGAAUAAUAAAACCAACAGCAUAAGUUUCAGAGGCAAUUGGAUAUCUAUGAAGCUUAAGGCAAUGCAAUUAGAGGAUGUGAUUUUGUUUCAACAAUAAACUGAGGCAUCAUUUGUUUCCUUCCAUAGUACUUGUGAUUUUGAUCAUGGUCUGCAGUACCGAACUGUACCGCCCGGUACGGGCGGUACGUACCGGUCCGACAGGUUGUCGGUACGCGGACCGCCUGUUACCGGUCCGAGUGCACUGUAACACUGUAGCAGUGCUACAGUACUCAGCACACCUGGGUGUACUGCUCAGUAUACCGUACCGUACUGGUACCAAGCCCAGAUCGAAAUACCGGUAUGGUACGAUAUUGCGAACCUUGAUUUUGAUAUUCUUGCAAACUAUAAAUAUAGGAUAAAAAGAAAUUCAGAAAAGAGGAUAUGAGAAACAAAAUGAUAGAUUAGAUGCAAUUAAUUGAUAUCAACCACAAUUAGUCGGAUAAAAUUGUCAAGAUAACAACAAGGAGCAAAAGGUGAUUUAUGUAUCAGAAUGUGGCUAAUAUUAAAAGAUGGUGAAGCUAUAGUAAAAAACAUGGUUCGUAUGAUAACAAGCAACAAUAAGCCGAAAAUGUCCCAACAGUCACAAACAUUGUCCAUACACCACACCAAAUGCCUCAAGCAAAUUUAUCCAUUAUCAUCUAUAAUUAAAUUAUGCUGUUUAAAAAAAUAAAACACAUGCACAAAGAACUAAGCAUACCGUCCAUGCCAUAGCAGUCAAUACAGCAACAAGCAUAUGACCACUGUAUAGCAGGUCAUUACAACCGCCACCAGCUUUCUUCAACAAUUGAUACCAUGAAGAUCCCUCUGAAACAGUGGGCCUCAAUAUAUCUAUCAGAAAGUUCAUCCGGCCCCAAUUAGGCCGAUAUUCACCAGGAUAUUCUCCAAUUGUGGCUAAAAGACAAGCAGGAAAAAAAAAAAGCUUUCAAUUAGCAGCUUAUAGAUUUAUAAUGUUAAACUAAUAAAUAAGUUAGAUCUUGACCAAUCCUAACUAAACUAACCGUAGGGCAUAUCUGUUUGUAUUAGCUUGCGAAUGGCAUCCGAGUUAGAAGCAUAUGGCAUAUAAUAUUUCUGUACCCAAGGAUGAGGAUGAUAGGGUACUGGAAAUCGGACUUCAGCACACCAAGGUCGUACCGAUGGAAGAAUUGUAGAAACAAAUGUUACAGCACGAAGAAGACGCCCUAUAGCCAUGGUAAACAUAUACCUCGCGGCGAGUCCAAGACCAGGGGCUUUAACAGAGUUAAAAACCACAGAGAAAGCCAACAUCACAAACAGCAUUAAGAAAUGAUGUAGUCCAAUUAUAUGUGCUCUUAGCACUUCAACCACAACCUGUGGAAGCUUCUCAUUCAGGAACAAAAGCAACCACUGACCACUAUCAGGAAGUGGGGGUGAAGAUCUGCCAAUUGAGAAUUUCUUGAAUCAGCAAAGUUGAAAACCAUAAUAAAUAAUCAAUAUUAGAAUGCAUGCUAAUCUUUUGAGAUGUAUAAAUAAUUAUGGGCAAACACUGAAAAUUAUUUUGUAAAUAGAAUUGUCUAAAAACAACAGCUUCUGAUAGAGCCAUGAAGAAAAGUUUUCUGACAUUUCCAAGGAAAAGUUCUAGCUUGAUGAUACAAUAGAUGUACCACAAAACCUAAAAGGCUUUCUUUUCAUUCUGCAGAAAGCUUAAAAAUGAUGUGCAUAGUGGCCUCACUAACAUAGCCAGUAAGAAAAAUUGUUGCUUAAAGGAUAUACUAUAAGAAAAACAACCACAUGAACAGAUAUGUUUCUGGUGAAUAUCUACUUAAGAAACCAAAGGAAAGAGAAAUCCUAUGAUUUCUUAAAAGUGUCAUUCUAAGAAUAUAACAAUGUUAUUGAACAAGGACUUUUGUAAUUAUUGUGACGGAGCAUAUGACACUUUUUAUUUCUUUGACAUGGAAAAUUGAACAAGCUAGAAGAUAGUCAGAACAUUAGCUUCUAAUUCUGCACAAGAGCAAUGACCUCUACAUACGCUUCAAAGAUAAUAGAGGUGAAUUGGUAAACUAUAAGCAAUUUGGUUAAAUAUAUGCAUCACUGCUUCAUUUUUCACUGCAGAUAUUAUAAUAUCCUGAUUUACACUGUUUCAAUUGUACAUAUUACUCAUCUCUCCAACCUGCCUAAGACAUAUUCGUUACUCUUCACAUACACCGUAUAUUUAAAAGCAUUGGUAGUAAAGAAGUGUUAUAUUGAUGACCUGAAGCAUGCAUGGGAUCGACAUGACAAUCUAAAAUGAAUCAUCUUUUUGUUCUUUUUUGCAUAUACAAGCACUGUGUUACCCCAAAUUAACUGAUAUCAUGAGCAAUUCUUCUUUUUCUGAUCAUAAGACUGUAUGUCAUUUCUACUAGUUGGUUAAAUUAAUUAUGGCCGGGUCCCAAAAAGCAGGUGGCGAAAUGUUGCAACUAUAUCACAUCAAAAUGCCUUCUUUUUUCCAGGUUGUAAUUCCAGUUUUUGACAUGAAAUUUCUCAGACAUGAUAAAGAGUAGCAUCUGUGGAGAAAAUCGAUGUAUAACUGAAAUUUAUCACCAAAUAAUUUAACUACAUUGACCUCCUUCAGACCAAAAAUCACCAGGAACAUGCUCGAAACAGGCAAAAAUGACUUCUUCUAAACUUAGUUUGCAGCAUUGGAUCCGCAGAGGUGGUACUUACGUAUGCCAAUCGAGGCCGAGGACAGCGGUCACGAAUCGGACGGAGAGGGCUUCGCAGAGCAGGGCGGAGAGCAUGAAGACCAGCGAAGCGAGGAAGGGGAUCGCGGCCCGUAGCUCUAACGGCCAGUGCCGGUAGAAGGGGGCGCGACAGGCCGCGGCGAGGGCCAGGACCGCCCACAGGGCCGGCUGGAGUCGCCCGUGCCACGAGGGCGAGACAUAGCGCAGGUAAUCGACCGCCACGUACGAGAUCGCCGCGAGGCCGAGACCCUCAUUGGCUCUCGGCAUCGCCGGCGAGAGGUGCUGGCGGCCGCCCCGGGCUUCUCCUCCUGAGGCCUCCCGCGAUGGACGAAGGGAAGGGACGGAGGGAGAAGAGAAGAAGAGGGGAAGUGUUCGAUUAAUUGCCAGGUGAAUUUAAAGGAAAGCAAAGCUGCCGAGCGGAAGGAAGGCACGACAAAAGGGGCGGAACGGAGGAGUCAAGCGGAAUUUUAAGGCAGUGGAAAUUUUGAUGACCGAUGAUGGAGGAAUUCGAGUUUUCAUGAACUUAAAGGGCUUUUCUGCGUAUUNNNNNNNNNNNNNNNNNNNNNNNNNNNNNNNNNNNNNNNNNNNNNNNNNNNNNNNNNNNNNNNNNNNNNNNNNNNNNNNNNNNNNNNNNNNNNNNNNNNNNNNNNNNNNNNNNNNNNNNNNNNNNNNNNNNNNNNNNNNNNNNNNNNNNNNNNNNNNNNNNNNNNNNNNNNNNNNNNNNNNNNNNNNNNNNNNNNNNNNNNNNNNNNNNNNNNNNNNNNNNNNNNNNNNNNNNNNNNNNNNNNNNNNNNNNNNNNNNNNNNNNNNNNNNNNNNNNNNNNNNNNNNNNNNNNNNNNNNNNNNNNNNNNNNNNNNNNNNNNNNNNNNNNNNNNNNNNNNNNNNNNNNNNNNNNNNNNNNNNNNNNNNNNNNNNNNNNNNNNNNNNNNNNNNNNNNNNNNNNNNNNNNNNNNNNNNNNNNNNNNNNNNNNNNNNNNNNNNNNNNNNNNNNNNNNNNNNNNNNNNNNNNNNNNNNNNNNNNNNNNNNNNNNNNNNNNNNNNNNNNNNNNNNNNNNNNNNNNNNNNNNNNNNNNNNNNNNNNNNNNNNNNNNNNNNNNNNNNNNNNNNNNNNNNNNNNNNNNNNNNNNNNNNNNNNNNNNNNNNNNNNNNNNNNNNNNNNNNNNNNNNNNNNNNNNNNNNNNNNNNNNNNNNNNNNNNNNNNNNNNNNNNNNNNNNNNNNNNNNNNNNNNNNNNNNNNNNNNNNNNNNNNNNNNNNNNNNNNNNNNNNNNNNNNNNNNNNNNNNNNNNNNNNNNNNNNNNNNNNNNNNNNNNNNNNNNNNNNNNNNNNNNNNNNNNNNNNNNNNNNNUUACAUAUUUAUGAAGGAUCUAUUUGUAAACAUGCACAUAAACGUGGUUCGCGGUUCCCUGUCCUCCGCCGUCCCCUAACACUCUUUAAACUCCCCUGUAACCCUAACCCCAGAAAGGGGCCGGCAAAAGGAUCGAAAACCCCCCCUCGACGAACUCCCUCGUCAGCGAUGCAGCACGACGACGUGAUAUGGCAGGUCAUCAGGCACAACCACUGCAGCUACAUGGCCAAGUACUUCCCAAGGCCUUCGCCCCUCUCGUUUGUCGGAGACCAUCAAUCCGAGUGAUUUUUAAUGGGUCUCUAAUACUUGUUGGUUGGUGUUGUGUAGAAUCACCACGGGGAUUUUCUGUAGAAACCCGUACAAUGUUACCGGAAUCUGCAACCGCAGCUCUUGCCCGCUCGCCAACAGUCGAUACGCCACGAUUCGUGAUCAUGACGGUACCUUGUUUCGAAUUUAGCCCCUAAAAUGUCUUGCUAUUUGGACUGCUGGUAGGAAAUUUAUGUGUGGCGUUGAUUGGUUUCUGCUUCACACUUAUUUUUUCGUUUGUCUAACAUCUAUUAAUCGAAGAAGAUGGACGUGUGAUAAAACUAUGUAAAGUUUUUGAAGACUAUGAUCUAUAUGCUGGAGUUGUAAGUUUUCAUUCUGGUCUAAAAUUUGAUUACAGAAUGAGGACAUUGACAUUGUUACUGCCUACCUUUUUUUUAAUUUUUUGUUUGUUAUUUAGAGGCUGCAUUUGAAUCAAGGAAGAAAUAAAGAAUUUGUUUCACAGAAGGAUUUGGUAUCUCAAGAUCAUAAGUUUGGGGCAGCCUUUUGUUAUGAUUAAUUUUAACAUAAACUUGCUUCUUAUAUGCAUAAUUGAAAUUUGUAACAAAAACUGGCAUGCGAUUUAACUGGCAAAGGUAGACAUCGAUGAAGAAGAUAAGAGUCAAAUCCAUAAUGGAAAUUACUGUUGAAAGAUAAUAUUUUUUUUUUAUAAUUUAUAUGUUUAAGCUUCCUUAUGGAACUAGGUCAUUGUGGUCUUCAAUAAGUAUUAUCUGGAUUGCUAAUAAUUGGAUUAGUUUAAUUGGGUGGUUGUAAAGAAAUUAGUGUACUGAAGCAUUUGUCUUCUUUUAAAAUUUCCAUACAGUUAGUGAAUUUAUAAUUGAGGAUUGACGUAUUUUACCUUCAUGUACUUUCUGAAAUGAAACCGGAUAAGUUCCCCAUCUCCCAUGCCCCUUUCUGAAGUUGACCUUGUUGAUGUGCAUCUGAGCUAGCUUGAAUGGGUUUUAGAAUGUAUCAGUUCUAGUUUUAUAGUCUAGCUUUAAUAGAACUGAUAUCACUUAUUUCUUGUUCCUUAAUAAUUUUAUAUAUUUUUCUAGUUCUACUCCUGAAAAUGCUUUGGUACUUUUUAUCCUGACUUGCUGUCUUGUGCAGGAGUGUUUUACUUGUAUAUGAAAACAAUUGAAAGGGCUCAUAAACCAAAUGAAUUGUGGGAAAGAGUUAAACUUCCUAGAAAUUAUGAGAAGGCACUAGAAACUAUUGGCAAGCAUCUGGUACUUGAUAUUCUUAAUGACAAGCUAACCUGACUUUUAACUUUUGGAAGCACUAGAUGCAUCAUCCUUUUGGUUUUGGCAGGAGUACUGGCCUAAAUUACUUGUGCACAAAAUCAAGCAGCGCUUAACCAAAAUGACUCAGUAUCGAAUACGCAUGAGGAAGCUAGAACUGAAAGUGAGGUACGUAUUUAUUUCAGUCAUUCCGUAGUUUCAAUAUGUUACAUGUAGAGUAGCUGGAGAUCAGGGUUUCAGACACGAAAAUAGCAUCUCUGUAUUUAAAAUCAAGGCUCCAUAUGUUGAUCCUCCCCAAACCUUGCUUCGGUGGGAGUUUCAUGGAUCGAGUAUCCUUUUAGAGUAGCUGGAGACUCGAUAAUAUCAAAACUCUCCUUGUCUUGUCCUCAUAGAGGUAAAGCAUGUGUCAAUAAAGAACGACAGUGUAGGUGUAGGGUAUUAGACAAUUUUUUUUAUAAUUCCAUGUUUUGGCCUUUGGGCAACAAACAUAUUUUGAAUCCACAUCUUUUUUUUGUCCUUUGUGUUGGAGGCAAGGGAUGUCUCUUUUUUCAACAAUAUUUGGUCUUUAUAAAAAUGGGAACCAGCAAACAAUCUUUAAAAACUGGGAAGCUUUUGUUUGAUACAGGGAGAAGAUAAUUACUGUGCCUAGAAAAGAGAAAAAAAGAGAGGCAAGGAGGGAGGAAAAAGCUGAAAAAGCUGCAAUUCUUGAUAAGGUUUGUUACAUUUCUUCUUUUGUUAAUUAUUUUAUAGUCCUGUUGUCAGCAUCAGCACGUAUGACUUGUUGUAAGUGUUAUGCAGAGUAUCGAGAAUGAGCUGCUGGAGCGUCUCAAGAAAGGUGUUUAUGGUGAUAUAUAUAACUAUCCUGUUCAGGCAUAUAACAAUGUCCUGGAAAUGGAAGGCCUACAACCAAGUGCUGAGGAAGAAGAUGAAGAAGUAUGAUUUAGAGUCAAUUUCUGGCUCAUCUUCUGUUUCUUUGGCUGUUUAUAGUAACUUGUACUUGUUCUCAUUUUACCAGGAGCCAGAAGUAGAAUAUGUUGAAGGUUAUGAUGGACUCGAGGAAGAAGAGGACAUGGAAGAUUUUGGUGGUUUCGUGAAAAAUGAAUCUUUGAUGGAUGAUGAUUAUGGUAUAGAUUUUUGACCCAAGGCAUUUAUUAUUUACAUUUCUUUUUUGUUGUUGUCUGAUUAAUGCAAUAACCAUAGAAGUUCGAUACAAUAGUGACAACACUAUACUAGUGGUUCCAUUAAAAAUUUCAAUAAUGUCCGGCUCUGAACUCAAGUGGAUCACAGUUCCGCUCCCAGUUAGUCGAUCUUAUCAUCUUGGGAUGUGAAGUUUCUGCUAAAUAUGCUAAUUUGGUGCAGAUGAAAUGGAUGAAGAAAAUGAAGAAAUAGAACCAUUAGAUCAACACCCUGCCAAGAAAAUACGAAAAGCAUCUGCAUCUGAAGCUAGAAAGAUAGAAGGUGGUGAUUCUGGGAAAAAGUCAAAAAGAAAGGGGAGGGUAAUCAUUGAGGUACUGUGCCUUAUUCUCUGUAACUGAUUAAAAUCCUUCUCCUCCUUUUGCAAGUAGAAUAGUCUCAUUACAACAACAAUAGAUCCAUUGAGAUUUUUUUUUCUUUCUAAAAUAUGUAAUUUGCAGCACUCAAUCCCUUUCCGUCUUUUCCUUCCUCCCUCUGUAUUUUUUUUUUCUUUCACCUCCUUUUUGCCUUUUCUAUCUUUUCGAAGAACAUUAUAACUGAUGAGAAUUUCAACUGCUGUAACUUAAUAAUACUUUUGGAUUACACAGGUUGAGCAGGAUGAGGAAUUGGGUGAGAGACAAAAGGCACAUGUAUAAAAGCUCAAGUUCCCUUGGUUUCCUGCAUGCCCUUCACAUCAAGCAUCAUCCCAUGGUAUGUACCUCGAGGGCAGACACUUAUGGAGCGGCGAGACCGAUGUUUCCGACCCCGAACAAUUUUUGAUAUGAUGUUGGUGUUAAUGCAACAAAAUGAGUUCUGUUAGUGUAACAUCUAAUUAGUUGAAAUGUUUUGUCAUCCUUUGUGGGACUCUCGUAAGGUUAAUAUUCGUGAUUGGUAAGCAUGCAGUUUGCAUUGUCUUCCCAAAUUUAUCGAUAUCUUUAUAAAUGAAUUGUUUCGGUAGUCCACUUUCAGCCUUAAGAAAGUGUAUCAAUCACUUCAUUACCUGUUGCUAUGAUUUGAUUUUGGGUUCAAUUCUUUAGUUUUUUUUUAUCCCUUUGAAAGAAUAAGUAUGUUCGUUCACUAUUGCUAAAAUAUCAAUUCCGAACAUUAUCUAUUGGAUUUGGUGCUCUGAUGGCUAAGCUAAUAAUCAUGUUUUAAUAGCUAUAUUAAUAAAUAUGACAAUUGAAUGAACUCAAUUGUUUUAUUUGCAUCGCUUUUUUUUUUGGCCUAAAGGGCAAAACAAUAAUAAUAAUAAUAAUAACAAUAAUAAUAAUAAUAAUAAUAAUAAUGACAUGGCACUCUAUCUUCUUCUGUUUGAUGUCACGUUGUGUAUGCCUAAACCAGUUCGACCUCGACCCGACAAUCCUCUGUUCUCUUUGCUCUUCCCCGACCAACCAAUUCUCCUCCCGGCCACAACCGUUCUUUUUGGUGCCGCUUCAGGUACUCCUUCGCCCGGCAUUUCUCUUCCUUCCUCCGAUCUUGAUCUCCGUCGUCCUUCCCCUAUUCCGUGCCAUCCGCGUCUUUGUGCGCUUCGAUCCGGCCGACCCAACCGCUAUCUCGUUGCCGGAGCCUCGUGUCUUGUGCCCUUUCUCGUAGACCAUGGAUCUGGGUUUGGUUGGUUUCUUGUUCGUUUUAUACUGUUAAUUAUGAUGCCGUCGAUCUUUGUUUGCUCUUUGGCUGCAGCAGUUGGUCUCUGAACAGAGGUGCCGAUCGAUCUCUCUCGAGGAAUGCGCUGAGAUGACACCUGCUCAGGAUCCAUUCUAUGUUGUUAAAGAGGAGAUUCAAGAGUCCGUAAGUCACUGUCCCCUGAUCAUUUGCGAAUUCGUGACCAAGAGAAUUGGUCAUUUUUCUUUAGCAAGCAAUUCGAUGAUCGAUCAAGGCAUUUGUCCAAAACCUGUGCAUUCUGAGAAAUUGGACAGUUUGUUUGAUGUUCCUAUGCAAGUGGGCAUAACUUUAUUAUUUUCCAAAUCAAACGAGAACUCUGUCUAGCGGAUUUCUCAUAUUCUAAAGGCAGUCAUAUCUGUUUAUGAUUUCAUCUGCUGUUUUUUUUUUUUUUUUUCUGGUUGCAGAUUAACAAACUGCAAGUUACUUUUCAACAAUGGGAACAAACCCCUUCAAACACCGAGAGAGUGUACACCUUACAAAACAGCUUGUUGUCAGCUGUGAGAGCGUAGAGUGGCAGGUUUUACUUUAAGCAAAUACAAGUGAUUCAUGUUAUGUGUUUCUUGUUAUGUUUUAAGAAAUCUCCAUCAUCUCAAAAUGUUCAUCGUGGUAAAACUUGUGAGAGUAGAGAAGCAAGUGCACUGAACUGAAAGAUACCUUUUAGUGAAGGUAAUUUCAGCAUAAUAGUCUCCCUAAUGCUUUAAUUUCACAUAUGGGUCCCUUAUUCUCAUUAUUUAUAUGAAAGUCGCUAAGUUUUUUCUUCCAUCCUGCAAGUUAUCCCCUUCCAUCCAUUUUUCUCAAACUAUGAUCAAAAUGAAGACCUUUUUAGCCCAACAGCUAACAAAAGUUGGCUUAUGACAUAGCAAAAGAUAUCAUUAAGGGAAAACUUAUAUGGAGUACAAAGGAAGCAAAAAAAAAUGAAGAGUAAAAUUUUUCUGUUAUAUGUGUGUUGUUAAUGAUCUAAAACUGUUGGUGGAAUAUACUUGCAAUAUUCCUUCAGAUUUAACCUAAGGACCAAUAUGUACAACUUAAGAGAUUUGUAUAAGUUUCAUAUAAUCAACUAAACUGGAGGGCUGUAAAAAAUUGAAAGAUUUUGCUGCUUGUGUCUCUAUGCUUUCAUGUUAAGAAAUUUGAUAGAUUUUUUUAGCUUUCUCUAAUGUUGAUGGAAGUCAGAUGCUUCUGGACUCUAUCAAAUCUAACAAAACUUUCUUUCCUGGUUGUCUCUGAUGGUUGAACUCUUUUGUUGAACUUGAUCAUUCUCUUAAUGGAAAGGUGGAUGAAUUGGAUAUGGCAAUUGCAGUUGCUGUGAGAGAUCCUGCAUGGUAUGGUCUUGAUGAAGUUGAACUUGAAAAGCGCAGGAGAUGGACUAGCACUGCACGUUAUCAGGUAAAGCUUAAAGUAAAGUUUGGAACUAUUUCUUUAUUAUCAUUUUUUUUACGUCUUGGAUUGGUUUAAAUUUUUUGCUUAUAAUAUAGGUAACACCUUGUCCUGUGCUUGAGCUUGUGGAGACAUGCAUAUUCAGAAGUGUUACGGUCAGUAACUGUUCAGCCGUGGCCCUGAGAUCGUCGCGGCUUGGUUCGGGUCCGGAAGGUGGUGGUCAAAGGAGGGGGAGUCUCCUUGAGCCCGCUGAGUCUCCGUAGGCGAUGGACCCCGAAGGCUUCUCACCUGCACCAAGGCCGGGUCGGGGUGCUCGACCCGACCCCUCCGACGAUCAAGUUAGCGAAAGGUGCGGAGGGGGUUUUAGGAGGAGAAGAAACCUCCGAGUAUUCAGUAUGUUGAGAGUCUUUUCCCUUUUGCUUAGGACUUAGGGGUAUUUAUAGAGGAGGUUAGCAUUACCUGAUUCGACCGCCUGCUGGGGUGAGGGGGUACCUCUGAUGGCGUCUGACGCGGCUGCUGGGGUCGCGUGGUGGAGCGGUUCGUAGCAGGGUAUGGGCGAGGGGCAGGUCAUUGUCCGGCCUGGUCGUGGUCAACCAUGCGGGGUCGGAGGUCGCCUCUCAACAGCGGGAGUCGUCAGGGCGGGUCUAGUCAGCGUUAUUGCCUUGGCCGGGGGCUGUCGUCACGGCGCGUCAACGGCGCCAUUAUUUUCCCUAUCAAGAAGCACAACCAUUACAUAUUUUUAUUUGUUUCCAUUUUCUUCAUAAUUUCUGAUCAUUUCAGCAGUAAUGUAGGUGGGUAAUAUUAGGAAAACUGUAGAAGCAGGAAAGGAGAAGCAGAAUUCAUUCAGCUUAGGUACAAAUGGUGUGCGUAAAGAGCUGAUGGGGCUUCCGAAUGAUCAUGCUUCUCAGGCAGGCAGAUCAAACAAUUACAUUAACCAAGAUAAUGAGGAUUUUAUCUCUUCAGAAUCAGAUCAGCAGCUGCUCCUGAUAAAGUAAUUCUUUGUCUUUUUUCAUUUUCUGUUUUUUGUUAUAGUAGUGAAUGAGGUAUAAAAGUUUAGGAUGCAUCUUCUGCAGCAGAUUUGGGAUCUGCGAUCAGUUUUCCUAUUGGUCAGUUCAUAGUUGGUGGUCAACCAAGUUGAUAACUUUAAAUUUCUUGUUCUGGCACUCAUUGGCCAUGCUCUAUUUUGUUGGUUUUAUCAAUGCUUUCUAGGAUAUGAGAGGGGCAGUGUAAGUAGUAGGACCAGUGUUUUAUAAAUUAUAUGAAGUUUGUAUUCUUUUAAAGCUUCCACGAGUCUUUGGUCCUUGGAUACAAACUCUAGUUUCUUACUGGAGCUGUGAUAUUUAUUGACACCACGAACUGUGAAGGAAAAAUCCAUCUUCUCUAUAACAAAGAACCUCCUUAUUCAAGUUUAUUAUUAAAAAAAAAUUUAGGUACAAUAAGUGUAGAUUAGGUUACAUAAAAGAUUGCAUUUUGUUGACACCUCUUUUAUUUCCUAAAUCUUACUUCAGGAAACAAGAUGAGGAGCUGGAUGAGCUUAGUGCUAGUGUUCGGAGAAUUGGAGAUGUAGGACUUACUAUACAUGAUGAACUUGUUGGGCAGGUAUGUUCAACAACAAAAUGCCUAAAAAUGUCCUGCAAUGAUUAGUUGACUGAUAGGAAAAAAGACUCCUGUCAAACUAACAAGAUCCAAUGGUGUUGCACAUUUUGAGUAUAGUGUUCUUGCAUAAUAGAGAAUCAGGAGUUAUUUUGCCUUCCUCUAUGUAAUGAACAAUAAGUUCUCUUUUCCUAAAAAGUUCUGCUCCAAUAUUGUGGAAAAUGGAAAACAUUAUGUCUUCCGACUUGUAAAUGAUUCUGGUUGGAUCUGGUCUCAAGAACUUUGUUAUACAUUAUCUUGGUGUAUAAUGUUCGAUACAUACACAUCCUUCUUGGUGUUUAAUGUUCAAUAAUAUUCAGUAAGAUGUUUUUUGGUCAUUGCUGGAUCCUUUAGAUUUAUUAACAGCAUGGCCAUGUGAAUUCCUCACUAUAAAGAUACUUUCAUUGGGGUCAAAUAUCCUAUCAUCUUCAUAACCAUGCAAACUAGUCUCUGGUUUACAAGACAUAACAGAGCUCCUUAGUGAAGAGUUAAAUUUCAUAUUCAGUGUGUAAGACUUUCUGCUGCUGCAGGGAAAAUUAUUGGAUGAAUUCGGCAUGGAAAUGGAGACUACUUCAAACAGGCUUGACUUCGUCCAGGUUCGUUUCCGCUCCUCCCCCUCUUUUUAUUAUUGUUUUUUUCAAAAGCAAAAUUGUUGUUCAGCUUAGUGUAACCUUAGGAACAGGAUUGUUUUAUUCAUUAUGUACAUUGUUCCAAUUUAAGAUUUGAUUCAACUAAGAUCGACUUUAUUCGUGAUAUGUCUUGCUUUCAUUUUCCCAUGAGCUCGUGGUUUAUUUGAAGAUUGAUCUGGGCUUUCAUAAAUAUCUCCAAAACCAUACCGAAAGAGAAUAUUUUUCUUUGCAGAAAAAAGUUGCUAAGGUGAUGAAAAGGCGGGCGCCAAGGGCCAAAUCAUGAUGAUAGCAUUCUUGAUAGGUCUCUUCAUUAUUCUUUUAUUUUUGGUUUUAUUCACAUAGAUGGAGACUAAAUUGAUUUGGGCAGAAACACUUCGACUGUGAGCCAUGGUUCUUCGAAGAAAUAUUGAGGCUUUGUUACUUGGUGUCUUAUCAGGUUAUACAAUUCUCAAACCAGUAAAGGAUUCAUGCGUACCGCCCGCAUGGCGCAUUGUGGAUUGGACUCAUCAGCUGCUGCCACCACCAGCAUAUACUGAGUUUCUACCCUCCUGGACUGGUAGACAAAUUGCUCGUCAUCACAGCAUCUUCAAUCGAGUUACCACAUUUACCAAGGUAGAGCAACACUGACAUCCGUUUCGUUUGGGCUGCUCAAUCCAUGCACGCAUUCGGCAAUUCUGGACUAACAUAAUCUUAGGGGAAGGGAGUAAGUUUGGUUCUGCCCCAUCCUCAGCACAUAUUCAGGUGAAGCACGUAAGGCACUGUAGCUAUUCGCAUAUUCUUUGUUUCUUUUAUUUCAUCUGUGCCUAUCCUAACUAUCUCGCUGACUUUUUCCUCUCGUUUGCUUGAUUCGUUUCGAAGUCGGGCAGCCGCGUCCCAAACGUAUACGGUCACCUGAAGCAACCUCGGCAAAUCAUAUAUUAUACAAAGCAAAGAAGGUAAGUGUUGCUUUUGACCAAUAAAUCUUAGAUGAGAACGCAAACAAGUUAAGCAUUCACCGCAUUUGCUUUUCUUUUUCACGUGUUUUGAUUGAAUAAAGCAAAUAAAAAAGAAUGGGGAUUUGGUCAACUUUGCAAAGAAGACCAUCCAACAUCCAAUUCCCGAGUCAAACACAUCAACCAAUCAAGAUACCAACAACAGCGCCACGACGACAAAAACCUUUCGGUGCCAAACUAGAGCCUGUGUUUUAGAUCCAAGAAAUGCGCUCUGAAGCUCCGGGAGUAUAGUGUCAAUGCGAGGAAGAAGAUGGAGGAUAAUGGCUGCAUCCACUCCAAGGUGGAGGUUGAAGAUAAUCCAUCUGUUGCUCUGAUUCUGGAGGAUAGAUGAGCGGAGAUGAGGGAGGAAAGGGAGCAGAAGCAAAGGAAGAAGAAGCCAAGGAAGCAUCCGUGAAAGGAGAAGCUGCAGAAGCUCCAGAAUACAUCAUUUGAUCCAACAGUGCAGUCGGAGGCAUCCUCUGGUACUCCCCUUCUCCCCGCAGCAGCCUCGAGUACUCCAUGUAGUCUCUCGCGGCAACGGCGGCGGUGGAGCCGGAGGCUCCGUGUCUGCCGAACGGCUGGGACUCCAUGUGAGCCUCCGGAGUGACCGCCGGCGCUUUCCGAAGCCCGGCUUCCUCGGGGAAGUUGAGCUUGGCUCUGUUUCCUCGGAACCGGAGGGCGGCCUCGUCGUAGGCCCGGGCGGCGGCCUCGGCGGUGUCGAAGGUGCCGAGCCAGACGCGGGCGGCCUUGUGGGGGUCACGUAUCUCGGCGGCCCAUUUGCCCCAGGGGCGUCGCCGAACGCCCCUGUACCUUACUCUCUCUCCUUGCUCUGUUCCUGCCAUGGCGGCCGCCGCUUCCGCUGCAGGAGCUGCAGUUUGCUCUGUUGCUGCAAUCACAUGAAACCAGGUCACUAAUCUUACAGACUAGAAUGCGGAAGAUCAGAAAUGAACGCCUUCGCUCCUCCAACCAUCUGCCGAAGCCGCCGACGACGACGACCUCCCAAAGUCCCCAAAGCUAGCAUGCAACUCGGACGCGGCCUCAUGCACGAAGCCCUCGUUCCACCUCGUCUGCCCAUUGCCACCACCCGGCGGCGCCUCCGUGCCGCGGCCUCCCGCGACCACGUGCACCAGCGCCGACACCAUCACCGACCUCUCGUACUCCAUGAACGAGGAAGUCAGUCUUCCCGUCGGCGGCACGUGCGCUUCACCGUCGCUCCCUCCGCCGCCGUCGCCCGCUCCUGUAUCGCUAGCCACCUUGAAACACAUGCAAGCUUUGAGCUUGUUGGCUCCUCAGCGACGGUCGAAAGCCUCCAACCGUUCCAAACUUGGAUGACGAAACCAUAUAUAUAUGAAGGAAAAUGAUGAGGCCGUCGGAACGUGGUAAGCCGCCGCGAGAACUGUCAUUUGGGCCGUUGCCUCCAAGAAUCCACGUCUCUUCCAUAGACUUCAACGCGCUGCAACGUCGACAGACACAUAUAUCCCACCCAGCCAUGCUAUUGGGUAAAAAGUCAAUCAUGAGGGCGUUUUGUGGUAGUAAAAGUGUCGACGAAAUGGAGAGGAGCGUGUUCAUAUGGGUUUGACCACCGAGUCGGCGCUGCGUGUGGUUGGCCGUUGGCAACGUCGGUGCCGCCGCAUGUAUUUAGUAUAUAAUAAGGAAAGCGUGGCUGAGGAUGAGAGAGAAGGAAGAGGAUUUUUUAUCCCUUUCUAUUCCUCAAUAUAUAUAUAAUUCUGACAUAAAGAGAUUCACGGGCACUUUUAUUUUCUGUUUCAAACAUCAGAAUUAUAAAGAAAUACUCCUUGUUUUAAACAAAAAUAACAUAUUUUUGUUUUGGAUGUUUGUAGUUUCAUUUUUAACAUAUGUUCCUUGGGUGAACACAAGAAAUGUUUUCCAAUGUUAUUACGGAUAUAAAAAAAAAUCAGGUGUUUUAUAUAUACAAAAAUAAUAUGUUAUUUUCUUUAGCUGUGAUUCAAAUGGUCUCUCCGUUGAGAUUGUAGCGUGUUGAAAACCUUUGAGAUGACUAUUAAUGCAUCAAUAAGUUGGAAGUCAAAAUGUCGGGUUGCAAGCUCGGAAUCGGACACUCUGUAUGGAUCACAGCGACGCCUCUCCAUUAGCUUUCCAGCCUUCUCCAACUUGUUCUUCUUUCCACCACGGAAAUAGGAUUCUCGAGUUGCCUUGUCGGAAGGACAAGUAUCCAAUAAUAUCUCAAUCCGAUUGGAUCCAAUAAUACUUCUUUAUAGAUACCAUGGGGGGCAGGUGGUCUUCAUAUGGCAUCUGAUAAAAGUCAUCCUCUUCCAAAGGUGUAUGCUAUUGUGGUCAAAUUCGAUGGUCAUUCGAGUUGAACCGCUAUCUACAGUGAGCCUUUAAUCUGGCAAUUAACAUUGUUGGAGCUCUUUGAAGGUCGUCCUUUGCCUACGGAGCUCCGCGAACCCCGGGCUUUUGUAAACCAAGUCAAACACGAAAUGGUCAACCCCACACACGUGUCAACUGUACACUAAGAGCCGACAAAUUGGAAGCGUGUGAUGGGUUGUUGCUUCUAUAUGUUUGAUUCAAUGGCGGUGCUUUGGAUCAUCUCAUGUUGGGUUGAUUCGUUGACUAGGAUCGAAGACAAUGGAGACCAACACAUCAUGACCACCGACUCAUCCAAUUUGUAUUUUAUUAGCACGGAACAGUUGACUAUGGGGUAAAAAUCAAAGUAGGAUAGCUAGCUAGCAUCAAUGAAGUUCUCCCCAUGAUGCUCGCAUUAGCAGAGAAAGAACAUGAGCAGUGGAAAUCCAUUCUCUUACUAUCAAAUCUACGUAUGCAUGCAACGACGCCUCGUGAACGCCAACGUCAACGCUCACGACAUGUUGUGGUCCGAACAGUUGCUCUACAGUACUUCGUGUUGGUGGUGAUGAUAACAAGUGCAGGGAAAUGCAACACCAUCGAAUCGAACGGAUGAACGAUAAUGCUGCAACCAUAAGCCGCUUCCUCGGUGGCUGCCCCCAUGGUCAACUGUUGAGUUUGUACUGUGCUAAGAACACACGAAUUGGAUGAUGUGUUGGUCUCCAUUGCACUCGAUCCUAGUCAUAGAUAUAUAUAUGUUGUGUGGUCGAAGUUGGUGCGCAUAUCGAUUUCUUCUCCCUCCACGACAUUGGAACCACUUACAAGGAUGGAUGGAAGUAUUCAGCGAUUGGUUGAGGAAUAUAAAGGACUCGUGGUGGGGAAGGCAUUAGUUUUGACCGCAAUAACUUGUCAAAGCUUCUUUAUGGUUGGCUGGCAAAUUUAGUGAGCCCUUUUCAUGUCUUCCUAUGUCGACGGCUUUUGGUUUUUGGUUUUCAUGAUUACUGUUGAAACAUAGACUAUAGAUUCGACAGAUGAUGGUUUUCAUUUUCACCAUCUUUUAUACUGGUCUGUUUCGGGGUUGACUAUCUUGGAAGCCCAACAUGCAUGAACAUCCAAUCAGAUAAGAGUAUGGCUGGCUUUAGUCUCUUUCUAUGAUCAUAGACAUGUAGGUAUAUGGUCUUGAGCUCUUUCCUCUUGCUUUCCUGAUCAUGUUCUUAAUUGCUCCAUUGUUUAUAUUCAUGCUUUCAUACGUGUUCGAGUUGUAUUUUUUCUAACAGUGAUAAUUUAAUUAGAUCUACAUCGAAAAUGAACAAGAUUAAGAUUGAUUUAUAAAGGUCUAUUAAGUAUAUUAUUUAAAUUUUACUUUGAUCGGUGUUGGUAAAUGAACAGAUGAUGAUACCAAAGGCUAAUUCAAAAGGAUGUAAUGUUGUGCUUACAAACAUGUUCAAAGUGUUAUGAAAUGUCGAGGAUGGUCAAAGUCAAACGGGUGUUUGGUUGCUUGCAAGUGGAUUGUUUGCUUGCAGUAUAUUGACACGCAAUUAGAUAGAUCCCUAAGUGGACUUUCGAGGUUAAAAGACCACAUGAUUCAUUUGUUAGCUAUGAUGUAAUUGAAAGUUGGAUUCGAAUGCUCUUUUCGUUCUUUCACGUUUUGCCUUGUCAUCAAUGAUCAAAGAUCUUUUUGAAAUCAGUCAUCUCGAAUUUUGACAAUUUGAAGACAUCCAAGGAGGAUUCCAACAAGACUUAAUAACACUAAAUAGCUCACAAUAAUCAAUCCAAAAAAUUAAAAAUGUGUUUGUUAUUACUAUGAGCAUCACAAACAUUAAACGUGAUAGAACAAUGAUAGAAAGACUUUUAAAAUUUUAAAAUUUAAAUUUGUGUUUACGAUUACUACGAGCAUCACAAACAUUAAAGGACAAUGAUUAGAAAACAAUCAUGAAAGAUGGGACCUUGAAGUUGAAAAAUAGACUCGUCGAUAGUAUUAUCAUGCGGAAUCAAUCUUACCAAUCUCUUAUUCAAAUAAAAUUGAUUAAUUUAGAAGUAAUUUUGUAUAUUAUAAGUUGCCACAUAGUGACAUACUGAAUAAUUCAGAUCAUGUUCCCUAAUAUACUUAAGAAAAAAUAAAAAAUAGUAAAUAUUAAAUAUUAAUUAUGAUUAAAGAUUCUAAAUCAUGAAAUGAUUAUAUAAAGAUUGAUCUUCAUGAGGAUGGAAUCAUAUCAAUCAAUAAUAUUAUUUUUUUAAAGAAAAUAUCAAAUUAUAUAUUUGAUUUGAAUCAAUUAUUUUUAUUUAUUUUUUACUUUUUUUUUCUUUUGUUUUCUUAUACUUUAGCCUAUAAAAGAGGCAUAAAUAUUUGUAAAGGAAAUCAAUCGCAAGUGGAUCAAUCAAAUAAAUUUGGUAUGAGACAAUAUUUAUUUUUCGAUAGUAUGAUUCCACAAGACGUGCCAAGGUAUAAGACCUUCAUCCUAAAAAAUUUUUUUUAGCGAGCGAUAGUUAUUAAUUUAUUAUCUUAUUAUCUUUUAGAUACUAUUUUCUAUUCAUAUCUUUAAUAUUUCUCUAUUAUCAAAAAAAUAUUAUAUCACUCGAGAGAGUGUUCAAACUAACUUGAAGGUAUAAUUACGUUACAAGAACUACGUUUCCUUAAGCAUUUUCAGAUAUGAAUAUGAAACUUCUUCCACCUAAGUUUAACCGAAAUAUUCUAUUAUCAAGAUUUAUUCAUAUCUUAAUUAUGAAAACAUAUGAUGUGGAACCAAUAUUAUUUAUUUUUAUUUAAAUAAAAUUGAUUAAUUUACAUAUCAUAAGUUGUCAUAGGAUAACAUACUAAAUAAUUUUAUUCAAGUUUCUUAGUUUAUUAAGGAAGAAGAAAAUAUAGAAAGAAUUUAAGAAAAAUCAUAAUUAUGAUUAAAUAUUUAAAAUCCUAACGGAAGAUUUUGCUAAUAAAUCAUAUAUUUGAUUUGAUUCAUUUUAUUUUUUUUCCUUUUAUUUUUUCUUUUAUUGUAUUUAGUCUAUAAAAAAGGGUAAGUAAGAUAUUAUAAUAAAAAUCAAUCAAAGAUGAAUCAAUGGAAUAAGUUAUUUUAUUAUUUUAUUAUCCCGAGUGAGUGAUACAAGACCAACAUGAGAUCAUUUCUGAUAAUAUGAUUCUAAUAUACAAAAGUAAUCCCGAGAGUAUUCUUCUUAAGUCAGAGUAAAUAUGAUAAUUAUUCAUUUAUUUUUUAAUAUCUUUCGUAUCUCUCUUUUUUAUAUUUUUCUAUUGUCAUAAAAAAUAUUUUAUUGCUCACAUCAUAAGUCACGUUACAAACACAUUAAAAAAAUACGAUCGAAACAUCCAAAUCGACCUUAUAUGUUGUUACACCAAGUAAAAUUAUAAUCAUCGAAACCUAAAAUAUAGUUAAAACUCCCCAAAAUAAUCAUAGAGUACCAGAGAAAUCAAAAGAAAUGGAAUCAUUCCAAAGAGAAUUGCAAACUAAAACACGCAUUACUUGCAUAAAUAACAUACACUAACCAAGACUUAUCUUUAGAAAAUUGAUGAAUGAAAAGUUAGCACCUUAACAUUUGUGACACGAUAGUCGGGUGAGCAACACUCCUCCAACCUCGCCCAAAGCAGGAUGCUGCUGCCUUCUCUACCGAGGACUUAAGACAAAUGUGUUUCCUACUACAACACAAUGACAUGAGGCUUAUAUUGACUUCUUAGCUUAGUGAGAUAAUCCGUAACAUGCCUUCUUCUAAGGUCUCUCUACGAUACCGGCUAAGAACAAUCAUAAGCUAAGCUAGGAGGAAUGAGGAGAGGAGGAGAAAACAUGCUCAAUGUUCUUUAUAACAUCAGUCGAUGGCUGGCUGGUCUUUCUCUUUUUAUGCUUCGAUCGAUCAUCCCUCUCGUGCCUAUGACCAAGUUACUCCAAUUCAAAUAUAAAAUCUACAGUAUUGUCGAAGAGAACUAGACUCAUCUUUAAUUUAAUUAAUAGAUUACGGACAAGAAGAGAUAAGAGAAGAUAUAUAAUCUCGAAAAAAAUAAAAAAUUAUAAUCUCUAAAAAAUAUUCACGUCUCCACUUUGAGUUCCUAAAAGAUACUAUUAUUUAUGAUAAAUAAUUAAAAAAUUAUUCUCAUCAAGAUGAUCUUGUAAAAAAUUCUAUCAUAAUUAAAAUUUUUUACUGAUAAUUAUCAUUAGAUACUAAUUAAAUAUAUAAUAUAUUUUUUUUUAUCAAAUUAGAUAAAACUAAAUAAUCUGCUUUAAUUUUUCCCUUCCAAUGCGACAAAUCUCAAGGCUUAAUUGUCAUCGUUUUAUCUGCACUCUGUACUCUCUUAUACUAUUAUUUGGGCCGUGCAUAUUUGGAUCCACGGCCCAAAUCUCCUUGAUGUUUCAUCCUCACCGCGUGAUCGAAGAGCCUUCCAACCUUGCCAGGUGCGUUGCCGUCCACAGAGUGCCGUGCUUUAGUGGUGUUGACACGGUCCACCAAUUUGUGCCCUCCACAACCACAGUGGAACCAAACUAUCUUUUCAAGAGCAUUACGUGUUAAAAUAUGGGUUCAUUUGAUGUCAAUUUCUCACUUUAUUUUUGUAGAAAUUAAUUUUUUUUAAAAUCUUAAUAUGGAUGAUUUUACCUCAUGUCAACUCAUCUGUCACGGAGACUAAUACUUAAGCAGGACUCUAAGUCAUCAACCCAAAAUGAUACAGUAAUGCAUCUCGACGUGUCCCGCAUCAAUAACUGACAAUGAUCGUCCUACCUUAUCAAGAUCAUAGAAUAAUCAGACGAUUCACUUAAUUUCGUUCAAGAGCAACAAAUAAGAAGGCACAUGAAUUAAGUCUAAAAAGAAGAGGAAACUAUUUAUACACUAAAUUAAUUAUAUAGUUUAUAUUACUAUUUUUUUUACUAAUUUAAGCAUCAGAGGGAUUGUAUCAAAUAACCUUCAACAUCGACCUGUCAUAUAUGAUCGUUGAUCGCUUAACGACACACGAUUUCCAAUUAGACGAUUUCACCCCAAAAAAAAAAAAAAACACGAAUAAACUUGCACCUUAGGUAAUAAAUGAAUCAUACUAUGAUUCUCGUAACAUCACACCUAAAUUCAUGCUUUGCUGAGGAAAUUAGGAAAUUCGAGAGAAGUCUAGAAUCUCAUCAAGGUGACAUGACAAGCGGGCAAAGUCCCACUCAAUGUGUGGUGUAGAAUGUCAUACUUUCUAUUACCGUGGGACAUACUUUGACUUAGUCGUCCAAUGCCUUUGAUGCACUGUAGCCGACAGGAUAGACGAGCUCUGCAAUGAACAUCCCAACGUCCAGAAAAUAACACAUCUCUCCUCUCCUCUCCUCUCCUGCUUACAGCAAGAAAAACCUAUUCUUACAACCAGCAAAUGAGUUCACAGAGCCUGUCGAUCAUGCAGUCAACUGCAUCCAACAACGUAAAAACCUGAAAGGAUCAGCUGACGAUAUCAUAUCUGACAGUGGUUGCAAACAGUAUCCACACCGCUCGGAUGAGAAGUGAAAUGUGAAUCGAGCCUGAUUAUGAUUGGAUUUGAUCGUGGAAGAUCUAUUUCAGAUGCGACGACAGGUAUAAUAAAAAUCUAGUCGGGUCAACAAAUCGAGUUAUGGCGUGCGGCCUUUUCUUCGUCUUAGACCAACUUGGAUAGAGAGCCAUGCCAUGGACAAGUCUGAUCUUUCUCCCACCUGCACGGCAUCUGCCUGAAGCUUCUGCCUUCUGAGGCGCUUGCGAAGACCGCAGAAACAGAUAAAAACCACAGCAGUUGACUCCGAUGGAAGACCGAAUAGCUUAACCAAUAGAAAGCGAGUCGCCUUCCCGAUGGCGGUUUCGUCGCCUUUCCUCCUCGCAGUCAAACUUUCUUCCUCCUCUUACGUAUCUUUCAAGCAAUCGACACCCACCAAACCCUAGCCUCGACCUCCCGAUUGCCAUCGACCGCGGCCAUGGAGGUCGGUCUCCAGGUGCUGAUCGCCGCCGCCGCCAGCUUCCUCUUCGUCGCCCUUCUCAUCGGGAGCCUGUUCCUCGUCUGCCGCGGCCGGGCCAAGCCCCGACCUUUCGGCUCCCAGAUCGCCUCCGACGUCGAGGGGGCGCCCGACUUCCGCUCGCUGGACCGCCUGCGCUCCUCGUCGUCCCACUCCGGCGCCGGGGACGAGAGCAGCGCGUCGUACGACCCGUCGCUGGACCGGAUCUCCAUGUCGGAGCUGAUCGCCGCGACGAGGAACUUCGCGCCCGACGGCAUCAUCGGGGACGGCAGCUUCGGGUUCGUCUACAAGGCCCAGCUGUCGUCGGGCGCCACGGUCGCGGUGAAGCGGUUGUCCGCCGACGCCGUUCACGGCGUGCGGGAGUUCCGAGCGGAGAUGGACACCCUGGGGCGGAUCCGGCACCCGAACCUGGCGCGCAUGCUGGGGUUCUGCGUCGCCGGCCGCGACCACGUGCUCAUCUACGAGUACCUGGAGAACGGCAGCCUGGACCAGUGGCUGCACGAGCCGGACGCCGAGGGGCGCCCGCGGCGGCUGCCAUGGCCGGCUCGGGUGAGGAUCAUGCGAGGUGUGGCGGCGGGGUUGGCGUUCCUGCACGACGGCUGCCGGCCGGCGGUGAUCCACCGCGACAUCAAGGCCAGCAACGUGCUGCUCGACGAGGGCUUCGAGGCGCGGAUCACCGACUUCGGGCUGGCGCGGGUGGUGGAGGCGCCCCGGACCCACGUCUCGACGCAGGCGGCGGGGACGAUGGGGUACAUGGCGCCGGAGAACCGGGAGGGGGCAACAGCGGUCACGCCCAUGGCGGACGUCUACAGCUUCGGAAUACUGAUGCUGGAGGUGGCGACGGGGCAGCGGCCUAACCUGACGGUGCGACCGGAGGGCGGCGCCGGGGGGGAGGUCGGGCUGGCGCGGUGGGCCCGGGGGAUGGUGGAGCAGGGGCGGGGCCCGGAGGUCCUGGACCGCGAGAUGGGGGAGGCAGAGACGAUGGAGAGCCAGGUGCGGGGUUUCCUGGACGUGGCCUACCGCUGCACCGAGGAUGGACCCCGCGACAGGCCCGCCAUGAUCGAGGUAGUCGCUGCUCUGGCCCAGCUCUGAGACACCAGGAAAAGACGUUUCUAUCCAUGUUCCUUAUCUCGUUUCACUGUACCCAUGACACCGAACAAGGAAUAUACAAUUCAUCCACUCUGUUAAUUGUUCAUAGACGUUAAUAGCUACAUAGAUAGAUCGUAUCAUUCAUUAUAUAUAUAUUUAUAUAUAUUCACGCAAUUUAUUCAUGCGAUUGUUUUAAGUUAGUGUUUAUUUUCCUUUUGUACUAUUUCAUCUUAAAUAUAAUGGGGCAUUUUAUCCAAAAAAAAAAAAAAAACCCUUGAUGUGUUUUUUUUAUGGAUGACCCCCUUAUUCGUUUGAAUUUUAAUAGUCGUAAUCUUAUUUUCCACUAUUGAUAAUCCAUUGCUAUAGACAAUCCCUUAAAAAUAUUAUUUAUUAUUUAUAAUUAUGGUAUAAAUGAUUUUAUCACUUUCUUUUUUUCUUCUUUAUAACCUUGUAUUUCAUCCUCGCUAUCAAUGUCGUCGCUUGUUGACGACAUUAUCGUCAACCCUAUUCGUUGCGGACGUCGCUCAUCACCCCCUUCGACAUUGUUCACUGUCAACACUUGACAUCACUCAAUGUCGUUCGAACCCACUCGUCAUUGAUGUCAUUCGAUCCUACUCAUCGACCUCUCGAUACUUUAAAGAACAAGAAGAAUAAAGUAUUUAUGUCCACUUACUAAAGGAUAGUUCAAUAGUAAUAAAAAAAAAAUAAAUUAUGAUAAUAAAUAAUAAAAAAACUAUAAAUUAAAAUUUUUAUUUAAUAAUAAUAUAAUAUUAUUUUAUUAUUUACAACCCUAGUAUUAUCGAUUUUUUUUUUCCAUCGCUAUCGACACCAUUCCCUAUCAACAUAAUUGAUGCUAACCCCACUUGUUGUGGAUGUCACUCAACCCUCUUUGAUGCCUCUUCACUUGUUGUGGGCACUGUUGACGCUCGCACGAUGAGCCCUCAUCGCUCGCUAUAGGUGUAGUUGGAAACGAUAUGAAGGAGGAAGAGGAGGAUAUUUAUGUUCAUUUAUAAAAGAAUAGUUUACAAUUGAUUAAAAUAUUUAAAAUAGGAUUGUAUAUAAUAAAAAUAGGUUACAAAUAGUAAUCUCCUUUCAUUUUUACUUGGGGGAAUUAAUUUUUUUUUAUAAACACUAAAAAAGUAUAAACCAAACCAAAUUCAACCUGUUGUAUUUGAACUACUUUGGAUUACACUGCAAUCGAGUCUAACCCUAACUCUAGUGUAAUUAUAGCGAAUGGUGGGUGACGACAUCUCAUUUGCUUUCUUUCCUCUGAUGUCUCCUCGGUGACGAUGUUUCUCCAAAACCAACGUUAUACUUAUGCUUACCAUUUAUAAUUGAAUGAUAAAAUUAAAUACUAAUUAUUGUAAUUAAUACUAUAGCUAGUAGAGUGCCAUUAAUUUGUAAGAAUCAUCAACCCAUGUUAAGACGAUCUCGACUCUUAAAAAAAUUAAGACAAAUCAUAAGAUAAAAGACUAUAAUCUAUAUUAUAUUUAUAUUUAUUUUUGAACAUUAGAUGUUUCAAAACAUUAGCAUCGAGGAGACAUCGAGAGGAGACAUGAGUGUUAAGGAAGGAAAGCCAACAAGAUAUCAUCGUCUAUCCUUUGUUACAGUUAUACUAGGGUUACACUCGGUUGUAAUGUAACUCAAAUUAUCUAAUGAGAGAAUUUUAAUUAAAUUAAUUUAAAAUUAAUUUAAUUUUAAACAAUUCAGAUGCAUAUGGUCAAUUUGAUUUUAGUUCAUGAGAUUUUUUGUCAUUUAUACAAAAAAAAAUGGUGUAAGAGAUAAUGAGAUUUAAUUAUGAGUUUGCUUAAUCAUAUUGGACUCUUACACAAUACGGAUAAAGUAUUUUCUUCUUUACUCGUAUUCACUAUUAACACUUCAUUAUAUUUUCUUUGAAAAGUAUAUAUUCGACAACCAUCCUUUCUCUCUAAAGUUAUCUCUGUCUUUAAGGAUGAUUCCUCUUCCACUAAUCUUGUGGUCACUCCCCAUCCACCAUCCAAUCAGGAUGCUAACUUUGUAGAGCACUACUAAUUAACUCUUUUUCUAAUAUAAUGUUUUCUUAGAGGUUCUAUAUUCUGCUUUGGUAAUCGUGAUAGAUACACAAUUCCUCUUCCACUAAUUAACAUGUUAAAGAUCAUGUUAUUUUGCUAAUCAAUUCUGUGGUGAAAUUUGAUUGCAUGGAACUCAUCUACAUACUUAAUCGUUUUACGUCUGCUGCUUGAUCACUUAUGGAUGUAAUUAUUUGAGCUCAUAUCAAUCGUUCAAGAAAUAUCGUAAAUUGCUGUGCUCGAAUUCUGUCUUUAUUGUUUAUCAUUCAUAAAAAUUAAUAAAACUAAAACUAUAUUCUAACGUUGAGCAAAACCUCCCAAUUAUAGGAAUCGAUCCUCGAUGCCUAAACAGGGAUCAGACUCCCACACUUUGAAUCCACCCAUUUCCAUUAUUCCGCAUAAUUAACUUAACCAUCGAAGAGGUCAGGAGGUCAGGUCAGGAAAUCUCUCCCAAUGUCAACUUUUGUGUAGGAUCCCUGAGGAGAUCUAAACCUACGUCAGCCUAGCUUUGGAACCAUCUCGGAUACUCGAAGUCCAUCUCGGAUCCACCUCAACUAACACAUCUCUAACAGUAACUCCCUCGCCUGAUCAUUAUGAGAGUCAUUUGGAUGACUUUGCAUCUUCAAUAUCAGAUCAAGUUUUGUUUGAGUUCUGGUUGAGGACAUCAAAACAAUAACAAGCAAAAAUUUCAUAAGAGAACCAGAUAGGUAUAUGUCUAGAAACACUUCAUAAUUAAAAAUUCUUAUUAUAUAUAAUAACUCACAACUAUGAGACAUUUCAUUUAUAUAUUUUUCUUUUUUUUUUAAUUUGAAGCAUUACAUUACCUCAUGCUUAUAGAAGAAACUAACAACUUCACUUUAACCAAUGAAAUAACUCUUUAAAAUGAUCACGUAUCUAAUUAUAAAAUUUAAUUCAAUAUUUCAUCAUGCAAACCAAAGAGAAAAGUAUGGCUUAUGUAAUUGUAUAUUAGUUCAUAAGUAUUGGAUCCAAUCAUCCCACGUGGCCGAUGGGGGACAAAAUGUCCCUUUCUGAAGGAAUGGAGGGCAAUACUGUCCAUUCAAUCGGAAUCAGCCCACCUCUUCAAUUCAAUUUACGAAGAAAAAGACCUCCGGUUCAAUUAAUUGAACCGAGUGGUUAAAUUGCCGACCAGACUCGUCCGACUCGAUCUCCGGUCCGGUUCUCAUCCCGUGGCGUUUCGUGAAGGAUCGCAGACCCUCUCCGUCUCCGAUCCAUUUCCCCACGCCAGAGAUCGAAGGAGUGGCGAGGGGAAGAGGAGGAGGAGACUAUGGCCUCCGCCGAUCUGAUCAGAUCUUGUAUCGACUCCAUUCGCCAGGUAAUGAAAAGGUCGCUUCCCUUGUAAAUUUCUUCUUCUGCUCCUCCUCAGUUGCUAUUUAGGAUUAACUUCGUAUUUCCUUGUUAUGUCAAAGAUAAGACUAGAAUUGGAUCGGAUUCAUAACGAAGGUGAUAGAUGAGAACUGUUGUUAUGUGAUGCCUGCGUAUUAUUAUUAUUAUUAUUAUUAUUAUUAUGCGAUCUGCAGUUUUGUUACUGUAGAAUGCAUGUGGCGCGGUGCUGCGCUUGCGAACAUUUCUGCUUAGGUUAUUGAAUUCUUAUGGAUUUAGGUAUGUCGACUGAGAGCAGACUAUCUUGGGGGGCAUUCCAGUAGGUUCUUCUUUUGCUAACCGUGUUCUGGCAGUGUACCUCUUUUGUUCUUUUACUUCUCUUGAGUUGGUGUUAUUGCCAGUGUUGCCUUACUCGAUUUAGGGGCAAAAGACUUUGCAUGCCGGUGAAUGAUAUAUUCGUUGAACAGAUUGAUACUAAUUGAUUCUCUUUUGGCAAUUGGCUCUUGCAGAGAUGACACUUAGCUAGGAUGAGUUUUGGGAAAAUUUUAGCCUGUUGAUGUUGCUUGUAACUGCAGAGAUUUGAUGAGCUAUAAAGGAUAAUUUUAUAUCAAUACCAUUCAGACAUAAAAUCAAGUCUUUUAUGACAAAGAAAUUAGGAUAUUGUGCAAUACUCGGUUAUAAUUUCUCUAGCAAAGGUGUAUAAGAACACCUUUCAAUUUUCUUGUUUCUUCAUGAUAAUAUAUCCUUAAUGGUUAGUAUAUAACGAGGGGCAAUUGUUUUUGGGGAAAUCCCAAAUAGAUGAUAACUUCCAUAUUUAAAGUUUGUACAUGAAAACAUCUCUGUCCCAAAAUGCAAUAUAAACUUAAUAGUAUUAUGGUUUUUGUCAUACAUAAGUGCCCUGCCAAAACAAUCUAAGUCAAGAAUAACAUCAUAGCAUUGAGAUAAUUAGCUACUUAAUGCUUAUUAAUGAAAAUGCAAUUCUCAUAUCAUGUUGGAGAAGAUGUUAUUGUGUUUUCUUUCAAUUAAUUCAUUGCUUACUUUUUUUUUUCCUAACAUGGUUUGAACUUUGAACUGUGGUGUUAGAAUGAACUACAACGACAGUUUCAGUGUCUUUGGGGUUUGCGACAAGAAAUAAUGAUAAGUAAUAAUAUUGAAAGUAAUAAUAUUUCAAAUAUUGUUAUAUAAAAAAAUUGUGAAGUACUAAAAAAUUAAAAGCUUCUGGGUAAUGUUUUUUGGUUUGUAUAUGCCAUAGGGAAUAUCAUUGCUACAAUGAUACUUGUAAAAUUUAUAAAUUAAAAAAAAAAAGCCUUGGCUGCCCUGGCUUACAUAGUGUCAUGUGUUUGGUACAUGUUUAUUUCACAGUUACCAGAACAACCUAACUAAAUGGCUCGAGAAAAAAGUAUCGUUGUGUCUUUUUUUUUUUUUCUAUUUUUGGUCUCCCAUUUCAGAGUACCUAAGUUAGGCAUUGUUUGAGACAAAUUCACAGUAGAGGACUAUUGAAUUUUAUGACAGAAAACUAACAUAUUUCACUACAGGAAUGUAUGAGACAAAAUUCUUUCUAUUUGCUAGCUACAUACUUUCAAUUUAUGGAAAUGAUCCUUUUUUUUGUUUUCAUACUUUCAGAUUUCAGAUCAACUUGCAGACUCCAUUCUUUAUCUUGAUGCGGGUUGUCUAGAGGCUUUCCAUUUCAUUGGAGCAUUCCCAGUUUUAUUGGAACUUGGAGUGCAUGCUGUUUGCAGCUUAGAAAAUGCAUCUCCACUUGAUAUGGUAAUGCUAAAUAGCCAUUACUAUUCAGUUUGCAGUUUAAUGUUCUUAGUUUCUCCAUGUGAAUAAUGAUGUAUGAUUGUAUGCUAAUAUUGUAAAAAGUGCACAUCGUCACAUGGUUUGUGUUCCAUCAAAAAGUUUGUCUGAAUCUGUCACUUAAGUUAGUUACUCCUUUUGGAAUUGAUGUUCUUAUAUUGCAUUUUGGUGCACUUGAUCACGAUUGCAGACUACAAAUAUUCUUUGUUGUAUUCUAUCAAAUAUAUACCUUUUAAUUUCUUCUUCUUUUAUCUAUAUUGCAGACUACGAGUUGGAACUCAAUGUUUGUGGGUCCUACAAGGAAGGUUGUAAUUAUUACCUCACGUCUCCUUAGUGAUGCACAUCGGUACAUAUUACGUUGCUUGGGUACCAACAGAACUGUUCUUCGAUGUAUUAUUUUUACUUCUAUCUCAGAGGUGCAGUCUUCAGUCCUAAACUGACUUGGUAAAUUAAGUUUCCAUAGGUGAUUAAUAAGGUUACAUUAAGAAUAAUAAACAUUCUUUCUUCUACUAUAUAAGAGCAAAUACCUUUUGCUUAUAGUGACAUUGUUGCAUGAUCUUCAUCUGGAAGCUGUUCAUUAUAUUUCUUCAGUGAAUUGCGAGCAUGAUUUGAAUAAUAUAAGCCACUACAUCAAGAAACUGCCUUAUGCAUUCCUUUGGUCUCCUUCAUUGUUUGUGUUAUGCUUUCUACCUGAUUAUAAUUUGAUCCUGUAUUAACUAGUCGUUUUUCAACUCUUUCCUAGUGUCACAUGGACUAGGCUCUCUUGGUUUUUAUUUAUUUAUUUAUUUUUGUUAUACUGUCAAUCCUUAUUUCUGCUCGUUACUUUCAGAUUGCUCAUUCAGCAUACAUCGAUUCACCUCUUGGGCCUGAUGCCUUUAAUGAAUAUGAGUCAUUGCUUAUUCAAGACUAUGAAGAGCUCUUGAAAAAAUCUGGAAAAAGGGGACUUCACUUUCAUCAAGAGAGAGAAGCAGAGGCUUCUGAAAAUGAUGGUUGGGCAGAUCUUGCUUCUGGUGCAAGUUAUCAAUCUGUUGAAGCUAGCUCCAAAGGAGACAUAUAUGCUGAUGAUUUGGUCAAUGUUACAGGAAAACAAGAGUCCAAAAAGUUGCUCGUUUCUGUUCAUCACUUCCCAAUGAUCUUGUGUCCUCUUUCCCCUCGAGUCUUUGUUUUGCCUUCAGAAGGAACAGUUGCAGAAGCAUGCUUGUCAAAUGACUCUGAUGAUUCUGUUAGUCCUGGAUUGCCCUCUAUUUCUACUGGAUUACCUUCUGAUGGUGAAGAUGUUCCUCCUGGUGCAACACUUACUGCUAAUUUCCUUUACCAUCUUGCAGCAAAGGUAGGUUUUAUUGCCAUUAUUCUUAAUUAUUAUGUUAAUUAUGACUCUUUAUUUUUUUCAUUUAUCUAGUUAAAUUAUGAUUGAUAGUUGUCUUCUACCAUAUUACUUGCUCCAUCUAUGGUUUUUGAAAAUGUUCAGAUGGAUUUGAAGAUGGAAAUAUUUUCUCUAGGAGAUACAUCAAGACUCAUUGGCAAGAUGUUGAUGGACAUGUCAAGUCUGUAUGAUGUAGGUCGGCGUAAUAAAAGAUCAGCUGGUUUGUUACUUAUUGAUCGCACCCUUGAUCUUCUUACACCCUGCUGCCAUGGUGACUCAUUUCUCGAUCGACUGUUUUGCUCUUUGCCUCGUAGAGAGAGGAUCUCAUCUUCUUUACCAGCUAAAAGCUCCCCAGCACCAAAACUAGGUACCCACAUUAAAGUUCAACGUGCACCACUUGAUAUACGGAUUCCAUUUGGAACUAUUUUCAGUACAGAUGAACAUGCAACGAACAGCACUCAGCUAUCUGAAGGAAUUGGAGCUUUUAUAUCAGGCUGGAACGCUGGUGCAAUUGUCAACGAAUCUUCUGAUCAUGCCGACAAAAUUAUCACUAGUGCGUUAGAUAAUGGAUAUAGUUUGCUGAGUGGAUCAUUUCAAUCUAAUUGUGCAGGAGCAAACUAUCUUGAAACCUUGCUUGAUAGAAGGGCAAAAGAUGGGGCAAUUCUAAUAAAGAAAUGGCUCUUGGAAACUCUGCAGCAUGAGAACAUAAAUGUUAAUCUAAAAGGUCGGCCAGGUCUUUUAUCUGCUUCAGAGAUUCAUGCUAUGCUUAAAAGACUGGCUCAAAAUCAGAUGUCUUUAAUUCAAAACAAGGGCAUCAUUCAAUUAGUGUUAGCUGCUGUACUUGCCCUUAGUGAGCCUCAUAACUCCCACUGGGAUGCCUUUGUUAAUGCUGAGAAGAUAUUGUCUAUAACUUCUCUAGACACUAGUCAAAGCCUUUCAAGUCAAAUUCGUGAUUUUAUCAAUACGAGUACUUCAGUAAGAUCUAAUGAACAAGAUAGAAGGGUCCGACCAUCUCAGAAUCUUCUCUCUUUUCAAGAUGCACUGCUUCUGUCAAUGAUCGGGUAUAUUCUAGCUGGGGAAAGCUUUCCGACAUCUGCAUCUAGUGGACCUUUUUCUUGGGAAGAGGAGCAUUCCCUUAAAGAAGCUAUAGUGGAUGCAGUUACGGAAAAUCCAUCAUCUGCAAAGCUUCAGUUCCUCCAUGGUCUAUGUAAUGAACUUGAAGCCAAGUUGAAUGAGCAGGAAGAUUCAGCCAAGCCACCAAAAGUUGAUGCCUUUGAUGAUCAGUGGGGUAGCUGGGAUGAUGAAGAAGCAGAUGAUCAAAAUGAACAAGCAUAUGGUGACAUGCAGCUUAAACUAGAGUUGCGAGAUAGGGUCGAUCAACUAUUCAAAUUCUUUAAUAAGUUAUCUAGUUUGAAGAGGAGAAACUUAACUCUCCGAGAAGGGUUGGUUGCAUCAAGUAAAUAUGGCAGUGAUGCGGACACACGGAAGGGUUUGCUUUAUAAGCUUCUAACAACUUUGUUGGCGAAGUAUGAUGUUCCUGGACUUGAGUACCAUUCAUCUGCAGUAGGGCGGUUUUUGAAGAGUGGGUUUGGUAGAUUUGGCCUUGGACAGGUGGGUCUUUUAUUUACACUUAUUGAAGUUUUGCCAAUAAUCUUAGCUGCAUUAACAUUUAGAAUUAAUUUUUUUCAGGCUAAACCAAGUUUUGGAGAUCAAAGUGUUCUUCUUGUUUUUGUUGUGGGGGGCAUUAAUAAUCUUGAGGUAAAUUUCUUUUCUUUACUUCAUGUGACCAUUUUUUUCCUGAAAAAAUGUUUUACUGUCCAGUAAAUAAGAUUUUUCUUGAAGUCGGAUCCUCAUUUGUUUCUCAAGCAUGGUAGGUAUUCCAUACCCUCACUGUUCUUGCAGAUUGCAUAAAAUUGUUGAGGUGCUUUUUAAUGAAUGGAUCGUUCCUAUUUUGUUUAUAUGGACACUGGAGAAAGCAUUGCGUCAAUUUUUCAUCUUACAUAGAAGUUGAUCUUGUUUGAAUAUUCAAAUUAGUUUUUCAAAUUGUAAUCUGAAGAUGUGUGUUUCACAUUAGUCUUUUUGUAAUUAUCUUGGGCAUCGAUAGCGCUAAUGUCAAGAGAUGUGAUGUAGCAAUUGCAGAUGAUAUGAACCUUUUACUUAACGUCAAUAUUCAUCUCAAUAGUCGACUUACAACUAAUGUCAGUUAUGGUUCUUUUUGAAGUACGUUACCAGACAGCGCUAAUUAACUAACAUACUGAAUUUUUUACUUAUCCAAGAUUCGGGAAGCUAUGGAAGCAGUUGCAGAAUAUGGUAGGCCCGACAUAGAGCUGAUUGUUGGUGGUACAACUUUGCUGACACCAAGUGAUAUGUUUGAUCUUCUCUUGGGCUCUUCCAGCUACAUUUGACAUUGUCUAAGGGCUUCAAAAUUCAAAAUUAGAAGUCCAUUUCUCUCAUUUGAGAUGACAAAUUCACAUGCUAGUCUUCUGGACAAAGCGUGUAGGCUGUCAUCUCUUAAAGCAGAAGUAGUUGCUGUUCCUUUGACUAAUUAUACAGAGUAAGCUUCCUUUUUUCUACUAACCUUUGCGCACACCACCUGUAGAAAAGUUUGAUGGAUAUAUAAUAGGAUGAUUCCACAGAGAGUUUUGUUUGUUUAAGUCAAGAUUCAGGGAGAAAGAUGCCAUGGGUAUCGAACAAGCUGGCAGAGAAACCUGAUUUCAGAUAAAGCUGCGGCCAUAGAGAACGCUCGAGAGGAAAGAAAUCAUGCUGACAUUCAGAUGUUGGUUUAGCGAAACCCGUCUGCAAAGCAAGCUGGCAAAAUCAUGAACCAAGAAAAUUGCUAUCCGGUUGGAAACCUUUUUUGUGGGAACUUGAUUGGUUUUUCCUGGUUCUUCAUGAAUGUAAAGGUUUUGGCACUAUCCCUGCUUCAUCUAGUAUUGCACUAAAUGGUGGAUUGUGGGAGCUCGUGAGGGAUCACCAAACACUUGUAUCAACUUCAAGUGCUGUUUAGGUCAAAUAACCGACUGCAUUGUUCAAUCUCAUGCUUUGAGUUUACUGCUUUUCUUGGUUAGCAGCUUAAAGUUGGUUGUAACUUUUUGAUUUCUGUAGAACCAUUUGUCUUGAGCCUCAUUAGUUUGAUUUGUUCUUAAUAGAUAUUUAUCAUGGGAACUCUCAUUUUUUGGGUGGGCUGGCAGUUCUGUUGUAUCUGGACAAGUUUAUGCCUCCAACUUACUACUCUCUUUCCCAGUUUUGGUAAUGAUGACAAUUUGGCUUGACUUUUACAUGGCAAUUAAUUUAUGAAUAUGAUUAUUGAAAGACAAAAUGAAGGGCAUGUCGUAAUGUGCAUAGAACGUGCAAACUAAUAGUAAAAUACCAAAAGGAAAAAAAUACAUAUAUGCGAACACAUUACUUCAUGAACAAUAUACCAACAGAGAAGGAAGAAAGCAGCCCAAUGAAGAGACAUCUCAUUUAGUGGAUGAGAACCGGGAAGUAGUCAACGCAUUUCUCCCUGUUGACUACUAAUGCAGAAAGAAAAGAAAAGCCAUCACAUCAGAAAGAUCAAUUUAAUGCUAAUAAGAAUUGCAAUUACUGAAGGAGGAGCAGCAGGUCAUCAUCGAUUUGAAACCGUCAACUAUUGAUAGCACUGACGUGCAUAACACGUCCCCAUUUCUUUGUCUCCACUAGAUUGGAGCAGCGAAGAAGGGAAGAAGGCUUGACGUAGUUGUGGUUUUCCUUACAGAGAAGAGAGCAGAAGCAGGAAGAAGAAGAGACCGAAGUUGGCAUCUCGAUCGCCAUGUACACUCACGGGAAGCAUGCCAAGACGGAGUCUGAGACGUCGAGCAUCUCGCUGUCGUCCCCUCCUCCCUCCCCUCCCCGGCCCGCCUACUACGUCCAGAGCCCACUGGAAUACGGCGACAGGGCGACGGCCACAUCGUACCACUCCACACCGGCGCGCCCCCCGACCCACAACCACCAUUCCCGGGAUUCCUUCACCGCCCGCCUCUCGUCGACUCCCGGCACCAGGAAGGUCUCCCUCAACUACGGCGUGACGGGCGCUGAUCGCCACCGGGACGACAUGCCAUGGCGGGACACCGCGGCGAUCGAGGAGGAAAGCCUGCUCCGCGACGGCGAGCAAGAAGAGAAGCGCCUUCCCCGUAGAUUCUACGUCCUCGCGUUCGUCGCGGUGUUCCUCGUCCUCUUCUUCCUCUUCGCGCUGGUCCUGUGGGGCGCCAGUCGCCAUCAGAGCCCGCAGGUCACCAUGAACGUAAUCUCCUCGCCUCUUCGCCCCGUUCUAUGCUUCCAAGCAUUUCGUCGAACACAACCAUAGGUUAAUAACGGAGCGACUCCGCGUUGUCACAGAGCAUCACGUUCGAGGAUUUCUACGUCCAAGCCGGCACCGAUUCCUCCCUCGUGCCCACCGAUCUGCUGACUCUGAACUCGACGGUGAAGCUCACCUACCGCAACACCGGGAGCUUCUUCGGCGUGCACGUGACCUCGACGCCGGUGCUGCUCAACUACUACCAGCUCGCGAUCGCCAGCGGCAGCGUGAGCACGCAUCAUCAUCUCUGCGACUUGAUCUGUGGAUGUCGUGGUUGACUCGGAGUUGCUCGUUUUGCAGAUAGAUUACUUCUACCAAUCCCGGAAGAGUCAGAGGAACCUCCAUGUGGCGGUGAUGAGCAGCAAGCUCCCACUCUACGGCGGCGGGUCGGGUCUCAGCGGCCGGCCAAAUGGUCAACCAGUGAACCUGACCCUCAGCGUCACCGUCAGGUCAAGGGCACACGUGCUGGGAAAACUGGUGAAGCCCAAGUUCUACAGCCAUGUCCGGUGUGCUAUUGUGAUGGACCAGACCAGGUUGGACACGCCUGUGUCUCUCAAGAACUCAUGCCAGUACAGUUGAAAGCACACAGCAAGCUCGAGAUAAAUGUGUAUUGGAGGAAGACUUCACAUAGAGGAGGAAGAAGAAGGAUUGGAUUCAUUCUCUUUUGUUCUUACAUGGGUUAUAGAUCUUUGAAUACAUUUUGUAUACGAUUCUGUGUUCUUCUUCUAAUAAAGAAAGCUUUUUUUCUGAAACAAAAAUGUCAGCUAUAUGUACAUGCCAUCCUCACUUCAUCAGCAUAUUGUUGUAGAGAGUUGAUGCAGAUAUGUCAAAGAAGACUCAUUCAACUAAGUAGCUCGAUUGCUUUGAAACACUCCUCUUUUGAUGCUUUUCUUCUACAUGAGGAGUGGUUAGCACGAUUUGGAGGAAGUCAAUUUACCACUUAAAUAGAUGUUUAGGUGCAACUGCAUGUCUACGCAUUGGUUGCGUGCAACAUUGUCUAAAAGAUGUACUAUGACCAAUACAUAUCAUGACCGACACUUGAUAUCGAAUUAAAGAAGAAUAUUUGAAUUUAGAAUUAUUAAUGACUGAAAUAUCAAGAUUGAAUGCACAAUAAAAAGAUUGGAUAACUCAUCAUCACUAUCUUCAAUCCUAAUUCUCACGGGCAUACCUCGGAUUCUUGCAAUCAUCAGUCAUUUAGCAUUCUUUAGCUUCUGAGCUGAUGUAAGGGAAUAUGAUCUAAUCAAACUCUUUUUAGAUUUCGUAUUGAAUUAAAUCAUUUGAACCGAUUUAUUAACUUAAAUAUCGAACGGGUUUUGUCGGAUAGUGAUAGAUAAAAUUCUAAACAGGAUGUUUGAUAUAAUACUUAUGUAUGACUGUGUCUUUUGAUUUGUUCAUGCUUUGCACAACAUAUAGAGGGACGAUCGAAGGUUUAACUGUUUCAUUUUAGUUGGGUUUAGUGGCCGAUCUAAGAUUGUAAAUAAAGGUUAUAUUAUGUAGACACUUGUGAUAGAUAUUCAGUCUGUAGUGAACCAUUUUAACCUUUUGUUGUGUAACCGUUCAAAGCUUGUAAAGUUUGUUUGUAAUUUACAUUAACUAUGAAGUAUUUUCUGAAAUGUUUGCUCAUGGAUCCUGAGUGAGGCACUUUCUCUAACCCGUUUUCUCUUUUGUAGGUCCUAAGGGACUAUGGGAGUUUUCGGGGAGGUUGACCUUUGUAGACGGACAUGUAAGGGUGUCGCACAACUUAGACAAAAUCAGCUAAGUCUGUGACAUAUGGUCUUAGAACGGGACAAGCAUUCAUAGAAACACUUAGCAUACAAACGUGGGGGACUUAGCGGGGUAGCGUUGAGGGCAGCUAGCACGCGCGACCGUUUCGAGGAAAACAUGUAUGAAGAUGUAGGGAAAAGGAGUCGCUCAGAGGAGCGGGCAUCUGAGAUUGACAUUCAGAGGAAUGAUCAACCCUUCGCGCAAGAGGCACCACAAGGGCAAGCAAGUUGGGAAGAAUACAUAGCGCACAAAGAUUGGGAUGACUAAGUUCGAGCUAUGACUCGACGUUGACAACCAUACUUGAUGGUGCUCAAGACAAAUAAGGCGCUUGGUAAAGGAUGAGACCAGGUAAGAUGGAAUGAGUUGCUCAGCGAUUGAAAGAGUUAUGCAAAACUCACAAAAGUGAGGAAAAUUGCUAACUCAAAGAAUUCGGUACUCAUGCAAGGGUUUGUAUGUGGAUGAUGGAAUGUUCGUGGCGACCGAAACUUAAUGUCAUGGAGCAUUGAAACUUUCUCUUCAGCAUGAGAAGGAUACGUCCGUAGAAGGCUAAAGUGUGCAUUGAGUUCAGCAUGUUGCUAGGCCUUGAGUGGUGCAGUGGGGGUUGUAUUGAUGUGGAGUCGCAAUCUAGCAAGUGCAUUUGUAGGAGGUAGAACAAUACACAUUUUGUUCAGCAAGUCGGAGUAGUCCAAGGAGAUUGUGAUCUCCGAAACUUUCAAAGAGAAGGAAGCGAAGAGAGAUAUUGCUCCAAUGGAAUAGAUAUCCAGGAGGGAUAGGUCCUGGUACUCCAAAGGGAGAAUCAUAUAUAACAGAUCGUACAUGUUGAGGGGUACUUAAAAAAUAAUAAUAACUCUAUGAUGCUCAACGGACUGAGCGAGCGGUAAGGAGUCGUUGCAUGAUCUUGCUUGAGAGAAUGCAUUGAUAGAUAUAUUGCGAGAUCAAGUAGGGGAGCGAUCCAAAGCAAUACAAAUGAAGGCACACUUUGAGUCGAUAUGGAGAUCGGACUCAAUGGUGGGCUGACUUGUGGAAUGGUGGGUGCGAGGGCCACCAUCAACUCAAUGCAAAACAAGAAGCAGAGCAACUUGGGUGUAACUUGGCGAAGUGCCUAAGUCGUAUAAAGGGAGCCAGCAUAGAAAAGAGAAUAUGGAGCGGAGGCAUAGAGCUUCCCUUGGACAGAGGUCAAGGACAUGAACUCUUGUAGAGGCCAGAGCGAGAUCAUGUCGUUCUAUGGGCCCGUCAUUCUGAUAGAUCGAACUUAUCUUGUAUGGUGCCAAAGAUGAAGGGAGCUUCUGGGCACAUGCACCUUAUCUUGAAGAAGCAUUUGAUAGAGGAACUAGGGAGACUCAACUUACAAAGGCAAAGUUGGGUUCAGAAUGCCUUCGCACAAGGCAAGAGGACGCGGAGAUAAGUACUCUUGAAGAAUAUGCUAUAGUGCUGCGAUUCAAGUUGCAAUAAAGGAAGUGAUGCACAGUAGAUAUUGUGCUGGUAGGGGCAGAGGCCUAGGAUCCAGACAAUGGUGCACUAAUUUUAACGAAGUCGGUGGACUUCCAGAGCUAUUAGGCGACGGACUAUCCUAGAGCAAUACUUUGUUCAGGUAUGACCCGAGAGGAGAAGGGGGGGAGGGGGGGGGGUACAAAGGUCAAUUGCUAAUAGAGUAAACACAAUUAAAGGUGGAAGAGGCCUUAUGAUGUGUUGGCAGAGGCCACACAUGGAGGGAUCACAAACCGAGUUCAUCCCACAAGGAUCGAAAUGCAAUGAAGAUGUCACUAUGAGGUGACUUGGUGCAACAGAUCGUGGUGGAAUAGUUCGUGGCAAUACGAUACACACGAAUAUAGUCCCGAAAAGGACUAUAUCAUAUAGAGAUAUGAUCGGGAACUACUGAUAGCUCUAUUUUGCUGAACAACAUUAUGGCAAGAAGGGUCACAAAUUCAAGGAGUGAAAGCUAUGAUACCGUAGAGGUGGGACUUCCAUGCAUGCAAAGAAUUUUGCAUCAGAUGAAAGUCUUGGUCAUCAGCAUAUAAGGGUUGUGUACCACCGAGGGAAAAGUUCGAAUGUAAGUACUAGUGAGUCCCAUUGGAGGGACUUGAUCAUGUAGAGGUAUGAUUUAAGCAGUUGGAGAGUUGGACUGCUCCAGAGUCUAUAUUUGCUUAAGGGAGCCUAACAAGUCAGAGGACAAGGUCAAGUAAGUGAGCGUUGCUACCAAGGAAGCUAAGGAGAACAGAAUCGGUGUAAACCCUAUAACAUAAUGAUAGAGACAAUGCAUGAGAGUUACAGUUUAUCUUUCCAUCAACCAAGGGGAACUACUUAGAGAACAUAGAGGUGUUGAAGCAAGAGGUCGAAAGGGGCGAGGAAGUGACGAUAAGUAUAGAGGGACUUAGCUAUCCAAAACAAAGCAUCGGUUAGAAUGGAGGUGGAUUCAAAGGAGUGCCACAGAGGCAGAUCUACUGAUCAUGAAGAAAAUGGAUGUAAAUGUUGAAUCUCGUAUUUUGAUGAUGAAACCACUUGAUAUAUGUUUAUAAUUUAAUCUACGUUUUGAGUGACGCAGGAUGCUUCGAUUAGGAUGAGACAAUUAAAGCAGAAAAAAUCAUGUUGUGUCGGAGGAACAUGUUAGAAGAUUGGACGUUAGGCCGGUAGAUCGGUCGACGUAUCGACAGAAGGCUUCGGGUCGUGGACUCGGGCAUCGGGCCAAGAAGAGCAGGUAUUGCUCCAAGGAUAUCGGAGUUGCGAAGUCAACUGGCCGAUUGGGCAAUAGGCCGUAGGAGAGGAUGAUGCGCCGAAGAAUCGGACGAAGCGUCGAGGGAUCAAUGACAUGCCGGACAACUUGGUUAAUUGUUUAGGAUUAAUUGUCUCGAUCGAAGUUUUGUUUUACAUGUGCAGGAUUAACUACGAUGGAUGUAAGACAUGCAGCAGGAGUUGCACCGGAGUCAAGACUAUGAUCACGUUGGGAGUUCGAGAGUUCGACGGAAGUCCGGACGGUCGUCGGAGGUUCUGCGGGAACAAAUCCGAAAAGUCAAGGAGCUUGCCCAAAGAAGCUCGUCGGAACUCGCCAAGUGGAUCGUCGCAAGUCCAGGAGUUUGCCGGAAGUCCGCAGGAGCAUCACCGAGGGUUCAUCUGAUGAUCGACGGAAGUUCGCCGGAAGCUCGUCGGAAGAAGCGAUUGACGCACUAGAGCAAGUUGCAGUAAAUGUCUUAAGAAAUAUCGUAGUUAGCAUGUAGAUUAAGUUAGGAAUGGGAGGUGAUCCCAUUAACUUAAUCUGGGGGCAAUUGGGCCCUUGAUAGACCCAAAUUGGGCCGAAUGGAUCAACCUAUUCGGACCAAAAUUCCUGCCAAGUGGUGCAACCGCCUAGGAGAUGGUCUCCUAGGAAAGCUGGGCGGUGCAACCGCCCUAGUCAGGCGGUGGCACCGCCUGGGCUCAGUCUCCGAGCGAGACUAGGCAGUGCAACCGCCCCUGAUAGGCCGUGGAACCGCCUGAGCUCGGUCUCUGAGCUCUACCAAGCGGUGCAACCGCCCCAGUCAGGCAGUGGCUGCUAGUCAUAGGUGCCCAGCAAGCCAAUCACGUGAGUGAUGGCACGUGUGACUUGAUACAGAAUCUUUUUGCUUAUUAUAUUUUGGCGUAUAUCACUUUAUAACUAUUGCAUAAAUGCAUAUAUAUAUAUAUAUAUAUAUAUAUAUAUAUAUAUAUAUAUAUANNNNNNNNNNNNNNNNNNNNNNNNNNNNNNNNNNNNNNNNNNNNNNNNNNNNNNNNNNNNNNNNNNNNNNNNNNNNNNNNNNNNNNNNNNNNNNNNNNNNNNNNNNNNNNNNNNNNNNNNNNNNNNNNNNNNNNNNNNNNNNNNNNNNNNNNNNNNNNNNNNNNNNNNNNNNNNNNNNNNNNNNNNNNNNNNNNNNNNNNNNNNNNNNNNNNNNNNNNNNNNNNNNNNNNNNNNNNNNNNNNNNNNNNNNNNNNNNNNNNNNNNNNNNNNNNNNNNNNNNNNNNNNNNNNNNNNNNNNNNNNNNNNNNNNNNNNNNNNNNNNNNNNNNNNNNNNNNNNNNNNNNNNNNNNNNNCCCUCUCCACCUCAGAGUAGGCCUGGAGUUUUGAGGAGCGUCGUCGCAACCCUGCUGUGUGGAUCACCGCUAGAGAGGAGGACGCUUGACCUCCUUCACCCUCUCUUAAGGAUCUGCAAGGAAACAGGGAUAUACGAUCUCCCUAGGUAACACAAUCUCUAUACGCAGUUUUGUGUUUUGCGGAUUUUUGCACACCAAUCUUCGCACGACGACGAAUAUCUUUUUGGGAAUCGGGGAUUUUGUUUUUCUUGUUCUUCCGCUGCGCAUAUGAUGUCGCCCCCAUGAUUUCCCAAUAGUGGCACUGCCUGGGCUCAGUCUUCGAGCGAGACUGGGCGGUGCAACCGCCCCUGUCAGGCGGUGGCACCGCCCCCGUAAGGGUUGUCUCCUAAAUCCAGUAAAAGGAGAAGAGGGGUGUAAGAAGGAGGUUGAUCUUCGCCUAGUAAAGGAAGAUUGUUAGUGGAUGUCAGUGGCCUCGACGGAAGAGAAAUCAGAGGAGUGGAUGUAGGUCACGAUUGACCGAACCACUAUAAACUCCCGUCUUCUCUGGUUUGCAUUUUAUUUCCUACUAUUACCUUACUGCAAACCCCUUUAAUAGCUUACUGCCUUCAAUAAAUUUACGUAUGCUUUCAAGUUAAGUUUUCGAAAUCGAUUUUACAUCGGAAACGAUUUUAUCGUAUGAGAGAUUUAACGAAGUUGAUGUUUUUAUCCGCUGCACUAAUUCACCCCCCCUUCUUAGUGCUCUUGAUCCUAACAUUAAAUACGAGACGAUGGAUAAUAGGGCCAUGGGCAUGGUAGCGCUAUGGUACCGUAGAGGCGGGACUUCUGUGAAGUCACCGAUCCCUUACUCUUAUAGAGGGAGAGUGCUUAGUCGUGAAAGGGGUCGAGGAGGUGGAGCAUGCAGAGGCAAACUCCAAGUAUCGAGACAAGGCCUAAAGAACUUCGUAAGACUAGUGUCAAUGAGCUUCUCAUCAAAAUAGCCGAAAGUGAAGAACUUUAGGUCGUACAAGAGUGCACGACUAAAGAAAGAAGUAGGCAGUACGUAGUGCUAUACCUUUGCUACUCAAUGGAGUAGCGGUAGGGUUGAUGGAGAAGACGAUACAAUCCCAGAGGUGACCAAAACUAUUAGCUACUUACUCCAAGUUGGGGUAAAAACUUUCUGCAUUUCAGAAGUUCGAUGGUAUUGAAAAGGUGAAUCAUAGUAGCUAACUCAAUGCAAGGAGUGCAAACACUUUGAGUGUUUCAGAAGUAUGAGUAAAGAGCAGGUGAAGGUUAGUAACCAGCUCGAUAUAUGAAGUACAACCCUCGAGGAGGCGGGCGAAGUCAAGUAACCAUUGUCUUCUCAACUCUUAAGAGAAUAGGCGAAACCAAGUACCCCAAUUCUCUUAUCUAUCCAAUAAAGGAGCUCUACACAGGUGUAAAGACCCUUCAAAGAUAAUGGAAGAUAAUAGUUGUCAAAUUCUCACCAAUAAUAAUCUAUGCUACUGAGAGUAGAUUAUCCGCUUCAUUUCCCAAUAGAAUGUCAAUCAAAAGCGGAAGUGAUGUAAAUCUACUUGGAAGUGACAACUAAGUGAAAGAAGAGUCGAUGGGCAAAUUUUAUGGAAGAAUGGCCCAAAACUUCAAAAGUUUAUGUGGCGAUGCUCGUUAAAGCUCCAACAAGCAUCCACCUAGUUCAAGUAGCAUAAAGCAUUUGAGAGACUAGCGUAUAAUAAGGAUGGUUUUUUCCUUCAUCUGAAGGAUCCGUAGGAACCAACAGGGAUCAACACAACUCAGCCAACCACACACUAGAGUCAGAAUCACUAGCGAGUUGAAGUAGCAUAAUGGAUCAAAAGUUCGACUACUUAACAAUAGUAGCAGAGAGCAGUUGGGAGCCAAGAGGCGUAUUGCAGCUGGAGCAGAAGAUUGAAGACUCGGCAAAGGUGAGGAGUUGCAACGUCGGCAAAGACUUCGACGAGGAUGUCGAAUGAAUAAGUAGGGGAGAAUGUCAUAGACAAAAUUCUAAAUAGGAUGUUUGAUGUAAUACUUAUGUAUGUCCAUAUCAUUUGAUUUGUUUAUGCUCUGCACAGCAUGUAGAAGGAUAGUCGAAAGCUUAACAACCUCAUUUUAGUUGGUUUAGUGGUUGUUUUAGGCUUAUAAAUAAAUAUUAUGUCAUGUGGACACUUGUGAGAGAUAUUCGAUCUAUAGUCGACCAUUUUGACCCUUUGUUAUGAAAUCAUUCAGAGCUUGUAAAAUCUGUUUAUAAUUUGCAUAGGCUAUGAAGUGUUUUCUGAAAUGUUUGCUUAUGAAUCCCGAGUGAGGUGCUUUGUCUAACCUGUUUUCUCUUUUGUAGGUCCUAAGGGACCAUGAGAGAUUUCAGGGAGGUUGACCUUUGCGGAUGAACAUGCAAGAGUGACACCCGACUUAGGCAAAACCAACUAAAUCCAUGACAGGACACACUUUGAUAUAAUCUUUAAGAUCUCGAUUUAGUAUUUUUACCUUUCGUUUGUCUACGACAUACUUGGAUUGAAUUUGACCUAUUUUCAAAUUAUAUAAAUAAUUAGAAUACGAGAGAAUAAUAAUAUUAUCUUAUAUAUAUAUAUAUAUAUAUAUAUAUAUAUAUAUAUAGUCAAAAGUAACAGAAUUAUAUAUAUUAUGAAUCUGCUACUUAAUACAAAAAUUGAAAAAAAAGCUAUAAUCACAGGGAGAACAGAAUCAAUUAUAGAGAAAAAGUAUGCCAAAGAAACACAAAAAUAAUAAGAGCUAAUGUUCCUACUAGUUGAAUUUUUUGUCAUUAUUGAGCUCUAUAUAACAUAAUAUCCCUAAUUAAAUUAAGAGCAUCUGUAUCUUUAUUUAUAGUUUUUAGUAAAUUUUUUACAAGUAAAAUAAUAUGGAAUCAGAAUACAAAAACACCAAAACUAAAGAUAUCAUUUUCAGUCCAAUAAUUAGCAUGUGAUUCUGGUAAAAUGCUGUGGCAAGCUUCAAAGUAUGGAAACUCCAAAAAGUGCAUCCACAACAUCAAAGUUCCUUCUAUUUGAUGUUGGUAGUGACAUCAAUUUCUUGCACUUAAUAUCUAGUUAUAUAGCUGUUGGACAUAAGAAUAGUAUUUAUGGUAUCUGAACCAUUGGCCAUCAGUUCAUGCAGUUAACAUCAUUCCAAUCCAAACACUUUCACAAAGACAAAUUUCACAGUAAUGACCAUCAUUAUGAUUCUUCUGUUCUCAUAUUAUAGAAUGAUCUCUGAUUAGAAUCUUUCAUGAAUUGUUCUGAUUCAUGAACUAAUAAUAGAAUGAUAUGAUUUCAUGUAGUAUUAUUGCACAUUCCAUUGCUUUCUUAUGAGAACAGAUUCAUACAGAGAAUAAUCAUUCUUCUUGGGCAAACAAUGAUCAAUUGAUUCACAAAGAUAAGUUCAUUCUUUUUACUGUAUGAUCUGUCGAAAUCUAUUGUUGUUGGAAGUUAGGCGUCGUCUUCAAUCAAGCUUGAAUCUGAAGCAAGUAACAAUUAAUUGGGGACACAAUCCUCAUCAUCACUAAGAACAUCAACACUUUGGUGUCAGCUUCUCACAAGAUCCAAAACACAUCUGUUCCUUGAGGAGGAAUAAGCUUGCUUUAAUCCAAAGGUGAUGCAGAUCUGAACAUAUCUAAUGCCCAAAGUGAAUGCAUAUUUGUGCUUUUUAGAUAAGAUGUGAUAACAUCUUCCAUUGAAGACUAUCAAGCUGCAAUUUUCUUUUGUGCACAUCAUCCAGGACCUCUGCAGCAGCUGGCAUCUCUGAGCAAAUCUUCACAUAUCUUCUUACAGAGAUACAUUGCCUUUGGAUUAGGAUGAACUGAUGUAUGAGUUUGAUUCUAUAGCUAAGAAUAGCAACAAAGAUGAGCAUUCUGUACUCAGUUGUGAUCUUGCAAAUCUACAAUUCUGUGCCAGAAAUAGAUUGACAGCAAACACAUUCAUUUGGUAUCUCAAAAUCUUGUCACUGUCACUUCCCUAUCCAACCAUGAAGAGCAUUUCUUUCAGCAAAAGCUUAUUCCAUCACAGAAUAAUUCGAGUGUGAGCUUUUGUCAACAAGGAUCUCAUCCCCCAUAUUGGAGAAGGCAGAACCACUGCUUUUGUGUUGGCAUUGGCUUCUAUCAGUAUCCUAUCCUUCCAUCAGCUCAAGCCAAAUGCUUGAAAGAUACAUAUUCUUCUUACACAGGGAAAGAAAAAACAUAUCCCAUAUUGAUCUUUGAAUGGUGACAGAAUUCUUCUUCUUCCUGAUCUCCUCAAAGUAAUGCUUCUUAGCUUUGGGAUUCUUUGAGCCAGUUGCUCAGUGUCCAUAUGUACUGACAGCAUUAGAGUGCAUUCAGCCAAAUUGCUCAGUGGCAAUUUUAAUUGAUUGUGUCACAUUUUAUUCUCCACAAAAAAAGAAAAAAAAAGUAGUUUUGUAUGUUUUUUUGUCCUCUUAAUUAUAUUUUUUAAGUGUUAAAAAUAGAAAGAAUAAAAAGGAAAAUGAAAGGAGAAGUCGACAGUUAAUACUGUUGGCGACGGGAAGUGGCGAAGAGGUGACUGUUUCGCUCCACCACCAGCUUAAGUAUCUUAUCGUGAUUCCUUCCUUCGCGGAUAAGGCCCGAUCACAGCCGUCCGUUGUGUGAAUAACCAGCGAAGAGGGAGAGGGGAGAACAGAGAGCGAGGUUGGAUCGGAGAGUCUCGAUCGAGAUGGCGCAUGCAAGGCGGCAGACGGGGACGGUGAUCUGGUUCAGCGGCGCCAAGGGCUUUGGCUUCAUCGCGCCAGACGGCGGCGGCGAGGAUCUCUUCGUCCACCAGAGCGCCAUCCGGGCCGAGGGAUUCCGGGCGUUGUCGGAGGGUGACGCCGUCGAGUUCUCCGUGGAUCAGGCCGAUGACGGCCGGAGCAAGGCCGUGGACGUCACCGGGCCCAAUGGGGCGGCCAUCUUCCUCGGCGGCGGCGGAAGGGGUGGUUCCGGCGGCAGGGGUAGGGCCGGGGGCGGCGGGUAUGGGUAUGGAGGUGGCUAUGGGGGUAGUGGGUAUGGGAGAGGGUGGAGGAGUGGUGGAAGAGGUGGAAGGAUGGGCGGUGGCGGCGGCGGCGGCGGUGGUUAUGGUGGGGCCGGUGGUGGCGGAUAUGGUGGUGGUGGUGGUGGUGGUGUUGGGCCUUGUUACAACUGCGGGAGAAAUGGGCAUCUAGCUAGGGAUUGCAGACAAGGAGGAGGAAGUGGUGGAGGAGGCGGUGGAGGGGGAGGGAAGUACGGCGGUUAUGGUGGUGGUGGUGGUGCUGCUGCUGGUGGAGGAGGAGGUGGAUGUUACAAUUGUGGAGAGCAUGGCCAUUUUGCAAGGGAUUGCCCCAACGUCAAUUGAUGGAUGGCUUCAUGCACCCACAAAAAAGGGAAAAAUAAGAAAAAGAAUGGUUCUUGUUCUCCUAAUUGAUGGUAUGUUUUCCCUUUCUUUUUCUGGUGAGCUUUUUUUUGAGUUUUGCUGAUAUUGAUCCGUAAUGAUGUCCAUUUCUUGUUUUGAUUUAACUAUAAAUUCACAUCGUAUGUAUCUUCAAUCAUGUGAUUAAUGAAGUUAUUGUUCUUAUUAACCGAGCUUCCCCAAUUGAUCUCCAACUUUAUGUGAUGUUUUGCUUUGUGUACAAGUCGAAAGAUUCUCGGUACAGGCAAUUGCCUGUUCUGACAUAUAGUGGCAUGCAGCUUACCAUAUAAUUUUGCCUGCUCUGACUGUUGUCCGUUGUUGCCUGCUUAGAGAAAGGAGGAUUAGCAGUAGAUGGUGAAGAGGUCACGCAAUGUGAAGAAAGAGAAGAAAAGUAGAGAGUAAAAGAAGAGAUGAGGAUGGAAGCAAUCAGAAGAAAGGAAAGUGUGUGACACUGAAAAUAGUUAUAACUUUAUUAAGUUCUUUUAGAUCUUUAGAUGUCAUGCCUAACAGUAUGAUUCUUAUUGCACUUCACACUCCAGAUCUGAGCCCCAGCAACAUAAAUUUGGGCUUUAUAUGUCAUAUGAAGAACUUUUGUAUCUGCAAACUGCAUACUUUUACUAUCUACUACUACUACUACAAUAAUCACUUGUUGCUAAUGUAGUAUUACUAUUCUAUUGUGCAAGAAUUCCUGCUUUUGUGUUUAACCAUGCAUUAGAGUUUCUGUCAGCCUGAGAUAUCAACUAGGCAACUUAUUUUGGAGCACUUCUUUAUCUUUUGGGCUCUACAACAGCAUUAGAUUCGCCUUUAAUUGCAUUGUCCUCUAGCAGAAAAACAUUACCAUGACUGUUGAAAACUCCAUUUCUUUUUUACAUUUUUCAUCGAAAAAAUGAGUAUCCAGAUUUUGAUAAUAGUACAGAACCAUCCAAUAUAUCAGAUAAUAGCUUUCUUCAUGUUUUGUGCUUGUUUAGAAGCAUGGUCCAUAUUGUUGUCAGAUAUCUUUUCUAUAAAUAUAACAUUUUGUUUAUAUAUGUGUUUUCUUCUUUUUCCAUCUGACCUCUCUUCUCCAGUUCCUUGCUAGAAUAUUGUUGGUCCUACAACAAAAAAUGUAAGGUUUUCAUGUUAAAUUGCAUCUUUCAGAUGCUACUUAAAUGCCAAAAUGCAUGUAGAUCACUAACCAUGCAUGCAUAUGUCAUACUCAUACCUUAGAGAAUCCAUCAAGUAAUUUUUAACUUAAUGAGAAUUUAUUGUCAUGGAAGGAAACUUUAUGCUGCAGCUUGUGAACACAGAACCAUAUUUGUUGUCCAAACUAUACGAUUUGGUGCAUCAUGGCCUCAUGGAUGCCCAGAGUAUAAAUUGCUGAAAGUACUGUUGGGCUAAAUAUUUUCUUUCCUGUGGCUUAUUUAAAGUGAUGCUCCAAUUGCAACAGGAAAUGAUGACAAGUAGCAUUAAACUAAAGCAUAAAUGUUUCCAGAAUGAACUGGCAAAUUAUUCGAUGCCGUUGCUUCUGUGAAACUUGCCCCACAAACACUGGUGAGAGAAUAUGAAGUCUGAUAGCUUAAUCAACAUAUAAGCUUCUCCUCUCUGUCUUCCCUUGGUGAUUAAAGGGGAAGCCAAGAAAUACUUACUCUGAUCCAUAUCCAGCUGAAGGGAAUAAUUUGUGUGCAGUAACUUGUGCUUAUAUAUACAGUGGAGAAACUGUGGAUUGCCCUUUCUAUGCUGUAAGGAACAUCUUCCAAGCAGAAGCUUUGGUUAAGAGAUCAUGCUGAAGAAUAUGGCCUUAACCUCAAAAGGCUACUCAAUACAUUUUUAUUCUUUAUGGAUUAUAUAAAUUUCAAGUAACUGUUCUGUUUUAUAUGUUAUUAGCUGCAAGAUUGAAGACUUCUUGUUUGGUAUUUUGGUGGUGUUGACUGCAACAUUAUUGUCUUCCUUUAUAUGAAAUGAAGACAGAAAUGGGGUAAAGACUGGAUCUUUGGUUGCCGGUUCAGCUCGAGGUAUCUCUUCUUCCUUCGGCUCGAAAUCAAACAGGAAGGGUAAAGGGAAUCAGGACAAUUGGUAGAACAGGUCAAACUCUGUGAGAGGAAAAAAGAUGGCUACACAAUACUUGAUGAGAAAUCAAGUUCUCUUGUGUUUUUUACUUUGAUAAUGCAAUAUACUUUGAUGGUUACUGAGAUGAAUUCAUCUUUUGAUUAAAGAGUUUGGAAUUUGCAUCAGGGGACAAAGUUGAGUAUCUUUCUUUGAAGAAGUCAUUGAUAAACCUUUAUGCUUUCGAGUCCCUCAGCCUCUAUCUGCAUCAUAAUGGGUGUACACAGAGACAAAGAUUCCAUGCGCAACUAUAUAUUUCUUUGCUUUGCAUCACAUCAGGCAUAAAAUAUUUGUGAGAUUCGGCACUAUGACUUAAAGAUGAGAUUUAGUGCUAUUGAGUUUGGGUUGUGCGGAUUUGAAUCCAAUAAUAGGUUAAAUAGAUUAAUUAGAUUGAAAAUUGUAAUUGUUCAAACCUAAUUUUGGAGAUAAUUAUAUAAAAUAUGAUUUUUUGCUUUUUUAUUGAUAUUAUUGACUGGAAAACCAACGCAUGCAAUUUUCUCAAGGCGGAUGACUUAUAACGGUAUGUAAUUUUCAAUAUAAACACUAUACCGGUUUUCUGUAUAUUAUAACGGUUCUGAGCAAUCGUAUAAAGCGAUCCGUGGUUCAUGCCCCCCGACCUCGUUACAGAUUGUGCUCUCUCUCUCUCUCUCUCUCUCUCUCUCUUGGGCGAUUCUUCAUCGCAGCGUGAGAGAUGGCGGCGGCGACGGCAGCAGGAGGUGGUGGGAAGGUCUCGUUCAAGGUGAUCCUGACAUCCGAUCCGAAGCUACCCUACAAAGUGUAAGCCCCGUUUUCGCUUUCCAACUGUCGUCGCCCUCUUUCGAUUCCUAGGUUGUUCUCCGCUAAUCUGUCGAUCGGAUUUCAGUUUCAACGUACCUGAGGCGGCGCCCUUUACUGCGGUGCUAAAGUUUGCGGCAGAGGAGUUCAAGGUCCCUCCUCAGACCAGCGCCAUCAUCACCAAUGGUAAAUUCUUGUAGAUUGUGAUUCUAAUCCUAGGUUGAAGAAACAGGUUGAAUUUUGGCAGGCUUUGAUGAUUGUGUGAGAAUCGUUAGAUCUGAAGGUUCCCUUUCGUGUUUUCCAAGUGAUUUGUCUAUUAAGUUUCGGCACAGUUGCGGCCUUAAUGCGAAAUUAGACUUUAAGUGGAAGUGCUUUGUGUAGAUUUCUACAUUAAAGAGUUCUUUUUGUGGAUGCUAAACAAAAUGAAAUAUAGCUGUGGAGAAUUUCUGUUCAGCUUUUUCUUCCGCUGCAAUAUAAUGGAUUGGAAAUAUUUUCUUUGGUAGAUGUAAAUGAAACCCACACAGUUUCUAGCUUCAUGUCGACAAUAAUAAUUGUACUACAUUUUUCAUAGGAUUUAUCUGUGCAGCACGUGAAAUUCAUGAACUUUUUGCCCUUUGCAGAUGGUGUGGGAAUUAACCCGCAACAAAGUGCUGGUAUGUUGUGACCAUCUUGACCUUUCCUUAUCUGUCGAUAGUUUAUGUUUCCUUCACGAUUGUGCAAUUUUUUUGUGACACUUUCACCUUGGCCAAUGAUAGUUGAAAAUUAGCUUUUCAUAUUUUUUGUUGAAAUCCGGCUUCAGGCUUGCCCAUAUAUCAGUGUUUUACUUGUAGUCAAAGAAUGAUAAUUUUAAUGUUAGGAAGUAUUUUGAGGUAAUGAUUCUUAGAAUGCAAGAAGUGAUACAAACAACGAUGAAUUAUAUCUUUUGGUUCUUUCUAGUUUGGACAGGUUUAGGAUAUUAAAGUUGGUUUACAUAUUGUCACAUCUGAGAUCUUGCAAAACUAGCAAGGUAUCUGUGUUGUUGAAGGUUUAAGUAGGCACUUAAAGUGUAUUUUUACUCCUAAUCGUAUAUAUAGCAAAAUUAUGUUAGCUUGCAUAAUUAUUGAGUUUAGUGGUGGAUUAGACUCACAGUUCUAUGUCUUGUAAUGGCAAUCCAAAAUAAGGGAGAGAGCUUGAUGAUAUUUGAUCCGUUGAUCUUUACUUGUACUUUCGACUAGUAUGUCAGUUGGAUGAUGGAUGUUAGUUACUAUAGGGAGGACAAAGAAAAUAACUAUCGUGGAGCUUCAAGACAAUUGGUCAAUAUUCUCUACAAAGAGUGGAAAUUGCAAAAGUAAAUAAAUGACCCAGCUCCUUUUAAUAGUCUCUGUGCUAAGAUGAACAUACAGAAGAUAUGAUAUUUGAUACUACUUGUUUACUUGGCCAAUUUGUGUUAGUCUUGUUUUCAGUUCACACUUUCAAGUAAUUCACAACAAAGGCCAAUCUACAUAUACCUUCAUAAUUUGUCCUUUUAGUCUGCAGGAAAAUUUAUUUAUUUGUUUCAAAAAAAUAUAAAAAAUAACAAGCUAUCAAAUGGGCAGACCAUUGAAGUUUCAUUGUGGCGGCAUAGUUCACAAGAUCAGUUUCAUUAUUGGAGUUGGUUAGUGACGAUUUGAGAAGAGAUAUUAUAAACAGUCAUUUCCUUGUAUAUGGACACUUUUGUGAGUUUUAGUUGUUCAUUUGUUCGAACUGAUCAUUUUAUUUAGAGUUAAUUUGUUUGCAACUUGUAUGCGGAAGGACACAUGACUAGACCUUUCAAAAGAACCUGCAAGGAUUAUUCUACCGAUCAAAGCUAAAUAAGCAGCAUUAGUUUUAUUUUCUCUGCUUAAUACCAUCCUGAUUAGUUCAUUUCUUUUAGUAUAUGGAAUAUGGAACGUUGUUCUAGAGAGUGUAGGAUUGAGGCACUGUAAUUGCUCAACUCGUGUGCAGACAAAUAACUGACACUUGAUUGAUAGUCUUAAGCAUGUGAGGAAUCGAGACCGAGGAAUUGGCACUUCAAAGUGAUAUUUUCUUAAAUAUAAAGGUUGCCGUUACUUGAUUUGUUGAACUGUUCCGGCGUCACUCCGCUGACCCUUCAAAGAGGAUCACAUCGCCAUUUGGUUCUGCAACCCCCUCGCUUGAAGUUGUUCUUUCCCUUUUUUGCUCCCAGAAGCUUGAUUUUUCUUGUCACUUGUCAUCAUAAUUGGCAUUUCCUGAUUCACACAAGAAAUGUGAUUUUGGGACAUCAGAUCAUUAUACACAUCUGCUAUUCAAUAUGCUUUAUGCAGGUAAUGUGUUUCUGAAGCAUGGCUCAGAGUUGCGUCUCAUACCUCGCGACAGAGUUGGAGGGAGCGUAUCGGACGGUUACUGCUACUAAUUUUUCAGCACUUUGGAGUCUGCCUCUGCGACUACGAGAGGUUAAAAGGCAUCAAUCAUGUGGUAACUAUAUCAUGGGUGCUUGUAAAAUCUAGCGUAGAAUGAUUUCCAAUAUUUAUGUAUUGGAUUAUAGUAAGAGUUGAAAAUGCAACAUGAGCCUAAUAAAAAUAACUCUUUACCUGAUCUGUUUGAUUGAUUUAUUUUUGAACAGUAGUCAGAGCUCCAUAGGUAAGCAAUCCUUUUCUUGUCCUUGCUACUGCAACGUGCUGCUAGUCAACAUUAUGGCUAUUCUUUAUAAUUUUUAUUUUUAUUUAAGUAUUACUUCUUUUUGGUAACAUCUGCAUAUUUUCACUUUCAUUAUAAUAUUUUUCCACGUUUAUCCCUAUCUUGCAUAGUAUUAUUCUAUUUAAUGAGUGUUUAUGAUAGCCAGCUUCACCCAACCUGCACACGUUGAUCUCCUUCCUAUUAAUCAACUCGAUAGGCACAACUUGCAUUCUGAAGUCAACAAUUACUCUUUUGUUUUUUGUGAUUUAGAAGAAGAAAUAAUAAUUAUAAUAGUAAUGAUAUCUACUUCAUAUAAAAUAGUAAUAAUAAUAAUAAUAAUAAUAAUGUUAGUUCCCAUGACAUCGUCCACGUACGAUCAUGCAUGUGCAUGACCUGUCGGCAAUGGUACGGCCAUCUUGGCUGACCUAAGACCGGGGGUUCAUUACCCAAAAUCCGACCCAUGUGAGGCCUCUCUCACACACAAACCUGGCCAUGUGGAGCCCAUGGGUUACAUCAGGGUUAAUUGAAUUUCCUCGAUUAAUAAUAAGAGCCUUAUUUUAGCGUGCUCUGAUGUCAUGCUGAGACUUUAAAUUAUAUAGUAGUCCAGUCCACAAGCAUAAGAAUCAAUAUCGAGAUCAUCGGGUCCCCGUCGGCCCGGACAAAUCGUGGCUUGAUGCUUUAACAACCGUGCGUAAUCAGCCCAUCAUGUGGGCUAUCCUUCGUCAAUCGCCGUCACUAUCCGCUCCAUCACGAACGAUUCAUCGCUUCCACGUGUCUUAUCCACUCGUUUUCAAGGAAGAUAUUUCGUGACGCCAGGAAUUGAACGGUCUACGAAAUGAGAUAUGGACCAACGUAUGGGUCCCGCAUCGUUUUGCCCAACCACAAGUUUGGUAGGGGACUUGAGUCGGCGAAUGCUGCUCGUGUAAAAAGGCGGCGGACGAGUCGCGUCUUGUCCGAGCUCGGCCGCUAUUUUGUACUGCUACUACCCGUCUUCCCUCUCGCGUCGUUCGCUUUUCCCCUGUUAUGAGUCGAAGGCAAGUCUUUGGGAUAAAUAUGUCCAAAGUAUUCCUCGCACCGCGUUCCUUUGUCCUCACGCUUUCUUCUUCCUCCUCCUCUUCUGGAUCCUCUUCUUUAGAGCUUUCGAAGAACUCGUGAUCUUUCACCUCCGAUCGACCAGAAAAAAGGCGUCUACUUUCGUGUUCUUGGGGUCUGACCUUGGCGGGAGAGAUAAUGGAGAAGUACGAGCUGGUGAAGGAUAUCGGGUCGGGCAACUUCGGCGUGGCGCGGUUGAUGAGGGACAAGGUGACGGGAGAGCUCGUCGCCAUGAAGUACAUCCCCAGAGGCCAAAAGGUCCGGUUUUUCUUCUCUUUAAUCCCCUGCUUUUGGUGGUGGAUGUCGUCUCACUUUGGGUCUCGCAGAUCAACGAGAACGUCGCGAGAGAGAUCAUUAACCAGCGGUCGCUUUGCCAUCCCAAUAUCAUCCGAUUCAAAGAGGUAAAUGUGUCGGCAUUAGCAAGUCCCUAAAAUUGCCUCUGCUUAGCCUUUCAUCUCUCUGUUUCACGACCAAAAAAUGGUUCUUUUUUGCUUGUCCUGACCGUGAUUUGAGCUGCAGGUCGUGCUGACGCCCACGCAUCUGGCGAUCGUGAUGGAGUACGCCGCCGGCGGAGAGCUCUUCGAGCGCAUCUGUCACGCGGGAAGAUUCAGCGAAGAUGAGGUUCCUUGUUCCCUCCCCCGUUGCUUUUUCUUCGGCCUCAUGUUUCUGAUUUCCUCCGCAAUUUCGCAUCAAUCGCUGUCUCUGACCUUUCAGCUGUCGCUUCCACAGGCAAGAUAUUUCUUUCAGCAGCUCAUCUCCGGCGUCAGCUACUGCCAUUACAUGGUAAAUUCCCUUCAAACUCUCAUCUUUAUCCCAAAUUACUGAACCAAUCGGUUGUUUUCAGCAAAUCUGCCACCGCGAUCUGAAACUGGAGAACACGUUGCUCGAUGGCAGCCCGGCGCCGCGCCUCAAGAUCUGCGACUUCGGUUACUCCAAGGUUAUCCAUCCUCAAAACCUCUUCCCCUUCGCCUCAGAGCCAAAUCGAUUCGAAUUUUCGAGUGAAGAUCCCUUUUUGCAUUCGUUUCUUGCAUGGAAGAGCAGUCGUCGUUGCUCCACUCUCGCCCCAAGUCCACGGUGGGUACGCCGGCAUACAUCGCCCCCGAGGUGCUCUCCCGGCGUGAGUACGACGGCAAGGUCAGUUCCGUAAUUUGAUCCAUCCAUCGCUCUCCUCUGUUCCUUCCUCUAUUCUUCCUCCUCGUGUUGCGCCGCAACCAGUACGUUGACGAGGCCCGACGGUGGCGGAGAAUGGCGUGUGGGGCCCUUUUGGCUGACACUUGGCUUCCAGAGAAUACGGAUUCCUGUGAUGAAUAGCUUUCCAUUCUCCCUUAUGAUUUCGCUUUUAGUAAAUUGGCAAAGCAGAUAGACAUCAUUGCCGGUCGGUGCAGAUGGCUGAUGUGUGGUCAUGUGGAGUAACAUUGUAUGUGAUGCUGGUGGGAGCGUACCCAUUUGAAGACCCGGACGACCCCAAGAAUUUUAGGAAGACCAUGGCGGUAUUAGCUUUAUCUCCAUCAUCUCAUUCCUGUCAUCAUUCUUCUGGUCUCAGUUGGACUGUCUUCUUCGAUUGCAGAGGAUAGUUUCAGUGCAGUACAGAAUACCCGAGUACGUUCAUAUUUCCCAGGAUUGCAGACAACUGAUAUCCAGGAUCUUUGUUGCUGACCCAUCAAAGGUAAAUCCUGAGUACAAGUUCCAGUGGCAUCUCAGAUCACUGAGUUGGUCUUUGUGCAGAGGAUUACUGUGAGGGAGAUAAGGAACCACCCUUGGUUCUUGAAGAACUUGCCCAGGGGACUAACAGAGGUAGCACAAGCAAUGUACUACAAGAGGGAUGCCAGCGGACUUGCCUACUCUCUUCAAAGCGAGGAGGAGAUAAUGAAGAUUGUUGAGGAGGCAAGGAUCCCGCCGGCGGCGUCAACACCAUCGACGGCAGGCUCGGGUUGGGCCAAGGAAGAUGAGCAGGAGGAGGGCAAGCAAGAGAAAAGGGAGACCGAAGAGGAAGAAGAAGAAGAAGAAGAAGAAGAUGAUGAUGAUGAGUAUGAGUAUGACAUGAGGGUCAAGGAAGUGCAUGCCAGUGGAGAAUUUCCAAUUAUAUGUUUGGAUCAAUGAGAGAAUCUUCGUUGUCUUAUAUGCUGCUAAUUAAUCUUAUUGUACUGUUUAUAUCGAUGAAUGUUGAUAUGUUUGCAACAGAUGAAAUCGAUCAAGGUAUGGUAGUCUUAAUACCAAAUGUUGUCUGAUGCUUUGGAAUGCUUGACCACAGCGAUCAUCUCCUACCUUGAACACAGCAGUAAUCAAAAUUAAUGGCGUUGCUCGGUUCUCAGUACCUGUAGUUCUUGACGGACAUCCCUUCUUUAGCUUCCGCCGAUUCGCCUUCUCCUGUAUACUUGCGGCGCUGAGCGAGGGAGUCGGCCUUGGCACGGACGAGGAGAGCAUCUUGGGCAGCCUUUUCCUUCUCCGGCCUUCCUCCCCACGGCUUCAGGCAUGUGUUCUGCAGAGCUCAGGCGUAGGAGGAGACAUGCCAUGGGUUGGGGCUCUGGUUCAUGUGCAUUCAAGUUCGAGGUUGCCUCCACUUCCGACCGCCCACCGGAGAGGAACUGUUCAAGAGUGCAUGCAAGAGCAUCGAUCAUCAUCACCUGUGUUAGGGAAUCUAAUGCAAAGAUCACGAUGAUGGUUUAGUGCUGUAGCAUGAUGCCAGGAGCAGCUGGUGGGAUUCUUCUGUGCGGGAGCUUCAAGGUGUACUCGGCAACCUGUUCCGGUGUGGCUUUCUCUGUGCAUUCAGCGCCAGGGGUGAGAGGAGGACACCCUCGAACAUGACAUUGUUCUCAGCCAGGUGGAAGAAGACCUCAGCCCACACUUUCUGUACCACCUCGAAGGUCCUUUCGAUUCCAUGGCUUCCAUCAAGCAACAUCUUAGGCUCAACAACUGGAACCAAGCCAUUGUCCUCCAAAGAAAUUGAGAAGCUUGUCGGAGUAGGCACCGACAAUCGCGGUUUCCCCGUCCGAGGAUAUAAUUGUCGCAAUAAGCAAACAGCAAAUAUACAUACAAUUACAAUCCUCGCAAAUGAAGGAACUCUGUGAACCAAACAAUUUUCCUCUAUGGUAAUUUAAUUCUUCAUAUACACACAACACCCAUAUUUUCUUUAGAACAAAUAUACAAUGAAGAUAAUUGACUGAGACUUGAGACUGUCCACACUGGACCAGAAGCAUUUUAAUGAAAUAAAGUUCCAACAUUACGAAACUCGAUAACAACAUUGUCUUCAUUUUUGUGUCAAUCCUCGGUAUCAGCAUCAGAAGGGAGCCAGUAUCGCCAUACGGCACCAAGGGAGCUACCCAUGAUGUUCAUGAUAAUAGCCGAUAGCGCAGGCGGCAAGGCGACCAGCGGGGAGGAAAAGUGCGAAGUCGCUAAGACAACACCCAACGAACAGUUUUGCAUACCGACCUGAGUGUGAAAAAGGAACCAUAAUAUUCUAAGAAAGUUUGGAACUAUCAUCUUUAUGUGCCUAUUUGCAUGAAGGAUGAUAGGAUGGUAGAAUAGUAACAACACUAGUGAUAACUCUUCGAUUGUAUGCACUUAAGAGAAAAGAGCUCAUCUAGUAACAAAAGUCGGCAAGAAUGGUAAACAUGCAUGAAUAGUUCCUACUAACAAUCUACAAGUUGGACUUGAGUGCCUUUAAAAGGUUCAUAUUAACUUAAUCUACAAAGUGAAAAGCUUUAUUUACACUAAAUGUUCGGAAGCUAGAGAUUAGAAAUUGACUAGGUGAAUGUUCUGUUCUCAGAUGAACAGAUACCUCGAUUGAGAUUGCUCGUCGCUGUUUUUCUCCCAUGCCACACAUAGCUGCUGACAGGUAUCUAUACAAAAAAGCAUACACAUACUAUCAGAAAGGAUUCUAAUCGUCUUUACUAUGUUUAAGAAAUUAUCUUUUCAACUGGUUAAAUAAAUAAAUAAAUAAAUAAGAAAAUACAUCUCCUGCUUGAUGAUAAAAAUUUUCUGAUGUAUAAUAAGCUUGAGGGAAAAUCCAUACCCCAACAAAAAGCCUGCAAAAUGUAAUAAAAACACUGCAAGUAUCACAACACCCAUAUCUCCAGAAAUUAUGUCAGAACCACCAGAACCAUUCAGAGUUGAUGUUCUAAAUCGCACAACAUUUUCCGAGAACACACUGCAACAUCCGAGAAACUUGUGUGAAGGACAACAUGCAGAUAGAAAAGAAACAAGAAAUAGGCAACUAAGCAAAUCUUCUCAUCCCAGACCUGCUUGAGAGAAGCGAAGAAGCUAAUACAGCAAGAAGGGGAGCAAAUGGGAUGAUGGCUUUCACGAUAGCUGGAAAUGCACUUUGCAAAUAAGAUCCCAACAGAACCGGAGCAACAACUACCUAAAAGCAAAAAACACAUUAUUCCUGACGAAGGAAAAAGUAACAAAAAGAGAUCGAUGAACUGUUUGAAUUUUACCUGGAGAGUACUGAUGGACAGUCUAAUGACAUCCACAGACACAAAAGUUCCAGCAAGAAUUUUGGUUAAAAGAGGAGUAAGAAGUACUGCAGCAAGGGUGGUGCAUACAGUCAUCACGAUGGCUAAUGGCACAUCUCCUCUAGCAAUUAAUGUCACCUGCAACACUAUUUGAAAGAAGGAUAUUAAAGAACAGGAGAAUUUUUAAAACCUGGGACUUCUCAUCAGGUGAUAUAUUUUUUUUCCUGAAAUGCAUAAUUUCCUAAUUUUAUGCAACCCAUCUACAUCAGAAUUACUUUAUAGCAAUAUUUAAGGGAAUAAAAAAAACUUGGAUUAUAGGAAAGAUCAUACACAUGGGGCAUCAGCAUUGAAAUAUAUAGGAAAAUGAUGAUAGUGAAAGAAGAGAGGAUAAAGAAGUUAGCAGUCUUGAGUUCAUGAAUCUUCUUCUCGCAUAAAAAGAGCAAGAAUGCUUUUGGUAUUAUGAAAGUUUUGUUACUGGAUCAUGAGAAAUAUGACAACAGUUUUAAGUGAAGAAUCAGAAAGUAACUCUAGGUAAGAGCAUUUCAUUGAUCUCGUCCAGAAAUGAAAUGACUUACCACAUUGGAUGCAGUUCCCGCAGGACAACAGGCGAGCAGAAUUAGACCUACCGAAAGAGAUGGUGGAAGACCGACUGCUUUGCUCAGUAUAACUCCAAAAGCUGGCAUAAUUGUGUAUUGAGCAACAAAACCCAACAGUAUCUACAAACACAAACAGAAGAGAAAACAGUAAGAAAACAUUUAAAGGGAUGUCUUAUCCAUGAGUGCAGAAAAUAGGUGGUGAGCAAUCAGAUAAAAUCCAUAUUAAGCCAAGUAGAUUCCGAAGAUCUUAGCAGGAUUUAUUCUCCUAUAUCAGCAACUACAGAGCCCACAGAAGAGAAGUUCUUCAAGUCAUUUCUUUUCCAGAUUAACAAACAAGCAGUCACCAUCCAACUACACAAAGAAGACCAAACAACAUUUUUACUCCUCAGAAUUCACAUUUUGAGGCUAACUAGAAAUCCAGCAGCAAUUUUAAUAUCUCUCAGACGGUUGAAAGACGAUAUUGUCAGACUUCAGCAAUAGCUGCUUGUCCUCUUCCAAACAUUAAUAUGCAUUCCUACAAUAUCAUUUUUCUUGAAUUUUCUUGCCAAGUACUCUUGAACAUGACCAAUUCGUUGAUAUGGUGAUGUGAUACUUGGAUCGAUAAUAGGUUUGACUUUGGACUACUCACAAAAUUGUCAAACUCCAAACCAUAUUGCAAGUAGUAAUCCUCUGAUGUAUCGCCGGGACCAACUAAAACGAACACAUCACAUCAUUACAUACUUUACUUGUCUGAAUUUAUACACAGUUGCGACUCUCAACCAAAACAUAAGCUCUGGAAUGACACCGUGAGUCAACUUAAGAGAUCCAUCAGGAUCCAAUUUAAAGAUAAGCAUUCGAGAAAUUCCCUAACACAGAUGAAGAAUAAAUCUUUUCAAAUUAGACAUCCUGAAUUCCAAAAAAAAGGAACAUAGAAGUCAAAAGAGUUUGAAUAUUUUAUGGUUCGUCCAAUUAUUCCUUUGUAAUUACUCACAGAGAAAGGCCUUUCCCGGAAGAGUGCGAACAGGUCCUUCAGUUCCAGAGUGAGACCCGUAGCCAGCAUGAUAAAACCCAAAGAUAAGCUAUAAGAAGCCGGCCCACGCUUCACGAACCAAGAGAAAGCCGACGGAUUCACGCAGGCGACGGUCCCUCCGAUGGUCACAUAGAGAGGGUAGAGGCUGGCAGCGGUGGUGAGAACCUUCUUCCAUCUGCGAGACCUCGGGUCGGCUUGGUCCGGGAUGCCGGAGAGGGCUCUGACAGUGGAGCGCGUCGGGCGUCGAUAAAAACCGCACCUUGGAGGAGCUCGGUGGAGGAGCAGAUUGGGGCGGGAUUGAUGGGGGAAGACCAACGACCGGAAGCAGACGAUAGACAUUGGAGGUGACGGGAGCACUGGGAAGCAGCAGAGGAGCCGACACGUGGGGCUUUUGUAGUCCCCGGGCGCCUUGGAGAUAGUGUCGGGCGUUAUCGGAUCCGGGUACCAUCUAUCGUCAACCCGAUCCGAGGAAUGGACAUUUGAUGACGUGCAUGACAUCGUUCAGUUUAGAAACCUUUUAAUCGGUUUGACAUCGAUUUUGAUGGAUAUAGGAAGUCAACAAAUUAGAUUUUCAGAUACUAUUAAAUUAAAUUAAAAAUGAUAUUACAUAAAAUAAAAUAUGCAUAGAUAAACUGACUCGAAUGCAUUUAGAAUUGCAUCUCGACAAUCUUGAAGAGAGAUUUGCUUCCUCUUUUUUGUCACUUGACUGGAUUACUUUGUCCAUACUGGGAAUUAUGCAUCAGUAUAAGCUUUAAACCUUUAGCAGCCUCGGCUGCUUUCCCUACUGUUCUUACAGGUUGACGGAGGAGGGGAUUGUGGAGCAGACCAACAUCACUCGACGAACAACGCCACGUCGAUCCUCUCGGACUGCUGCUCCCCCAGAGAAACCUGUUGGAAAAUGGAUUCACGAGACUUGCGCGGAAUUCCUUGGGAGUCUCGCAUAGCAGCCCCUGCAACGCGCACAAACCCAAGUUUUAGCUUCACAGGGCGAGGAAGAAACCUCUCUAUCCGAACUAUAUGCACACCUCUGCCAUGGCUUUGAUCUUCAGCGUAAUGCUGUUGGAUAAGAGGAUGAAUUGUUGGCCGUCAUUCUUCGUUUUCUUGAACAAGAGCGCGCAGUCGAGGAUGUGGUCUUCCGCGGUCGGAGAAACGAUCUCAGUCAAGCUUCCGUAGGCGGAGAAGGAUUUGGAGUCGGUGCCGUCGCCAAAUGGUGAUCGAGGUGAGGCAGGGGGGGUUGGCAGCACCGGCAGCGUCUCGGAUGAGCUCUGAACAUGAAUCCACCAACUUGUGUUCACCAUACACUCUUCUAUCCAUUGCAGUCCUUUGGAUGCCAUUUUUGUUGAUUUGCUGAAGAGGCUCUCGCGCCGCUUGAGGCAGUCGAGUUCCCUUAUGACUGCAAGACAAGAGAACAGCAGCUGAUGUUUAGCUGCAUAAAGAUGUUAGAUUGAAACAGGGGAAGAAUCAAGCUGAGCUUACCGAUUCGUGGGACGAUGAGGUGAGUCCCCUUUAGGCCUUCGAGGAGCUGCAGGGACCUUCUUGAUUCUUCAUCCAGAAAGCAAUUUGCUUCGACCACAAUGUUCCAGAUCUUCCUCUCUUCUGCUUUGGGGAUCACUUCGCCCAUGGGUUGUCUCUGCAACUAAGGAUCGAAAUCAAUCAAACAUUUGGCUGACAAAUAAAUUCAUGCAGCAGCAGUAUCUUACUAAAAACUUACGGAAGAGCGACUCGGUCCACAUUCUGAAGUCGGAGCAUCCUUGGUGGAAGCACAGUUACCCUCCGAAGUAGCAUCGCAGCUUUUCGAAGCAGAAAUCUCCAGCAGAGGUUGAAAGGGAAUCCGUUCCACUCUUCUCUUCAAGAUCUCCUUCUCAAUUCUCGCACAGCUACUGAAGGAAGACUCCUUCGACUUCGCAGAUCGCGAGAUGUCGGGCGUCAGAUUCUCCUUGUCUGAAGGAAACGUGUUAUCAUUGUCUUCAACCUUCAUAAGAAUUCCACCACACACUUUCCUCGAUUUCAUAUGUUUACAAGAGUCUGGUGUCCAGUUCUCUUUGUCACCAUAGAGCACAUCUUCUUCCAACACACUUGAAUUUGUGAUGGAGUUAGAAUGUAGUAUCUGCAGAUCUUCCUGAUAUUUCUUUGACUUCCCAGCACAAGUGCUAGAUUUAAAGAUGUUACACUUUACUAGGUUCUCAGAGGAGGCUUUUCUAGUCCUCAAGUCACUGAGUACCUCAUGUUUGCAGUUGUCUUCUUGAGCUGGCCGAACCUUAUCUGCAACAUUAGAAUGUUCUGCAACACACCCAGAUUUCUGCAGAACCCUGCUGGUCCUCUUAAUCUUUCGGCUUGACAUUGGUGUUACGUUCUCCUUAUCUGAAUCAAAAUGUUCUUCUCUAUCUUGAGCAUUUUCAAAGAGCACCCUGCAAAGUUUUUCCUCUCUCUGAGCUCGAUCACAAACACUGUUGUUCUCUUUCCCUGUACUUCCUCCGACCUCUGCAUCAGGUCUUGUAUUUGUGAUUUUCUCCUUGCCCCUCCCCGUCUCGAUUCGAAGGAAGCCAACAGACCUCGACUUACUCCUCCUUGACAAGAGGCUUGACGGAAAGCUCCCCUUCUCGGACCUCUCCAGGCUCAGGUGGUCCCCCUCGAAUGGUUGCUGAACAGCAGAUAACACCUGAGGAGACGAAUUCUUGUCCAUGGUUGGCAUCGAAGACACAACGAACUCAGGCAUCGGCAAGGCAGCAAAGAGGCUUGAGCCCUCUGCUUCGAGUAUUGGGCUCUGUUGUUCCAUUGUGGCUGGCAAAGGUGAUGGAUUCAUAGAUUCCGGCAAAGGUGGCGCCGAAGGUAUCACAGUAGGCCACAUUUCGAUCAUGUCAGUUAGUAACUCCUCGCAAUCAUCCUGUAAAAUCCCAAUUGAAGUAAACGGUUUUGCAGAGAUCGAAAGGACAGAACUUGAAUCUAGGAGAAGUGAAAAGAUCGAAAAACCUGAUUGGCUUCUACCUUGUCUUCAACCAAUGGCUCCAAUGGGUUAUCCAUCUCAAGCGCGCGGCUUGAUGAGACCCAUUGAAGCCUGUAAACCCUCGUCGAGGCGCCGAGCCUCAGAAUGUCGCCAUCUACCAUGUCGACCGCCACGUUGGGCGGGAUCUUGGUUCCGGAAACCCAAGUCCCAUGAACUGGAUACCGAAGGGAACCGAAUCAACCGCCGAUCCCGAAACAAUGAGAAGAAGAGGAAGAAGAAGAGAAAAAUAUCGGGAAUUGGAGGAGGAGGACGCACCGGAGGAGAGAUCGGUGACGGCAAGCUUCCGCAGCGAGGGAACGAGGCGGGCGGCGAGGUGGAAGCGGCUGAUGCUGGGGUGAUCGAGGACGACGUGACAAUCUGGAUGGCGACCGAAGAGGAUCGGGAGGUCCUCAUCGUCUACUUCUCCUCCACCUGGGUUAGGAAUGUGGCCGCCGUCUCCGGCCGUCGUCGGAUGCGGCGGAUGAGGAGGGGGCAAGUUAAGGAAGAGGCGCUUUAGGAUGCUGCCCUUCUUGAGGACGGAGAGGACGGCGAUCUUGAUCUCCUUCUCCUCCGAUUUCGAUCUCUCCUUGUCCCCCAUCAUGUCUUUCUUUCUUUCUUGUGUGUUGUUGAUUCGGGCGUUUAUUUAGAGAGGUGUUCGUGUGAAAUGGGGAUUUCAAAGCAGAGAAGCCCGUUGGCCGCCUCUCCAACGGCUACUUUGGUGUGACUGUAAUGUUCCUUCGCACUUUGUCCGAAUACUUGUUUCACCAAGACGUGCGAUUGGAUGGCCCACCGUGUCCCAUAAGGAGCUCAAAUCACAAAACAGGUACGUCUGCGGGUAACGUGAUUCCUUACCCACGAGCGAGAGCGCUGCUCUAUGUCCCGUCGUGAACGUUACGACUUACGUGACGACAGACGGCGUUUGACACAUACGCCCUACGCUGACGUGGCGACACACCAACCUGUUAGAAUAACGUAUAAGAAGGCUCCACAGGCGGGCCCCACAUUUGAAGGCAAGAUUGAUUUAGACUCAAAUCUUGACCCAAAUCUAUCCGAUGAAGAAGAUGGCUUUCCUUUGUUUUCUUCCUUCUUCUUUCGUCAGGAAACUUCUUCAGUGGCUUUGCAAUAUAUUCUUGUGGAGGAAAGAAAAGUUUGCUUUAUCCUUCUCAAGUCAAUCAAGAACAGCAUCUUUACAUACAAAAUGAGAAGGAAUCAAUCAUUUACUUUUCCUUUAAAGGAGUCAUUGCAGUGCAUGAAUGUGGCACGUAUGCUGAGGAGAUUUAGACCUGAGGUAUAUCUGCAUCCUCUGCUCUUAAAUCUUACCUAAGGUCAAGGAUUCUCCAAGCACACUGUAUCGAGGAUGCCAAGUCUAAGAUUUCACAGUGGUGUCCUGCAAAUCUUGGUUAGGUGGAAUCUAACUUGGAUGUCGUACUUAUUUGAAUCGACUGCAGUACUCAAGAAAAAAGGCAGCAUGGGAACCAUCUCUAUCCCAACUACACACAGGAAAGAAAUGAAGAUAUCAUGAUGUAAACAAAACAUUUUCUUGAUUUAAGCUCUAGAUCAUGACAUGUUCCAAAGUUAGCUUGGUUCAUUUUGCUCACAUGUACCCAGAUCACCUUGUGCAUUUCCAUGCAGAGACUGUGAUUAGAUUUCUAUCUUGCAAACACAAAGACAGUGUUCUUCCAUCAUCUGUCUCUGAAAUGCCAAACCCGCUGUUGCUCACAUGCUCUAUGGUCGAAAACUGGCCCUUAAUCUUCAGCAGCAGCUUUGCUUGGCUCACCGACCUCGAACUCAGCUUCAUUCCUUGGAACCCAGUGCUCUCCAUCCUCCCCUUCCACGCACUUGUCUUCUCACAGUUGCAGGUUAUGGCGCUUUUGAUCUCUCUCCCAAGAUGGUUCUUCUCGAUGCUCAGCCUCCCCAGGCUGUCUGCUGGGAGACAGUCAUGCAACGAGCGAAACAUGGCUGCAAAGUAGUUCAAGGACGACUCCACAAACCUCGCUGAGUAGCCUGCGGGGCGUUGGCUAAUUUCUUUCUCUGCUAAGACUACGACGGAGGGAUUCAAGGAGUGGAUGGACAUCAAUGUCGCGAGCAUCUCAGACGAGCUCUUCAUGGUCUGCAGAUAGAAGACCAAGUUCACGGCAAGGGUUGCGUUCUUCUCGAUCUUAAGGUCACUGGUUGUCGAGCCUCGCAAAAGCCCAUUGUACACGAACUCCAGAUUGCUGCAGCUCUUCGAGAAACCGACAAGCCUCGUUUCAGUGUUCUUGAGCUCCUCCGUGCUUCUGCCAAACCCUGUCAAGUGCAGAGAUAUUGGCUUACUCGUUGUAGCCUUGUCACAAAGGGAUUGGAUCAGAGAGGGCCACUGGAACCCGUAGGAGACGUCAAAAUCGAUCACAUAUAGUCUUCUGCCGUUUUGCUUCUCUUCCGCCUCGAAGGCUUCCACUAUAGUCUGGUUGGCGGUGAAAUGCGCGAACUGGUAGCACGGAGAAGCCCGGUAGAGCUCGGUGAAGCCCGUGAACUCCUCCUCCGGUGUCGGAUGCGCCAUGAUUGAUCGGUAGAAGGGGGAGCUAUCUGUCAGAAUCCUGGCAGCCAAGCCGUCGGCGAAGUAGGCCAUGACUCGUUGCAUCGGAUGGCCAUGCAGAGAAGCAUGCUGGUACAGGUCGACUAAGGCGUCGAUCGCUGCGUCUGCAUGAUCGGCGUCGAUCGCUGAGGCGGCGAGCAGAAGCAAACGACGCAGUUGUUCGUCCGUCGCGUCUUCCUGCCCGCUUCGCUUGGGGUCUUCUCUCAGCAUACGCUCUUUCGCUUGAAGCAGCACCAAGAACUUCCCAUCAUCUGCAUCUUUCGCCUUCACAUGGCAUGCACCGAAACCGUCCCUCGCCUUCCUCUUCUUGAUAGCAUGAGAACGCCAAGCGCGGACGUUGUCGUCUCCUUCCAUUCUCUGAAGUCGACGAAACUUGGGAGACAUGAGGAGGGGGAAAGGAGAGGAGGUAUCUUCUCCUCAGGUCAUUUCUCUUUUCUCAGUUUCUGGAAUUCUCGCGUCUUGGAUUCCCAGGUUGAGACGGUGGGCUGCUUUAUUCUCUUUGGUUGGCACCGCCUCUCCCCUUCUCUUUUCUCACUCGAUCUGGUCUCAGUGCGUGCCUGACGGUGGCGACAAGGAGCGAGACAGGGAAGUGGUUGGAAGAUUGGAAUGGUUCAAAAGAUGCCAUGAGGCAGUCGGCAAGGAACAGAGUGAGGCGGACGCAGGAGGGCGGAAUCAUCACUUGGUUUGACACGGCUUGUCCUCUUGUCCCGUUUCCCAGAAGCGAUCUCGUGUUCAUUCCCUUCCUUUUGUUCCAGCAUGACGCUAUCAGAGGAAGAAAUGUUACUGCCCAGGCUCUUUUCCCACAUGCGGAUCGGAUCCGGAACACAGGAUCCGAUUUCUUUAUCCAUCCCGCCGAUGUCGUGCUAUAGUGUGACGAAGGUCCCUCGCUAACCGUCCAUCGCUUUUUUUUCAAAUCUGAACCGUCCAUUAUUUCGAGUAAAAAAUAAAUACAAAACGUUGAUUUUGUCAUCAGAUAGGUGGACGGUUGAGAUUAUGGUACAAGAUGAGAUCAGACGGCUUUCUGCGGUUGCGAUAUAUAUCACAGCGUUUGCGUUCGUAUGUGAGGAGGGCGAGAGAGAGGGCGCGGCGGCUCUGGAAGCGGCGGAUGGAUCUGUGAGGAGAUGAGAAACCAAGCGAAUUCUGAUAUCCGUGAUGCAUUCCACGAUAGUUUUCAAUCUGAGAUCCGCAAUCCGUUGCUCGAGCUGUGCGCCCUCCUCUCCUCUCUUCGGCCUGGUGAUGGAACUUUUGAGUAUUCUCUCUGAAGGCCGCUCCUUGUUCGCCUAUUUCUCUCCUAUGAGUUGUCGAGCUCCGGUCAUGUUUCUGAUGCCUGGAAACCCUAGUUUUUUCUUCUAUUGUUAUAUCUCGUUUUCUCGUAUCUUGCUUAUUGCUCUUUUUUUGUGGUUCGAACUAGAGAUUGCAUUAUGUUGGAGAUUAAUUUGAACCUUCUUUUGGUCUUUGUUGUCUGAAAAAACUAGUUAGUUACUUGCAGAGUCUAGAAGUGACUCCGAGAUUGUAAUCGGUCGUCACUACCCCAAAUUUUGUGUUAUUUCUUGGAUUUUUCCCCAUUUUGUACGGUUCUCUUCUUAUUGUUGGAUUUAAAGUUCUAUUUGUUUGUAUUAUUCUUAAUGUUUCAGAGUUUUGGUGGCUUUAUACGUCCUCUUUUCACAGCUAUACGAUAUGUAGAUUCUAUUCUUAAUGUUUGAAAGUGUUGUUGGCUUUGAUUUUGAUACUCUGUGCUUUCUUUUGGGUUUAAAAGUCCAAGUUUUUUACUGAGAUUUAAAUGAGAAAUCAAAGUUCGUGAAACAAUAAAUGGAUUUUUGCUAGACAUCAUGGAAAAAGCUGCUGUACAGAUUCAUUUUUUCUUGCUUUACUUUCCAUGAAGUGCCUAACAAAUGGUGGAAGUAUCUUCAGAUGUCCCUAUAUGAGACUUAGUGAAACACAAGUGGAUAUGGAAUACUUUUGUAGGGAGCUGCAAAUUUGACUUGGGUCUUUGCAUGCCUUGUGAUUUGGAAAGUUAUGGCAUAUGCUGUUUCUGCUACUAAUACCACUAGCUACUGCUGUAUUAUUUUGACCAAAACAUGGUUAUCCAACAGUUAAAGAAUUUUUAUGUCUCAAAUAUCUGUUAAUUUUAAUAUAAAUUACUUCUUUGUUUUAAUGUCACCAGAAGACCAUAAUCUGUACAUAUGCUCACUAUUCUAUGUUAAUCCUGUCCUUAAGAAUAUAGAUAUGUCAUUCCUUCUGAUAAAGAAAUCAUUUUUAGUUAUGCUUUCAUAUGUAUUGGGGUCAAACUUUGAAAUGCUGUGCCUAUGAAAUGCGAAGCCCAAGAUUCGGUGAUUUUUAGAAUUGUGAUGCUACUCAGCACUUUUUUUCGGUUAUAUUGAUGCCUCUAUAGCAGACACUUGCUUUCAGUGGCAUAUGGUAGCACCAGCGCCCAUGGACAUGCAAGUUUAUAGCUUUCUAGGUGCCAGAGAUUUUGUGAAUAUGGUCGUGAUGCUUGAAUUUGAGUACCUUCUGGUCAAUGACAUUUAUGUAUGUGGUUCUAUUUGCUUAUGACAUAUCUAGUAUAUAGUUCUAUUUGUGUUGUUUGGCUGAUCUUGCAAAGCUACUUUCAUCCUGUGUGGAAGUGGUAGCAUUUUUAGUUUAUAGUAAUCUCAAGAUCAGUGCAGGUUUUUCAACUUGGCGAAUAUGUUCUUCAUUAGUUCUUAUACUUCCUUUUUGUUUACACUUUUUUUUCUUGUUUAAGAUUUUGUUGAUUUACCAGCAAAAAGCUUGCCCGAGUUCAUUCAUCAACGACUCUUUUAUAUUACUUAACUUUUGAAGUGCCUAGCCUUAAUAUUAGAGAUGCACCCAAUUUAUGAUUCAUACCUUUGAGCAUGAUAUAUAGCUCAUUUAGAUGCUAUUCAACUAAUGCAACAUGGUGAUCAGGUGUGGUGCACCUGUUGAUUUUUCAUGGCUGCAACAUGCUAUGACUUGAGAAAAAGGAAAACUAGGAAUCUAUGUGCUUACAAGUGAAAUGUGAUGCAAAUUGCUAUACAACCUUUCUUUUUUUUCCUCAGUCGCAACUUGAUGCAUAAGACCUUGAGCAAUAGACCUGUAUAACUCAAUUUUAAGAAUGAUAUUUUCAAUUGUAAGAAAUCAUACAUCAAGAAAAUGGUGGGACUUUCAACCAUGGUCCCUCUUGUAACGACAGUGCAGUAGUAGUUGGCUGAAUCCAUUGAGAGUCAAGCCGCCAUCGGAUGUCAGACCAUAUAGAUUGAUUUUGGCAAUAUUUCUCUCUUUUAUAUUUGGUGAUGCUGGAUUGGGCCAUGCAGAUUUCCAAAACAAGGUUUAAAACCUUGAUUUGAAAUGGUUCUGUAAGAUAGAAGUUUGUGUUGUUUGCAUUGCAGAAAAUGCCCCGGCAAUAUCCUCCUGCAUCUCAUUGUGUCUAGUAGGCCUGAUCAUAUGUUUUGAAUAGCUCAUAUUUUAUGGCACUUGAUAUGAUGUCUGUAAUGGAUGGUUAAAUCGAGGAUAACCGGGAAAAGUAUGUCUAAAAGUCAACACUGUGGGGCUGAUCCAGGAAAAGCAAACGAUAAGUUUUGUAUUCUGUUGUAGCUGUGAAAAGUGGAUGCGGCUGAGACCAAUUAGGUUGGCGUUGCUGUGCCGAUUGCAGUCGACAUCAAGAGGGAGUAGCAUCUACCAGAAAUCUUUGUAAUAUCUUAUUCCUAGUGUCAAGUUCUUUUCAUUUCAGCAAGACUGUUGACUUUGGUGGGUACUUUCUACCUGUUCAUUGACUUCAGCUCCUGCUAUGCAGGUCUCUAUUGGGCAAAGAUGGAUUCACAGCGUGCCUUUGUUCCCCUACAUGCAUUACAGGACUACAGGAGAUGAUGAAGACGACUCGAGGCAGGCUGUGCUUCUGCCGAGCCCGCAAGGGGGCACCGUCGCCUCCAUUUCAGAAAUCGUGUUCUUGCUCAACUGUUUCAUUUGUCCUUCCAAUUGGGUAUAUGAUCUGUAAAUGAUGGCUAUCUGUGACCAAGCAGUUGCCAUAAUUGCUCUAAUCAUGGAGCUCAAGACAAUCGCGUCGUGGAAUCCACUUCCAAAUAAUUCGACAAGAGAAUACAUGUUCAUUACCAUUUAUUUUUGUUUUCUAUUAUUUUGUUCAGUAACAUUGUUCGAAUGAUAAAUGAAAUGAUGAAAAGCUAAAGUUGAACGCAUCAAAUCAUCCACAGGGUCCGGAGGAACUCUCAGAUCAAAUUUGGCAGCGGCCAACACCCGACCCAUGAGACAAAUCACCUGUCAUCCCGGUACGAGACAAGCACUCCGCUGCGCCAACCACAAUAAAAGCAGGGAGACCGAGAUGAGAAAAGACAGAGAGAGAGAGAGAGAGAGAGAGGAAUCUCAUCGUCGCGGACGGUGACAACAUGAUAUGAGAGGAGGUGGGGAGGUCAGAGGGGGCACUGUCCCUCCCCACGUGUCUGGCGUCGUACGGGUCUGAUCGGAGAUGUACGCCCGCCUCCCGGUGGCUUUGAUGGGCGCGCAGCAGCGGUGGCGAAGCCUGUACGUAGCAUACGGCGUCCACCUCCGCUUGAUGCACACCACCUGUUCGCUCCGUGACCGCGCAGAAACCGGCACCAAUCGAUGCCCCGUUACUGUGAGUGCACUCUUUAUCAUAUCCACCUCCUCCCUCUUUCAUAAACACACCCCAACCGAUACACAAGACAACGACAGGUUGUCAUUAUAGAUCGCCUAUUGCACCCACCGGCGUUGUGAUUGGACGCAACAUGCGGUCCCACAUGGAGCCCAACCAUGCCUUCGAUCAUAAGCUAUGUAGGUGUUAGUUUUCUUUACAAUCUUAUGUUGACAGUAAUUUGAUCUUUAAAAAAUAUGUAUAUAUAAUUAUUAAAAUCUAGUGAAAGAUUAGCAUCAAUCUCCACACCCAUUAGAAUGCGAAGUGGUUGGUCGUUGGGUGUCAUAACUCAAAAACCAAGUCUCAGCUAUUGAAAUCAGGAUCAUGAUGAGCGUCCAUUCCGGCCUCCUUCAAUCAUAGAGCCAUCGAGAUAAGGUCAAACUUUGUGCACAUUAUUAUUCUAGCAAUCUAAAUCAUGGUCGAUCAUUAGUAUAUUUUCAUACAUCAUACAUCUUUUUCGAGAGUUUGUUGAUCAUUCCAACUGUAUCCAAAUAAUACGAGAUUUGAUUCUUAGGUAUGUUGAAUUUUCUACCUUUUGUUGGAAUUUAUCUUUAAUUUAGAGCAUUUAUGAUAAACUCUAAAGGUUGCAUUCUCCAUCCUUUUUUUUACUUUGUUCAGUAAAUGAAUUAUCUUAGAUGAUUUAAUAUAUAUAUAUAUAAUAAAAGUGACAAAAAUAAGAUUAUUUUGGUAAGAGAAGGCUACAAAAUUGCAGUCCCACUCGAUGGGUUGCUGCGGCGGCUGACCUUUUCCUGAGGAGUUGGAGGUCUCAGUGCCCACACGUUUCCUCAUCAUGAUAACCUGCAGAUCCCCACAUCAGUUCAUAGCUCGUCACUGCUUCUUGGAGUGCAGACAGACGAGGUAACAAGCGUGUCUUCUUCACCUGCUUUUUAGUGUUCUGGCUCGGCUCUCCAUCUUGAAGAGAUUUCAGCUCGAAAUGCUCGAGCAUUUGAGGGUGGCGAUCGGGCACCGCCGCGAGAGGUCGGUGAUCGAUGCAGAAGGAAACGCCAAUGGGCAUUGCAUCGUUAGCCGAACUCACACGGCAAGCCAUUUGCACGGAUCACGAAGAGCAACACGGACUCCGAGGGCCGUGUCCUUAACGGAUGACCAUUUAGGAUUUGGUCGUUCGGGAUUAGUCUUCUUCCCAGCUCGGUCGUCUUGGAGAUGAGGAUGUUUGCCUACUUUUGGACGUGACAGUGAAGGCCCUUCGUUUCUGUGUUGCGUCCAAAGGUGAAGCCGCGGCGACGCACAUCCAAGGCGUCGCAACAGAUGAUGCUUUUAUCCUCCAUUGCAGGAUAAAAGCAGGACUUAGGUAUGAGGAAGAUUCCAAAAGACAGAUUAAUGCAACAGUUUACAAGGGCAGGGAGAAGCACACCAGAAAAGGAUUAUGAGUUCUCGGUCAUCUAAAACCUCCAUCUCUCUCCCUCUCUCUCUCUCUCUCUCUCGCGCGCUCUCUCUGCGCUUAAACAAACAAAGAAUUACUACUGCACAGACGAAUUGGAUCCCUAUACAAAUCUUUGUCCCCCACUCUUGGAAGUAAGGUUCUUGAACUCACAACACUCAAGCAGAACGAAACAAAAACAAAGGGAAGGGGGAAAAUAAUGAUAAGAGAAGUGGCAGUGUUCUUUCGCAAGCUGAAAGAACGCCGUCCACUAAUUUGAAGGAUUCUUUAGCACCCAAAGCUCACCUUGUGCGAGUCAAAAGAGAAGAAGAAGAAGAAGAAGAAGAAGAAGAAGAAGAAGAGGAGGAGGAGGAAAGGAACACUCGCCGUUGCUGGAUUUGAAGCUCCAAUUGGAUUUUUUGUUUCUGCCUUGCAUGCGUGCGUCCAAGGUUGCUCUUUGACAUCCUAUGAACCCUCCUCCUUCUACUACUGUGAACUGGUUUGGUGGUCCUCUCCGCUGGCUGCACCUUGGUGCUGCUGAUGGGUACUGUGGGCUUGGUGAUGGUGGUCCAUUGGCUGGUGGUGUUCGGAAUUCAUGCUCAGGCCACCACCUCUAUUGUAUGCAUUGAGGGCCGCGAGCAUCCCGAGAUUGGUUUCCGACGUUCCCAGUCCGAGAUGCUGAGCCGCCAUGCCGCCCGUGGGCUGCUGCAGCACCAUCGAUCCCAGCGGAAGAGCGCGGCCGCCUUGGAACUCGGCACCGCCCGAUAAGUUUAUUCGCGACAUGAACUGGAGUGGCGCUUGGAUGCUGCUUCCGCCGCUGAUCCCGGGGCGGUACUGCCCGGCCAUGGCCGGGAACGUCCAGAUGGACGGCUCUGAGGGUCCGGUGGCUGCGGCCACCGCGGGCGCCGCUGAACCCGUGGACACUGGAAGCAUCCAGAAAGCUCCCCCAGCUCCGCUGUUCGGAGCAACCGCCCACAUUGCCGCCGCAGGGAGGAUCCCCUGCGGCCUCGUCAGACCUGCGGCUGCGGCAGCUGCAGCUUCUUGCUGCUGUGACCGUUGAUGCAAUUGGAGCCCGCUGCCAGCCCUCAUAGACUUGGAGGCCGACGACGGGGAGGACGGGCCUGCCCCUCCGCUUCCUUCCGGCUGCUCAUCUUUGAAGAGAUCCUCUCUAAAACGUUUCCUCAAAUAGGUGUCGGCAGAGUCGCCACCGCCGCUACUGCCUCCGCCUUGUAACCCUUCUCCAAUCUGAUCGGCGGACAGGAGCUGAUGUUGGUGGGGAUGAGGGUGGAGCUGGUGGAAACCGAGCAUUGCGGCAGCGUGGGACAUGCCGGGGUCGGUCACCUGCUCGAAGUCGGGGCGGUGGUGGGCGAGGGCAAGCGCGUGGAAGGAGAGCGGGGCGGACUUGGAGGGCGGGGCAGAGAGGGAGGAGCCGCUGCUCCUCAGCGAGAUGUUGAGUGUGGAGAAGUUGGCCGGGAUGGUGCCGGUACCGGUGGUAGCGAUGAUGGCGGGUUCCGCCUGCUGCAACAGCCACUCGAUGGUCUCGCCGUCCGUCUUGUGCCCGAGCUCCCGCGUCAGCUGGAACACACGCGCCGCACAGAUGGCCGGCAUGCGGAUCCGACGCCCGCGGCCGUCGACCUUGGUGUGGCGAUCUUUGGAGGAGCGUUUGGCUGGGGCGCCGCCGCCGGCGAGCUUCUUGGACGUGUCGGCGGCGGCAGAGGAAGAUGAGGGGCCAACGGCGCCGGGGGAAAGGGAGGGAUCGGGCUUGGCGGUGGAGAUGGCGAGGGAGGCGUCGACGACGCCGUGGUGGACGAUGGAGCCCAUGAAGGGGGCUACUGAGCUGGGGCCCGCUCUGUUCUUUAACGGGACCAGCUCGAGCGACGACGGGAUGCUGCUGUUUCCUUGCUGCUUCUGCUGCUGGUGGUGAUGGUGGCCAAAGUGGUGCUGUGGCUGGUGGUGUUCCGAAGUGCUUCUGCUGCUGCUGGUGCCACUGCUGCUGUUGCUAUUUGCCCGAACUCUUCCCCCUCUCCCUCCUCCUCCUCCUCCUCCUCCUGUUCCUGCACCACCACCUCCCUGUCCUCCAUGCCUACUAAGCUCGCUUUGUUCCAUGCUUUACUGUUUUCCAAUCUAUCCCUAAGAUCAACACCAAUUGCUUGCUUUUCUUUCUUUUCCUUUUCCUCUCCAACUGUGUAUAUAUAUUUAUCUUGACGGCAGCUCCAGUUCUUAUAUUUUUGGAUGGAGAAAAAAGUCGAGAAGAAAUAUUAAGGGGGGAGGGGAGGGUAGAGAGAGAGAGAGAGAGCGAUAUAACCUAGUUAGGGUUUGAGGAGGCAAACACGUGCAGGGGGCCGCUCCAUACUUGGCUGGAGACUGGCGUGGGGCUCUCCUGCUGAUUGACUGUUGUCUCUGUGCGCGCGUUGGUGCGGGCGAGAAUGAAAGGAAGGAAAGAAAGAGAGAGGAGGUGGGGAAGGAAGACGCUACCUGAGGUUGUUUAACCGCACAGAUAAGAAAAUGAUGCAACAAAAGAGUGAGAGCGAGCGGCAAACAAUAAGAUACGUCACCGAGAAAGAAAGGUGGGAGAGAAGGGGGAAGGCGAGAGAGGCGCGUAGGUUUAGAUCCUAAAACCCUAACUCCCUCAGCUUUUCUCCUUCCUCCUCUUUUCUUGCAUCGCUUUUCCCCACUGUUUCCUCUCCCCCUCUCUCUCUCUCUCUCUCUCUCUCUCUUUCUCUUUCUCUCUUAUGAUUCCUCUCUCUCUCUCUCUCUCUCUCUCUCUCUCUCUCUCACCUACACACGCUAUAACUGCAGCUUGCUCUCUCUCCUUGACACUGCUUGGGGGAGGGGGGGCCGCCUGAGAAAGAAGCAGUAGCCCGCUCGUGGGGCCUCGGAGAGAAUGAUGAAUAUAGACUUCUGAGUUAGAAAGAUGCAGUUAGGAACUUAACCAUCCUUCUCUUUCCAUGUCUCUCUAACUCCAUCUCCUCCAUUCCACCCGCCGGACGCUGCUAGUCUCCGCUUCGUUCGAUGAUUAGGAGCUUAAGCACCCUCUUUGCCGUGGUUUCCAUUAUUAUUACUGCGCCCAGGUAAUAUGAGGAGGAGGAGCAGCAGCAGCAGCAGUAGCAGCAGCAGCAGCAGCAGCAGACAUUGCAGGUGCGCGUCAGAUAAAGCAUCUAAUGCUGAUGACAGCUCAUCCCAACAUAAACAUCUCUUCUUUUAAAGAAAUUUCCUUUCCAAAAGAUAAAACCUUUGCACACUGUCCUCCAGUUAAAUGAGGCAGACUAAUACUCUUGUGAGAUACUCCCAACACCAGCAGUAGAAUACUCAUCUGCCAGUCAACUCCAGGUUGCCCCACUUCCCUCCUCGCACAACACAGCAAGCACACCCCUUUAUCCCCCUUCUUAUAUUAAACGUCACAGGGCGUUCCAUUACUUAACUCCUCCCACCUUUAUUCAUCCCCGCCACCCCCUCUUCUCGGUGCCUUCGGUGCACCAACCCGCGGAGAAGUGUAAGAGGAUGGCGUGAUCCGAUGCGUCUCUUUCUUGCCCUCCUUUUAAUAAGGCUUUUUUUUUUCUGUGGGUGCUGAUUAAAGGUGAGGUCGGUGCUCAUUUGUUUUCUCUCAAAGGCUGAAGCUGAAGCUGAAGCCAAGCUUUUGUUGACUCCACCGGUGGCAAUGUCAAACCUUAUCAUCUGCCCAUCUUCAAAUCAUCUCCCCCCCCCCCCCUGUUUUCCUCCACGGUUGGCCUCUCUGCCUGCACACGCGACUCACCUGACCCACGUGCGCUCGGUGUCUUCUCCCAGUCCCCCCCUCCUCCCUCCCUCCGUGUUCUGUCAAGUUGCAGCGCAAGUUGCAGGAAUCGCAGGCGAGACAAAGGAGGAGGAGGAGGAAGAAGAGGUGUGAAUUCAAAAUAAGCAAAGGUGGGGGUGUAUUAUAUGGAGCCCUGAACACCAGAGACAACAGAAUCACUGUUCCUGCAUCACGCCACCAUUGUUGGCUUCUCCGGAUAUGGGAUUCCUGAUGAUGACACCAUCCCAUCCCACUCACAUCACAAAAAUAAUCCACGCAAACGAUGCUGGGUUACUGCUCAUCCAUGGAUAUCAUAAUCAACCGAGUGAAUCAUUUCUCCCUGGUGUGCAUUUGAAGAAGGCCAACCUGUCUGCAUCCAUCUUUGUGUCAAUAUUAUACGAAAAGCAGAGCAAAGAAAUCAGCUUUCAGCCGGUUUUGGGGCUCUACACCCACAAAGCGAACCGAAACCGGCGCCAGGGGCUUUCCUAUUGAGGGAGAUGGGUAAAAGGAACAAGUACUGCAGCGAGGUGUCUGGUUUUAGCUUCUUCGCCUUGGCCUGCGCGUGUUGUGCGUGCGCGGGGGGUGGAGCUUCAGGAGUUACUGCGGUAAAAGGAGACGCGAGGAGGAAGACGACGGUGGUAAUUGAUCAAUUAUUGUGGGGGACACAGCAAAGUAAAAGUGCAGUAACCGGAUGCCGUAGAACUGCACCCUCUCCUUUCCAUUUCACCGUCCUCUGCUUCUGCUGCUGCUGCUGCUGCAUGACGCGGAUGCCUCGUACGGGCUUGAAAUAAACCAAAAGGAAUUGAAAGUGUUUCCUCCUCCUUCUUCUUCUUCGUCUGGAUUUGAGAUGUGAGCUUAGAGGAUUUGAAAGCAGAAAUCCUCCACCAGGGGUGACCCAAAAACAAAAAAGUCUCAUGAAUGGAGGUAGAUUCCCUCUCGAUCCACACUUGAACUGUCAUGUGCUCUUCCCAAUGACUGUCCUCCCUCCCUAACUGCAGUCACAAAGUACUUCCCAUCUCUAAGCCAAAAAAGAAAAAAAAAAAGAGAGCUCACAGCAACAUCGGUAGUGGUUUUUGUCAUUGAGAUUAGGAAAAGUACAAACCAUGUCGAUUGAGAUCCUUAGUAAUGGAUUGGUUUGUAGCCUUGCGCUUGUCUUCUUCCCCCUCCUCACAGCUCAUGUCUCACGAACUCCUCUCUCUCUCUCUCUCUAUUUCCUUCUUCCUGGACAAUGAUUCUUUCUCCUGUCCUUGGAGAGCAUACAAACUGUCAAGAACAAGCUCAUUAACCAUGUGGGCCAAUCAUGGGUUUGCAGAUCAGCACUGUAGCAUUUUAAAUAUCAGAAUGUGGAGGAGCCAAAUCUGUCACGCACACAUAUUAAAUUGCGUGGAUACAGGUGGACAGUAAUGAGGUGGGUCAUCGAGCUGCACCCUCUGCCUGCAUUAUCUACUCAAAACAAUUGCAGCUACGCAGCUUUAUGGGGGAGCUUACUAAAAGCCUUCUUGCCGGUGGCUGCGAUGCAUCAAAUCUCAUCACCCCCUUCACAUGCCUCCCUUCUGCCAUUCCUUUUUUCUUGCUUCUUUCCUCCUCCCUCAUUCAUUGACUAAGCCAUGACUCGGCUUCACCACCAUUCGGUCUUUACUCCUCACCCAACUGUUUUGGCGUAUGACACAGUGGAAGGAAGAGAACCAAAAGGCCAAGAAAUAAUAUGAAGCAGGAGAUCAAUGUGGAAGAGGACCUACCUCUUCCCAUCGCAUUCGAUUCCUUUCCAUCGAAAUAUCGGGUGUGAAAGAAAAGAGCCACUGCAGUCAAUUUGAUUUGAGUCGUAGCCUGUCGAUCACAGUUCUUCUAUCGUAUGUCUUCGAAGAUUGACUCGUAGCUGCUGUAAGUUUCGGUGUGUGUCUGGUCUUCCGAGGCUUUCGCAUAUCUCUUCUCCGAAUCCAGAGGACAAACGUCGAACACUUUAUCUACCGAGGAGGCUAUCAAGUCCGGUGAUCUCCUAAAACCAGUAAUUAGUUUCCCCUCGAUAUGAUAAGAAAGCAGGGAAGAACAAUGAUUGAGGAAAGAAGGUGUAGUAGGCAUGAUGACUUUUAGGUGGCAAAGAAAAGGGUGAAGCCAUAUGAUGGGAAGCUGCUCCUUUGGGUGCAUCAUUCAACCAUGCAGAUGGAGGCACUGUUGGCGUUCUUUACAGCACAAAGUGCAGAGGGCAGCAAUGAUGGCCGUGGCCAUGGCCAUCAGCCCCAGUUGCAGGUACAGUGACGAAUGUUGAUGCUGUCAAUUCUCUUGCUCGUUGUCCCUCCUCAACAGAUCUGUGCGCAUACUUAAGCUACACAGAACGCCGAUGCCAAGCUAAGAUGAUGGUCAAAUCUUUGAGCAUGGUGAUAGAUCUUCGGUGGAUUUUUUUUUGUGGGAACAACUUUCUUGAUUAUUUAUUAUGGAUCUUCUGUUCUCGUCUAUAAAUAAACAUGACCUAAAUGAUACAGUUGAGAUAUUAUAAUUUCUUUCUCAAUCUCCCUAAUUCUAGUUUUCCUUACAAAUUAACAAUGAUUAUUUAAUUUAAAGACGAUGCGCAGACAUAACUUUUUUUUCAGAUACAUUGAAAGGUACACAUCGUAAAAAUCGAUCUAAUAUUAUUUGAUUUCAAUUCUAAUAUAUAUUUUUUUUCACAUUAUAUAUAACAUAUCCUAGAUUUUAUACUUAUCUCAAUGAUUGAUUGUACAUCUGAUGAUGAGUCAUGUGAUAUCACACUAUAUGAGAAGACCGAAAAGGGUAUGGAGUGCCGCAAAGCCCUGUUUAAGACACACCCACAGCAUUUUUUGAUGAUCGGCAUGUGUUUUAGUAUCAUUAGUGUUAAAUUUGAUGGUACAUUUGUUGGGUUAAAAAAUUACAUAUUUAAAUUAAUAAAUAUUAAAAAUAAAAAAAUAAAAUCACGUCUCACUUUAUAAGUAGGUUAAAACUUUGAUUGAUUUAUAAGAACUUGAUAUGUGUAUUAUUACUAAUUUGAUCUUAAGUAUUUUUUUUGUUAGUGGUUGAUGUUGAAUGAAGUUAGUGAGUUAAUUCAUCAUGUUAGAUCAUGAUAAAUUGCAUUCUUAAAUGAGGAAGAUUGUGAUACAUCCAUUCAAUAAAUGAAUUAGAGUUAUUUAGGAAUUACUUUGCAAGUGUCCAAAUGUUAUUUUGAUAGGUUAAUGUCCCAAGGGAUAUUCUUUCAUCAAUAUAGUUAUUAUUAUUAUUCCCCAAAAAAAUAUUAAAACAUUAUUUUUUUUCAUAAACAAUUUCAAGUUUCUUCAUUUAAAUUUAUCUAGGAGGCUUUUACUUAUAAAAUGAUGAUAAAAAUAUUCAUAAGGAAUAAAUCAUAAUCAUAUAUAUAUAUAUAUAUAUAUAUAUAUAUAUAAUUAUAAAUAUUAGCUGAGUUAAGUUAUUCUUGAGAGGAUGCAUGUAUCUAUUUAUUUUUCUUUUAUGGUCUAUGACAUGGGUAUUUUAGUAAUUUAAAAUUAUCUAUGAUUUAGGGUUUUUAGUCUCCUCUAUAUAUACAUCCAUCCAUCCUCUUGUCUUAGAACAUUGUGAAAAUGAAAUCGGCUAAUGAAAAUAAAUUAUCGUGGAUAAUGAGAUCGACUAGCAAAAAGAUAAUGAGAUGGAAGGGAAAUUGCCCAAAGAGAGAGAGGUAGGGAUUCCUUUCCUUUACUCUUUGUUAAGUAUUGUAAGUAUUGCUAGAAAUUGUCUUGCUUAACCAUUGUUAUAAUAAUAUGUUUGUAGGAAGGAUUAGUGAUAGAGAAUAAUGAACCCUUUUUAAUCUAAAUCAUCUCGAUGAUUAGCAUGUAGUGUGAGUAUUGUUUGCAUGUAAGACAUAUCUUUCUUUUAAGUCAAUCCUUAGAUUUUGUUUCCUCCUCUCUUCACACACUCCAUAGAUUGGUUAAGUCAAUCCUUAGAUGGCAUAUUGCAAAUAAUAGAAAGAAACGAAAAAGACAGAGACAAAAGCAAAUUUUGAUGUCCUAUUUUCCGAAUUAGGCCUAAGUUGGUCGAGUUUAGUGAGCCCAACUCACUUAAUGUGAACGACCCAAUUGGAUCCACAUAGAUAAGUCUCUAUAUUUAUUUAUUGUGUUUUAGUAGUUUGGUAAUAAUGUAUAAAACAAAAUACGAGAGGACUCGAAUCUCGUCUUUAUCAUUUAUUCUUUUAAAAAAUUAAAAAAUUCUAUCGUAAUUAGAACUCAUAUAAUAUUUUUUUAAAACAAAUUAUAUUAAAUUUAGAAAAAUUGAAAGGGGGUUAUAUGAAGAGCUUACUUACGGCAAAAAAAAAAAAACCGAAAUAUUAUGUUAUAAAACACAAGUUCAUAUGAAUUUAAGAUUUCUAGGAAGAAACAUUCCCAAUGAUUCAACUAUGCUAAAUCACACCAAGGCUUGAAAAGUGGCUCAUAGACUUAAGUUUAUGAUAUAAUAAACAGUAUGUUUUUAGCUAAUUAUAUAUAGAUAAACAUAAGUAUAUCAUUAAUCUGAUAGAUAAUGUACUAUUAUGACUAUGUCUUGUGUCAAUCUUGUAAUCUUAAAUUUAUUAAGUAAAUAAAAUAUAGUGGUAUAAUGCAAUGAAAGAAAUCCGGGAGACAAUGAAUGAUUUAUAACAUAAUAAACCAGAAAACUUGAUAGAGUAAAGAGUAUAAUAUUAUAUGGACAUGUGAAUUUAGAAACAUUUGAUUGUGAAAUAUUGUCAUUUUAAUUAUGUUAGAAAUAAAGGCUUAUUCAAUUGCAUAGGAGUUGUAAGAUAUUUUUUCGCAAAUUUAACAUGGAGUUUUAGUUAUAAUUUUAAGUAUCAAGAAUUGUUCGAAUAUCAUGAUGUGUUAUCCUUAUUUUAAUUAAAUGAUAACAUUAUUUAUAUUUAUAUGAUUUAUAAGUACCUAUUUUAGUUAUGAAUUUGUGUUGUUGUGGUUGAUAUAGAAGUAUAUGAGUAAACAUUAUAUGCAAAAUAUACCAAAAAUGUUGUCUACAAAAUGAGGUUUUUGAUUUUCUCGGGUUUAGAGAUGUGACAUAAAAAAUAUAAUUGAAGUAAAUAUAAACAUACUGCAUAGAGAUAUUAUAAGCAUGUAAGGAAUAAAAAUCAUUUGAUGUUAUUGAAGACUUUAUGGCCUAUGCUCUUAAUCCUUAUUGUUCAUAUUCUGCAAGCAUAUAUAUAUAUUUUUCUUUAAACUCAUCUUAUUCUCUAUUACCUGUUUGUGCUUAUAAAAAUCAUUUUAAGGAUCUUAAAUAAUGAUCGGAUCAGAAGGUUAUUUAAUGUGAAAAUAGCUUUGAUAAAUUUUUUUAUUGUAAUAAAUAUAUAAAAUAUUUUAAAUAUUUUAUUGAGAAAAAAUUUAUAGCUCUAAAAAAAAAAAUAUUGAGUUCGGCUAACCUCACUCCACCGUAGCACACAACAUGGUUACAUAGGUUAAUCUCUCUCUUUCUUGAAAGAUGAGUCUGCGGGCAACGACACCCCCUCUCCUUUAUCGCUCGUGAUCGAUGGUGCAUCUUCUUUCUUUUCUAUAGUCGACAACGAGAGAUAUAAACGAUGACAAUGGGCUCUUGUAUCAUAUUUACGAAUAACUAUUCAGGAGAUGGUCGACGGGGCAAAGUGGUACGGUGACGAUCGAUACGAGAAAAAUAAAUAUUUUAAAAAAUAUAUUAUUUAUAAAAUUUUAAAAUAUGAAUGUUCAAAGGAAAGUUUUAAAAAAUAGAAAUUUUUUUUUGGGAAUUCCCACCAUAAAUUGUUCAGUUUUUAUCCUCUACUAUUGACUUCACGAGAGUUCCCAUUCUCUCUCUCUCUUUCUACCCUUUCGACUCCAAGCCACUUGACACCUUCGUCGAUCUCCUUGGGCUUGAAGAGGAGGAGGGGAAUCGAGGCAAAUGGACAUCUUGAUCGCGCAGAUCCAGGCGGACCUGCGGUCGAGCGACGCGCUGCGCCAGUCGGGGGCGCUUCUGCAGGCGCUGCAGCAGUCGGCGGCGGGGCGGGACGUCUCUGCUGUGGCCCGCUCCACCUGCGAGGAGAUCCUCGCUUCCCCGGCUUCCGCCGUCUCCAAGAAGCUCGCCUUCGACCUCAUCCGAUCCACCCGCCUCACCCCGGACCUCUGGGACACUGUCUGCUCCGCCGUCCGCGCCGACCUCGACUUCCCCGACCCUGACGUCGCCGCCGCCGCCGUCUCCAUCCUUUCUGCCAUUCCCUCCCACCGCCUCCCCCGCCUCGUUGCCGACGCCCACCGCGAGAUCGCCGCCUGCUUCGACUCCCCCAGCGAGACCCUCCGCCUCGCUGCCACUGAGACCCUCGGAUGCGUACUCGCUCGCGACGAUCUCGUCCUCCUCUGCGACACCGCCCCAGGCCUCCUUGACCGCGCCUCCGCCUGGUGGGACCGCAUCGCUGAAGGCACGCUCGACCGCUCCGACGCUGUUUCCUGCGCCGCCUUCGCGGCCGUCGGCCGCCUCUUCCAGGAGUUCGAGACCAAGCGCAUGAGCCGCCUAGCGGGGGACAAGCUCAUCGAUGGCGAGAACUCACUCGCGAUCCGCUCCAAUUGGGUUGUCGCCGCCAUUGACCUCGUCUGGAAAAAGCGCAAUGCCCUCAUGGCCCGCUCCCUCAUCAUCCCUGUUGAAAGCUUCCGUGCCACCGUGUUCCCGCUCGUCUAUGCUGCAAAGGCCGUGGCUUCUGGUUCCCUCGAGGUGUUCCGGAAGCUAUCCAGGUCUGGAGAGAGCAGCAACAACACGGGCACCGCCACCGCGGUGGACUCCUCGAUGAGCGCUGAGAAGCACGUCGGGGUCUCGGACGUGGUCUCCCAUCUCCUGCCGUUCUUGAGCUCUUUGGAUCCACCUUUGAUCUUCGAGGUCGGCAUCAAUAUGCUCUCUCUGGCUGAUGUUCGGGGAGGAAAGCCGGAGUGGGCUUCAGCAUCAAUCAUCGCCAUUCUCACACUCUGGGAUAGGCAGGAGUUCUCUUCCGCUAGAGAAAGCAUUGUGAGAGCUGUCGUCACGAAUCUCCACCUUCUCGAUCUCAGCAUGCAGGUACAUUUCUCAGUCCAUCUUUGUCUACUCGAGAAUGAUUUAUCUAUCUAUGUGUAGAGUCAACAGAAAAAGAUGACUAGAAAGAACUUAAGCUACUAGCAGCAGCAUAAUGCAGGAGGAAGGCGUCACUCAAGCUAGUCUAGCUGUUCUGAUGCCACCACCAGCCUUAUAUUGCAUAUGCAAUCUUUAACAUAUUGCAUAUCAGGGACACGCACCUGACCACAUCCAAGCAUCUGGUUUCUUUUGUCUUGAUCUCUAAUAUGUUACAUGUUGAGGACAUGCACCAAAGCACCUCCAUGUUUGGACUGGAUUAGCCACGUUAUCUUAGCCUUUCAAGAACUAGGAAUGUUCUUUGAUAAAGAAUAGUAGACUAAGGCAUUAGCUGCUCACAUUGAUCAGAGAUAUUCCUUUUUUUUCCUAAUAUUGUAGUUCAAAGGCAAAGUUUACUUUUUGUGAUAGCUCAGAGGGGUAAGCAUAGAUUUUCUUUACUUCGACUGCCUUCUUGUGGUUUUGGAGGGUUAUAUGUUGGACUGAAGUUUCUAUCAUUCCUCCUGAUUUCAGGUUUCUUUAUUUAAGAUGCUGCUUCUGAUGGUGAGAAACUUAAGGGCAGAAUCAGAUCGUAUGCAUGCUCUUGCAUGUAUAUGCCGCACAGCCCUUUGUGUUGAUCUUUUUGCAAAAGAAAGUGUGCGACGAGGACAAAAGCCCCUCCCUGGAACAGACAUUACUUCACUUUUCGAGGAUGCAAGGAUAAAGGAUGAUUUGAACAGUGUAAUGAGUAAAAGCUUGUUCAGAGAGGAAUUAGUUGCUUCACUAGUAGAAAGUUGCUUUCAAUUAUCUCUUCCGUUGCCUGAGCAGAAGAAUUCGGGAACUGAGGGUAGAGUCAUUGGUGCUUUAGCCUAUGGUACUGGUUAUGGUGCACUUAAUUGGACAGAGUCAGCUUUGGAGGUUGUAGAAGUGUGCAGACCAUGUGUUUUAUGGGACUGUGAUGGACGAACUUAUGCCAUAGAUUGUUACCUGAAGUUACUUGUCAGGCUCUGUCACAUUUAUGAUACAAGAGGAGGUGUGAAGAGGAUCAAGGAUGGUGCUUCUCAGGAGCAGAUUCUGAAUGAGACUCGGUUACGCAACUUGCAAUUACAACUUAUCAAAGAUCUUCGUGAGGUUAGUCUUAUCAUUUAUCCCAGUCAAGGAAUCUAAUAUUUCCCAGAUUGGUAUGUACCAAUCGGUAUUUACCAAUCAAUCCAUGGCCUAGACUGUAUAGAUUGGUGUUGGUCAAUAUUUAAUACUUAUUAUUUUUUUGGUGAUACCAUACGGUAUAUGUUGGUGUACUGCCCGGUAUACGGGUACCACACUGGUUCGGCCAGUUACCAAACUGAUAUUAGACCAACACUAUAAAAUAUUAAAGCAUUGUGCAGAUGUGGGAAAUUGCAAAUUUGUAGUAAGUAAGCAUGACCUAUUAGAGAUAAAGUACGUUCAACUUCGAGUAAUUUGCUAUUCUCUUCCUUGCUUCCUCUUCAGGUUUAGUAUUCUUCAUGAUUGCAAUAAAAUCUGUUUUUAUAAAUGCUUCCUUUCUUUUCUCACUCUCAUAUUCAUUUGUGCUUGAAUCCGGUUAAGUUAUUUGUUGCCGCAGGGUGCUUAGGGGAUUAUCUAUUGUAUGUAAUUGUUUGGAUUCUUCUUUUAAUAUUCAUGCGAUAGUCUGACACUAUGGUAUUUGUGAAAAAAGAAAUCUAACAAAGAGUUCUAUCUUCAUAUCAGUUUAUUUGCUUUGUUCAGGAUAAAAAUGUAACAGUUUUUUCAUCCUUAUGCAUUUGAAGUUGUGAAGGUUCCUUUCUUGGUGAAACAACCAAGAUCCUCUUUAGUAAUCUCAUAUGUCCUUAAAACAUCAAUUCUAGUUAAUUAGAAAACAUCACUUGUACAUCAUAGGAUCUCAUGUUUCUCGUUUUUUUAGAUCUAUUUUAUAUCUAUAAACACCUAUGUUUUCCUUGUCUGCCUAUUUAUCAUGUUAAAGUAAGAUUUCAUACUUGAUUUCCUUUACAAGGUGCAUACACCAAGAAUAUCUGCACGCUUAAUUUGGGCCAUUGCUGAACAUUUUGAUAUGGAGGGUCUUGAUCCACUUCUAGCUGAUGACCUGGAAGAUCCGUUAAACAUAAUUAUAUCAAAUAUACACAAUGUGUUGUUCAACACCGAGUCCUCUGCAACUACUGCAAACAGGCUACAAGAUGUGCAAGCUAUCCUUAUUUGUGCACAACGUUUAGGUACACGGAAUCUCAGAGCAGGUCAGCUGUUGAGUAAAGAACUUGAAGAUUUUAGAGGUAGCACCUUAGCUGACUCUGUAAACAAGCAUCAAAGUCGCUAUAUAUUGCAGAUAUUGAAGUACGUUGCCGGUCAUCCAGAAAGCAGGUCAGUCGUGUAUGCAUGUUUUUACAAGUUCCGCAAAUGCCUUUUGUCAGUUAAUUGAGUUCGCUCUCUGUUGAAGUAUCUAUUAGAUAUCAAUUUUAAUAUAUUAGCUGGUUAAAUUAAGAAAUGUGUUUCAGUUGCUGAUAAUAACAUUUAGCAAAAAGCUUAAAAAUGGCCAAGGAACACUUCAGUUUAAGUCCAUUUGUUUAAUUCAUUUAUCCUAUAUGUUUGUGGCUGUUGACUCUAAGAAGUUCUAUUGAUAGGAAAAAAUAACAAUGGCAAUGCAACUGUAACUGCAUUUAGCAGAAGAACAAGGGUUUUUUUGUGAACAAAAUAUGGGGUUUUCUCUGGGGAUAUAGAUGGUUUGUCAAACUGAGAAAGCUAGAGACAUGAUUUGAUAAAUAUGUGCUUAUGGCUUGGGGGAGUGUUUAUGGCACAAGUUAAUUUCGUAUGCAGAAAUUUCACAAAUGUUAAUCCAAUAGUGUUAUAAAGUUGUUAGUUUACUUUACUUUUUAUAUUGUACUAAUAUAAAUCUCAUAUUCGUUAUGUAGCAUAGUUUCUUUGGAACUGCAGUACAAUGAUUAUUUAGUUUUGUUAUAGCUACCAAUAUGCUUCUUAGAUAAUUCAAUUUUCAAUAGUGAAAACUAUAAUUACUUUUAGUUGUAUUUAAUGGACUAGAAUAGCUGGUAAAAAGCAAUAACUUAGUGUCCUGCAGAGGAUAUACUUGUCACGGCCAGAGGUGCAUGAUUGGUUUUGUACCUCAGACCUAAUGCAUGUAGGACUUUGCUACACUUGGAAUUUUGGAGCAUUAAUAUGCUUAUUACGAUGGUUUUAAGGAUCGGUCAAUUACAAUUCAAUUUUGAUCCAGCCUCGGUCCUAAGUUUGAUUUAGUUGAUGAUUAUCCCCUUUCUAAUAAUAUUGCAGUUGAUUUCGCCAGAAUGUUGUUGGAUUGGCUGGUUUGGAUGGAUAUUAUACUAGAGAACCAACCUUGGCAGAGAGUUCUAGGUAGAAGAGGAAAGUAAAUGGGACAAAAGGAGAGGAGAAGACAAGAGGCUGAAGGAGUCCGAAGAAAGGUUGGAGAAAGAAAUACUAAUCUGUUGUUUGCUGGAUGCCGUUAUUGCUUGUCCAGUACAUUAGCAGAUAGUUCUUUAUGUUCAUUGGUCAAUAAUGACAUCAUUGUCAUUUUUAAGUUCUAUGGAGUAAUCUAGACGGUGAGACAAAGUAAAUGAGGAGGGUUGGAAAUUGGGUACAUGGUCAGUACAUGUGGUUGAGUAGUUGCAUGUUCUGAAUGGUGAGGGAGUUACUAUCAGAUCCAACAGCUCUAGGACUCUGAUGACACUAAAUUGCUAUGACGUAGGCCCAGGAUAUACAUUUUUGCAAAACAAUCCUCACCUUUUCAAAAUAGUAGAUUUGGACUUUAACAUGAAACUUUCAUAUGCACUUUAAGAUGAAAUUUGGAUAAGAUAUACACAUAUACGUAUAUAUUCAUAUGUGUAUGUCUGUAUAUAUACACAUUUCAUUUUUUUAAACUUUUGUAUUCUUUUCGUUCUCUUGAGCUGAUUAUCGAUCCUCCAUGCAUACAUAUGUGGCCCAUUAGGUGCAAGUCAUGUUUUGAUCUGUUCAUAUCAUCCAGGCUAUACUGCAUUAAAAGCUACACGGUAGAUUUCUUUUGCCCAAGCUUAUUGUUAUACUUUCCUCUUCUAGAACCCAACUUCUUGGGUCAAAAUGUUUUAUGCUUUGAAGCUUUUAUCUGAGAGGGCACUCAGAUCCAUGAAUCAUAAUUUUGUAGUGUUGCUAGUGCAUAACACGAACAAGAAAUUAAUUAGUAAUUAUCUCUCUAUAUAUGGUAUAUUUCUGUGAAAGGAUUGAUAACACAUUCUUGAAUCUUUCACCUGUGCUGAUGUCAUUCAUACUUCAAUCUUCUAAAUCAACUUUAGUUCUG